GGUUCUUUUUUUUGACAGUGUCUGUGAAGUUGGAGAAUUGUUUUUCAUCAGAAGGUGAUAAAGAGAGCUCGUAGGAAGUUGAGUUGACAUCAGCAAAACCACACAUAAGGUGAGUGAAGAGAGCAGAAUUUACAUCUGAAAUGAAGAACUCAUCGCCUGAAUCCCAGUAACCAGCUCUGAUUAAAGUUUGUGCUCUUGUAGGAAGCGAUUCUGAAAAUAUAAAAAUGUGGAGGACAAGAAUGAUAAUUUUGGAUGCCAUUGUGGGAACCUGGCUGCUGGAGGCAUACCUAGUAUGUCAUUAUAUAUGUAAUAUUCUAGGUAAAUCCCACAUCGGCAAAAUAUGGGUGAGAUACUGGGUUUAUAAGGGGUGAUUCACACUUUAAUUGGCAAGGCGCAUUUUGGGGGGUAUGGGCACCCCAGAAACAAAACCGUAAAGUGGAUAAUAUCCUAUCAUGUUUGGGUUGGAUCAUGACACUAUGGUAUCAGAGCGGCUCCGCGUGUCCUCUUGAGCGAUGGCGAAUCAGAGCGGCCCCAUGUGUCCUCUUGAGCGAUGGUGGGACAAACGUCCUCGCUCGUUGAGUCCCCAAGGGGGGUGAAUGUAACACCCUAGAUAAAUCUCACAUCGGAAAAACACGAGAGAGAUGCUGGGUUUAUAAAGAGUGACCACACUUUAAUUGGCAAGACACAUUUUGGGGUGUAUGGGUGCCCCAGAAACAAACUUGUGCGGGCCUUCUAAAGGCCCAAAGCGGAAGACACGUUUUGGGAUGCAUGGGCACCCCAGAAACAAACCUGUGCGGGCCUUAAGAAGGCCCAAAGAGGAAGACACAUUUUAGGGUGUAUGGGCCCCCCAAAAACAAACUUGUGCAGGCCUUCUUAAGGCGCAAAGCGGACAAUAUCUUGCUAGGUUUAGGUUAGGUCAUGACAUUAUUACAUUAUGGUAUUAGAGCGGCUCUACAUGUCCUCUUGAGCGAUGGUGGGGCAAACCUCAGCGAGGACGCUGAGUCCCUAAGGGGAUGUAUGUAACACCCUAGGCAAAUCUCACAGGGGGUGUAUGUAACACGUUAGGCAAAUCCCACAUCGACAAAGCACGGGAGAGAUGUUAGGUUUAUAAGGGGUGAUCCACACCUUAAUUGGCAAGACAUGUUUUGAGGUGUAUGGGAGCCUUAGGAACAAAAUUGUGCGGGUCUUAUUAAGGCUCAAAACGGACAAUAUCUUGUCAAGUCUGGGUUGAGUCAUGACAAUAAAUAUGUACACACACAAAAUGUAAUGAAGAAAUUAUCUUAUACCGAUUGAGAUUAGUUAUUGCACUAAUAAUACAAACUUGAGUCAACUUUCAACUUAUGAGCUUAGUCCAUAAGUUUUUAUACGAUAUCAAAAUCAAGUUACGGAUGAGGGACCCUAUAAUACCUUCCAACCUAACUUAAUAAUUAAUCUUAACCAAUGUGACAUACUUUUUCUAUCACUUUAUCACGUCCAAGUUGAUCUUUUGGCUUUGUCUUUUUUUCAUGAUAAUAAGUGAUAAGAUUGAAGUUCUUAAAUUAAGCUAUGACUUUUUACCUCCGCUUAGCUUGACUUCUGAAGUUGGAGACUCGUUCUUUUGUAUUGAGUUUGUUGGUAUUUAAAUGAACUCGGAGUCUUCGACGUGUUUCUGAAGCAAAGUCAUUAUUCCUCAAUGACUCCAUCCAUGCAGUUGGAAGGCAAAAUCUUGUGAAAAUAUUUUCUAAGUUGAUUCAGUCCAUGAUCAAUGUGCACAAAACGCAAAAUCUUGCGAAAAUCAAACCCGUCCUCACUCAUGAGCUCGAUUUCUAGCUUAAACUCCUCCUUACUCAUGACAUACUAUAUAAAAUAUCGAGUUGACCUCACUUUAUUAAAUUACAGCUUGUUAUUGAAUUGAGUGUUGCCUUAAUUAAGCUAUCAACUUAAUAAAGUGAUUGUCAUUAAGAAAUACACUUAGGUAGUGUUUACUUUUUGGAUUGGAGUGGAAAUUCUGAGAAGUGUGAAUCCUAGGAUUAGGAGUGUGGAGUGGGAGUGGGAGUAGGUUGUUUACUUACACUGGAAUGAAAAUAUGGAAUGAAUAUUAGAAUCUAAUUUAUGUGUUUACUUUGUCUUGGAUUGGGAGUAAAUAGUUUCAAAUUACAAUUUUAUCCUUAUUUAAAGAAUUAUAGUUUUUAAUUACAAAGUUAAUAAAAAAUAUAUUUAAUGAAUAAAAAUUUAUUUUAUUAUUUUAUUAUAUUUGUAAAUUUAUAAUAAUUAUUAAUAUUCUUAAUUAUGUACAUCACAUUUUUUAUAAUUUUAAUUAUACAAAAUAAAAAUUAUUGAUAAGGGAAAUAUAAAUUAAACAUUUUUACUAUUAACAUAGUACAAAAUUAAUAUUUUCUUAGAAUAAACUAUUUAUUAGUAUUAAUUAUUAAUAUUAAAUAAAUAUAAUACUAUUAUGUUUAAAUAAAUAUAAUCAUAUUAUAUUUUCAAAUAAAGAUGGUAUAUAGUAAUAUUAUUAAUUCUCUAUCUAUAUAAUAAUAUUAUUUUUAAGUAAUUUAAACUUAAAAUCAAACCAAAUUAUUAUUUAGUUAAAUAUAAUAAUAUUAUUUAAAUAUAAUUAGAGUAAAUUUAAUAAAAGGAGGGUAAAAAAGAAGGGUAAAUAUAAAAUGAAACAUUAUUUUAUUUUAUUUUAUUAUAGUAAAUUUAAAUAUAAUUAUAUUAAAUUUAUUAUUAUAUAAAACAAUAAUAUAACAUUAUUUAGUACAAAAUUAAUAUUUUAUUAGAAUAUAAAUGAAGAUAGCAUAUAGUAAUAUUUAUUAAUUCUCUAUUAAUAUAAUAAUAUUAUUUUUAAGUAAUUUUAACUUAGAAUUAAUGUAAAUUAUUAUUUAGUUAAAUAUAAUAAUAUUAUUCAAAUAAAUAUAAUAUUAUUUAUUUUAGUAAAUAUUAAAUAUUAAAUUAAAUAAGAAAAAGGGUAGAAAAGGGAGAGGUGGGAGUGGAUUCCCACUCCCACUCCCCACUCCAAAAAUGGGUGAGGUCCACGAAGUGAAAUUCUCAAUCAUUGCUCAAAUUAUUGAAGUAAAUACUGGAGUAGAAGAAAUCAACACUCCUCACUCCUACUCCAGAAAGUAAACACAGCUUUAGUUACUUCCUGAUGGUAAGAUUCAAUAAUAUUGUAAUUUUUAUAAAAAAAAUUAAGACUCAUAUACCUUUUCCUUGUGUAAUUUAAUUUCCAGUCAAGUCCACCCUCCCGUUUUAUUAUAAAAGUCUAUACGAACAUACGUUUUACUCAAUGUUUACUUAGAAACAAAUGGCGCGCGUACGAUUGCCGAUCUAGUACCACUCUCGUAUACUUGGUGGGAUUCGGUUUCACCAAAUUUGUAGCAUAUAUUUUACUUUAAUGAGAAAAUCAAAUAAUGAUUGAACAAAUAAAUUUUCUUUUCUAUAUACUUUCUUAAAAUGUAUGGAGUUGGUAAAGUGCAAAUUCAUUUUUUAGCCCUUUGACUCCUCCAAAAUCCAAACUCAAAUUAAUGGUCAGUUAAAUAAUGUUACUUGAAAAUCAUUCGGCCAAAUAUUUAAAAACUAUCAUUUCACAAAGUCAAAGUUUCACUGGUUAUUGAAUUAUAGAAUGUGCUAUCAUUUCCUAGCUAGAAUUUGUUUAAUUCUAUUAAUUUACAAUCGUUUUUCAUUUUACUUAAUUAAUUAAAGUGAAUUUAUUAUGUAUACAUUCUACGUACGUAAAAUUUUAAAAUUCAGUGUUGAAUUGAAUUGUACUAAAUUUUUUUAUAAUUUUUUGUCGGACCUGCGUUUUUAACAGUUUAAUAUUAAUAUUGAUAGCACAUAAUAUACAGGAUUAAGAGAGAUUGAUUUCGAGUGCUACAAUAAUUUUAGGAUUGCAUGCACAAGGGUUUAAAAACAAAGUGUGCACUUAAUUACACUAAACGAGGGUGCAUUUUUAUGAUGAAAUAAAAACUGUGUACAUGGUUCUAAAAGUGGCUCCAUAAUUAGUGUACAUUAACAUUCAUCUAGCUACCACUUCCGAAAAUGAUAAAUCACAAGCCGAACAUUUUUCCAAUUGUGUUGUAGAUAAUAGUUCAAUCCCAAUUUCAUCAACUUGUUUUGAGAAAGCAGGCUUCUUGGGAGUAUUUGUAUUUGUGGUUUCAUUCUUGAGCAUUGAGGAAACUUGUAACAUUGUAGGUCGAUCGUUUGGAUUCUCCUGGACACACAACAAAGCUAUUUCCAGACAUCUCAUUAAUUUACAAGGGGAAUUUGUAUCAUCUAGUGAUGAAUCCACAAACUCCACGCCUUUGCCACCUUUCCACAACUCAUAUGCCUGAAAUUAUCAAGUACCAUUUUGUUACAUAAUUUAUACUUCUUAAUUAAGUGCGCAUAUGUGUACUCAGGGUUACUAUAGCCGAAGAAACUUACGUGCUCUAGAAUGCUUAAAUUUUCAUUGAUGCCACAUAACAUUGAAAGCCUCUUUCCACUUAUAAUUUGUAGAAGUAAAACUCCGAAACUAAAAACGUCUGAUUUGGUAGAGUAUACACCUUGUCUGGCGUACUCAGGAGGAAUAUAGCCGCUGCAUUCAAAAUAACCAACAAUAAGUAUAUAUAAAUAAGGGAUUUCACAAUUUAAUAAAUUUGUAAAACCCAUUUUAAAUUGUGGUAAAAGUCCAUUAUGCAUUUUAUUAAAGAGCUGAAUUCUUUAUUCGAAACCUAUAUUUAUAUAUAUAUAUAUAUGCACACACAUGUAUAUACACAUAGGCAUAUCAAGUAAACACAUCAUAUAUGUAUUAAAAUUCUGUGUUAGCUUGGUCCCCAUAUACAUACAUGCGUAUAUAACAAACAGAAGCUUGAGUAAAGGAUAUCAUUUAGAUGUAAUAUACUUACAUUGUUCCCACAACUUGUUCUGUAUUCGCUUCGAGACUCUCUUUUGCAAAAAUCCUAGCCAAACCAAAAUCUGAAAUUUUAGGUUUCAUAUCUUCACCUAACAAAAUAUUACUGGCUUUCAAGUCUCGAUGAAUAAUAGUCAGUCUUGAAUAUUCUUGGAGGUAUAAAAGCCCUUGAGUUAUCCCUUCAAUGAUAUGAACACGUUUUUUCCAAUCCAAAAUAAGUCUUCGGAUGGGAUCUACAACAAAUAUAUAGUUUUGGACAAUAAGUGAUAUGCAAAUGAAUUUUAUACACGAUUAAUAUUAACUUGAUUCCAGAACAAACCAAAAAGGUAGCAAUCCAAGCUUUUGUUUGGCAUGUACUCGUAAACUAGCAUCCGUUCCUCACUGUCAAUGCAAAAACCUAAAACUAUGAUAAGAUUUACAUGUUGGAGUUUGGCAGUAAGCAUAACCUCAUUCUUGAACUCCUCAAAUCCCUGUGUGGAUGUUUUUGAAAGUUUCUUCACUGCUAUCACCUUUCCGCAGGGUAAUACACCCUGCAAUCCAAAAAAAGAAACCAUGUUCAUAUAAAGCUUUCACUAAUUAAAUAAGCUGAGAAAUGUUAGCCAAACAAUAUGUUACCCUCCAAAGUUGAGGGCACCAUUUUUUAAGUCCUUUAAGUCCCCAUGGACGCAUAAAUCUCCUCUCACAAAAUAUGGAUAUGGGUAGAGACAUAUUCCUAAAUAUUAGUAGAAGUAGUUAUAUCUCUCUAGUGUGAGGUUAGAAGUCUCAUCUCUAAUAUGUAUAGAUUUUAAACUAUAUGUUUUGGGCCUCUGAAUUUUACUGUGGAUUUUGUGUGCGCGCGCGCGUGUUACCUUGUAAACAGGACCAUAUCCACCUUCCCCAAGCUUAUUUCUAACUGAAAAUCCCUCGGUGGCCACCUCAAUAUCAGCAAAAUUAUAUACUCUGAGGUUAGGAACAUUUCUGUUAAAGUCUCCAGCUUCUGCUUCAUUAUUUGCUCUCUUGUUUGAUGCUUUAGCAGAGCCCUCUGUUCCUAACAUCAACCAAGAGUAAAUAUUAGAUAAUUAAUUAAAUGUCAGUCUCAGUUACAUAUAUAUGAAUGAAAUACAUACUUAAUUAUAAUUGAUAGCUGAAAAUUGUUACCUUCAAUUAACUUGAGCCUUUUCAUCCUGGUGUAUUUAUAUGCACAAAAGCCUAGAAGGAGAGUCAAAGCUGCCGCUGCAGUCGAAAUGAGUACCAAGGACAGACGCCGGUUAUUACUAUGUUCAUCUUUGUCAGCUGAAGCAGAAGUAGUCCUGUCUUUUUGUGCUGGAAAUAUGCAUAGUUCACAAAUUAAUAAUAACUAGCAAGAGAUGCCGUAACAAUCAUUAUUAAUCAGAGAGAACAAUUAUUGCAUAUAUAAGUACCUGCAGCUUGAGAAAGCUCCCAAUUAUGAUCAUCAAAAGGAACUCGCAACACAUAGUAACCAAGCAAUCUCUUCUCUUUGGCAUAGGCGAUCUUAGCUCUAACAGCCUCCACAUCAUCAAAACCAAACCAAACCGUCCCAGUGGAGAAGUAAUUCACCACAUAAGUUGAAUUGUACAUAACUUGAACAUUAGGACCAUAGGUCUUGAUGUGAUUCUUGAUAUCCCUAUAGGUCACAAAGCCACCAUUACUCAAAGCUGGUCCUGUUGCUGCUGCUCCAAUACCAUUGUCUUCAGAUUUCACAAGCGUCCAUGCAUAGCCGUAGAAAGGCAAACACAAAACCAACUUAUCAGCCGAUAACCCUCUCUCAAUCCAUGCCUUUAAAACCUGAUCGGUACUUCUAGCAUAGCCGCCGCUACUUGAGCCAUACAGAGCUGCAUGUGCCGCAGUGAAGUUUGUUGACAUAGGCUCGUAGUAGUUAGAAGUAACAACAUGAACCCAAUUCAAGUUUCGUUGCAUCGAAUUCACAAGGUACGAAUUGUCUGGUGGUGAAUAAUGAAACCCUGCGGUCAAGAUCAGCUGGGAUUGCUGGCGGCUAGAGCUUUUUGCCUCUAAUUGUGUGGCAGCAGCUCGCCACUCGUCAAAGAGUAUGCCCAUAUUGAGCAUAUCGGUGCUUGUGUUAGGAGCUGUCCAAGCAAAAUCUAGGCCCUGAAAGCCAUAAAGCCUAGCUAUUCUUAUUGAAGAGUCGAUGAAAGAUUUUCUGUGAGAAGAAUUUCUCACCAUUGAAGAAUAUAUAGAAUUGUUUGUAUAUAUUCCUCGUCCAAUGGAGAGAAGUGUAGUGAUUGAUGGGUUCUUUUGUUUCACAGCGUCUAUAAAUUUGGGGAAUAUUUGAUUUCCAUCAAACGGUGAUGAUAAAGAUAGCUGGUAAGUGGUGGAAUUGAUAUCAGCGUAAGAGCAAAUAAGGUGAGUGAAGAGAUCAUAAUUUAUGCGCGAAAUGGCGGACACUUCGCCUGAAUACAAGUAACCGACCCUGAUCCACGGUUUUGCUUUCGCGGGAUGAAGUUCUGAAUAGAACAACAUGUGGAAGAUGAUGCUGAUAAUUAUGGAUGCCAUUUGAGAGGCUUAAGCUUCUUAAUUACCACUUCGAUGGGAAUGGAAAUGAAUGCACACUAAGAGAAAUUAAAUAAACACAAGUUUCACAGUUCAUUAAGUUCUCAUGUGUACUACACAUACAUUGCAUGUUAAGAUGAUGAUGGGCGAUGCGACCAUUGCCGGAGAACUAAGAUUUUCUUCUAUCGCCUGUGUGACUUUUCAUGAAGAAACAUGAUGUUUUGAUUGACAUUUGGUUAAACUGAUGACAUAUUUCGGGCUACAAAUAUUAGUAUUGUUUUAUUAAAUAAAAAUAAUAAUAAUUAUACGUGCAUGUUGAAGGUAAUAUUGCAGUCUUUUGAGCCUGUGUUGAAUUUCAUUCAUUAUUACGAGCGUUCAUUUAUUAUCCAUCCCCUUUUUUCUCUGUGAGUCUGCUAGCUGUAGUCAUCUUAAAAGGAUAACAUGUUUAAUGCGUGUAAAUGCACCUCAGAAGUAGUUAAGAAAGACUUGAUCAAACCAGAUAAUUUUCCUCUUAACACAGAAGUAGUUAUCGGACUAAUUAAGAUUCUAAUCCAUUUAAGAAAUAUUCAAAAAGGGUUAUUGUCACUACUUUAGUCCUUGUUGUUUUAUUAAAGAAAGAAACAAAGAAAAAAAAAAGAAGAUAUUUAAAGAAGCAUCACAUAAAUCCUUCCUAAUUAGAUUUUGUUUCAUUCAAGUUCUUGACUUAAUUUGACUGCUUGGAAAAAUUAGUAAAAAGGUAACAAUUAAAAAAAAUGUAAAUUCUAGUUAUUAGACUAAAUAUAUAUAAAUUUGCAACAAGUAGCAAAAGUUUAGAAUAUGAAAAACCCUAUUUUGUUUACGAAAUAAAGAAAAUUCGAAUCAUUUUUAAAAAAAAAAUCUCUAAAAGUUUGAAAACUAAGAUUUUAAGGUCCUUCUAGACUAACCAUAAAUAACAUGAAUUUACCAAAUUAAGCAAACUUGAAUUAUUAUUACACAAUAAAAUUUAACUAAUGGAAAUAAGAAAACAAAAUAAAUAACACUCAAAUUCGAUAUCUAAAAAAUAAAGAUAAAAAUAAUGAAAGCAAUAGAAAAAAUAAAAUAAAAUAAAAUAACUAAAACUUGCAAAAUGACCAUGAAAGAAAUAAUUUUUUUUUGCUGAACCAAAGGGCCGAUACGUAUAGCCCUAUUGUACUAGAUUCAUCUCGCCGCAAGUUUCAAAACAAUAUAUUAUAUGUUUUAAACGAACUCUUAUAAAUUAAGUUAUGACCUUAAAAAAAUUCCUACUCAUCUUACAUAAACAUCCUAUGUCACUAUAUAGUUAUACAAUAAUAAUAUAAUCCAAACACUCAUGAAGCAUAACUCAUGCACCUCCACUAAUAACCGUGAAAUUUAAUCACAUUUUACAAGAGAGAGGAAUGUUCUCAUUUAUUCGAUUUUCUGCUAGGUUGUGUUAGGUUGGGCUUUUUAGAAUUUCUUUGACGAAAAGUCAUUCUCUUCAACGGCCAAAACUUGGGCUAGUGGGCAAUUAUGAAAGUCCAUUGGAUGCAUUGGACCAAACUAAAAGUCCAAAUUUUUUUUUAUUCUUGCAAAAAAAAACUAUAUCUGUAUAUUCUGUUCAACAAUCCAAAACUUGGGCCAAUGGGCAAUUAUGAAAGUCCAUUGGAUGCAUUGCAUCAAACUAAAAGUUAUAUAUAUAUAUAUAUAUAUAUAUAUAUAUAUAUAUAUAUAUAUAUAUAUAUCAAUAAAUGAAAUGACACAAUACAGUUGGCUUGCCGUUGCAAAGCUUCUUUGUUUGUUAUUAUUUAUUGGCUUAUUGCAAUAAAGACUAAAGAGAGCUUUGAGCCAUGCAGCAUGGGAAGCUCCAUUAAAAAAAAUAAAAGAAUUUAAAGCUUCAAGGACAUAAAGCGUGCCCACCCAAUUAAAUUUUUCUUUAAAAAAGAAAAAAAAAAGGCUGAAAUUGCAAUGACUUGAAUUUAUCAUCAAUUCUGGCUUAAUUUGCCCCCCGUCAUUUUUUCAAGGAGAAUGUCCAACUCAAUUGUGACGGCUACUGCUUCAAUUUUAAUUUUAUUUUUCUCAAGAAUAGUCAUUUUCAUCCACCAUAUUCCUGCAUCCUGAUGCGUCCUUAUUGCUUAUAUUAUUAUAGACCACUUUUGGAAGCAUAACAAUUUUUGCACACAUGGUCUCCAUCUUGCGGACCCAAAUGUUGAUGAUAUACUUGCAUGCUCCAAAAUGAGCCCUUUUAAUAACUUAUCAUCUGGUAAAUGAUAGUUUAUUUAUUUAUUACAUUUAAUAACUUAUCAUCUGGUAAAUGAUAGUUUAUUUAUUUAUUACAUAACAAAUAUGUUAUGCCAUAUGCCACCUAUUAGUGAAAGAUGUUUAAAUAACUACUCUUGUAGUAAACUCCUGAAUGAUGGCAAGUUAGAUUUAGACUUAAUGCACUAACUUCGAUAUAUAUUUUUUUUUUUUACAUGGUAAUUAUUUUCUUCUCGCUAGGAAGUUGCAAUGAUUGAUAAUACGGGAGCAUUUUGCUUUAAUACAAUCCUUAAUUGAAGAGUUUCUAGAGAUGUUUAUUAUUAUUAUUAUUAAUACCGCGUUGGUCAGGAUUUGAUUACUAUAAUAUUGACGAUUCGAUUUCUAACAAUUUUGUUUAUUAUAAAAUUAAAACAAAUGAGUAGUCAUCUAGAAAAUCAUAAUCUCUUUAAAGGCAUCAAAAGGCAAUGGCAAUGUAAAAUGAAUGUGAAUCUAUUAGUAACAUGUUUACACGUGUAUUAAUCUUAAAAUAUUUAAAUAAAUAAACCAUAGAUUCUUGGUUCCAAUAUGAGCUUUAUAGUUAAGGAGACCCACUGCGUAUGAUGGACUAGUGAGUUGUGAGAGAAAUCUCUUAGGCCGAAAGAAUCUUAAUCAAAUCGUAUCAUCAUAAAAAAAUUCCAAAUUUUGUUUUCUUCUUUUGACAAAAACCCUCGUUCAAAAUGAUUCAUAUAAAUUUAUCAAUAAAAGAUUUUGAAUCAAUUAGAAAAUGGAAUUGUCUUGCGCACAUCUUUUGCUCGAUCGUUCAGUCCUUAAUCAUGUUUUAAUUAUAACCCAAACACGACAAUGACAUGUACGAUCUACAUAAAUCCUCGAUAUUAAUUGUCAAUUGGUUCUGCGAAUUCAAUGUGCAAAGUCUCACAAGUCAUAAUAAAUUUAGGAAUGAAAAGUACGAGCGGGUAGCAAGAAACCAUCACUCAAUUCCAAUUGAUAUGUACACUUCAUUCAUUUUGUCUUUUACAUAAAUGGAAAAACUAAAAAGCGUAACAAUUAUUAAACACAUGCCCACUGCCCUGCCACUCGGCCAAAGAGGGGCCGUUGCUCUCUUACAUUGGUUCAAUGAAGGGAUUCAUUGAAGGGUGUUUCGACGACGGGAGCGGCAUUAAGAUGAGUGAUCACUUGAAAAAUCUUUGAAUUGUACCUCUCUUUUUAAACCAACGAGCUCGUAGAUCAGUUGGUAUAGAGUUGUUUUAUUAUAAUUAAAAUUUUAGGUUUAAGGUUUGAAAAUGCUGUUAUGUUAAAAUAUUUGUUGGGAGAAUUUUGUCAUUCUAGCGUUCAUAUCGGAUUCGAAUCUGAAUUAAUCGGAGUUUAAUAUAGUCUUUGAAUAUCAUAUGAUUUAAUACACAAAAAAAAUGAAGGAAUUCAUCUCUCAAUUAUUAUUAAAAAUAAAAAUGCGGGAUGUGUAUUUCAGUGUAAAUAAUGACAAUAAUAAUAAUACAACACAUCCCCAUCAAAAUCUCCAUCAAAAACCUAGCUGAUGCUGAUGCUGAUGCUUCUGCAGAUUCUGAUUCCCCCUCCCUUUUAGCCCAGGAAGCAGAUGAUGACAGCAUCACGGUACAAGGAAAGAAAGAAAGAAUAUCAUUAUACUCCCACAUCUUCUUAAACGUUGUGCCCUCUAUAUGCACAUAUGCAUGUACAUAUUAAUUAUUAUCAUAUUGUAGUAAGUAAUGUUUUAGCUUUCGACAUUAACAACAUUGUGAUUAAUCAUAAUGCCACAUUAUACAGUUCAAAUAUGAAAGGUUAUGAAAUUAACUUCUAUAUACAAAUGCGUUACAUAAAGUGCGCGACAUCGUUCUUUUUAAUACAUACAGUAAAUUAAUGAAUAAUCAUUCGUAAAAAAAAAAUGUUGUCCGAUAGUGAAUUAGCUAUACAAGUAGAGCCUCUACAAAUUAACAGGGUGAGACCAUAUGAAAUCUAUUAAUUAAAAAAGAGAUUAAAUAAUCAAUAAUUUAUUAAUUUAUUAAUUUACAGAGUUAUUUAUAAUUCAAUUAACAUACAUCAACAAUACUUCAUAAUUUCCUAUUACAAUUUGAGAAGUCAACCGCAGGGCUUCUAGGUGUUAAGAAAAAUAAGAGAUUGAGGUCCAAUUAGAUUUAAAUUUUAAGAAAAGAACAAGUAACAAUAUAAUCAUAUUUUAUGUAAGUAAGUGAUAAUAGAGUCAUAUUUUAUUCAAUUAAAAUAUUAUAGUCAACUACAUUUAUAAUUUCAGUAAAUUAUUAAUUUGUGAUUUGAAUAAGACGAUAAAGUUAUAUAAAUUUUUUAAAAAAAAUUAUUAUCGCAUUAUUUUAUUAAAAUUAUUAAUUUUAAUGUAUUGUCAUAAAAUUGUGUGAAUUUGUUAUAUAAUAGAUAUUAUUAAUUUACCGAAUAUCAAUUGAUAGAGAUUUUAUAGCAUGAGUACCUAAAUUUUGACGAAAUAAAUGAACAUUUGUUUGUACCUUGCAGGUAUGUGUCCGUUUAAUAAUAGUAUAAUGUACUUUUUUUCUUUUUUCCUUCUUACGACAAAAAGUUAAGUAGAUUUUGAGGUCCAGUCGUAAAGAGACAACUUGGGUAAUUGUGUUUUUUUGUAAUGUGCGCAAUUGCUAGCUUUUCCGAUGAUUUUGAUUUGGGAUUGCGUUGUAUAAUUUGCACAAUCAUCUCCUUCACCUUUGGAUUCUGUAUCUCUCUAUUUUGUGCUCUUUCUCUCUGAAUGGUAGCCACAUAUACGACUCUCUUUGCUCUGAAUACAUGAAAUUAAGGGUGGGCGCGGUUCGGUUCGGUUCGGUUUUUUACUAAAUUUUUCAUAAUCGUUCGAUUACGAUUAUUUUAAAAUCAUAAUCGCGAUUAAUCAAAUUACUGAAAUAAUCAAAUACUCAAUUAAUUGAAAUAAUUUGAUUCGGUUCGGUUCGAUUAUUUCAAUUAUAGGCCUAUUGGGCCUAUUUUGAGCUUUUUUAAAUUUAAAACCUUAAAUUAAUAAAUCUACCACAAACAUAAAAAGUUAACAAACAAAAAAUCAAAAAUAUGUCUCGAACAAUGUUCAAAUAACAAGUUCAAAUCAAAAUAAAUCAUAAUCCCAAUUACUCCUCAGUUGCUUGUUCUUGUUGAGCUAGUAUUGGCCUACCAAAUUCUACAUUAACAAAUUAAAAAAAAAUGUUAGAAUGAUUAGUUAAAAGUGAAAUAAUCAAAACAACAUAUCAAAAUAUAGUAGUAACAUAUUACCUGCUUCAAUAACUUCAUAGAAUUCAGUUCCCUCUUGAGUAGGUUGUAUUAUCCGUUCUCCUAAUAGAGUUGAGCAAAGCCAAUUUUGAGUGCAAAUUAAUGACUCAACAGUUUUAUGAGUUAAAGAACUUCUAAAAGGAUCAAGAACACGCCCUCAUGUGCUAAAUGCCGAUUCCGAAGCUAUAGUAGACACUGGAAUUGCCAAAACAUCCUUGGCAAUCUGAGACAAAAUUAGAUACCUAUGCCCAUUCAACUUCCACCAAGUCAAAAUAUCAAAAUGGGCAUUACUAGUACUCUCAUUAGCAUCCGUCAAGUACUUUUCAACAUCAUUUUUCGAACUAAUGUCAUCAUUUGAACUUUGCUUCAUCAUUUUGAAAGAUGAAAAAAGAUCAAUUGACAUUAUACUACUACUAGCACUAGCACCACCACCACCACCACCACCACCACCACCACCACCACCACUACCACUACCACCAUCAUGGAUAUCACCAAAACAAACACCACCACUAUUCCUCACAUCACUCCCACCAAUAUAGCUAUUAUAUAGCUUCAUCAACAACUCCUUAAUAUUAGAUUUCAAUUCUUCAACCUUCCUAGAUUCAUACAUGUUACUAAAACAAAAUGUAACAAACUCUAAUUUACAUCUAGGAUCAAACACAUUUGCUACAAAUAAUAACAUGUUAACCUGAUCAAAAGAAUCACCACUACCACUACCACCAUCAUGGAUAUCACCAAAACAAACACCACCACUAUUCCUCACAUCACUCCCACCAAUAUAGCUAUUAUAUAGCUUUAUCAACAACUCCUUAAUAUUAGAUUUCAAUUCUUCAACCUUCCUAGAUUCAUACAUGUUACUAAAACAAAAUGUAACAAACCCCAAUUUACAUCUAGGAUCAAGCACAUUUGCUACAAAUAAUAACAUGUUAACCUGAUCAAAAGAAUCACCCCAAUAUUUAGCAAACAUUUGUUCCAUUUUUUCGACCAUUUUUCUUAACAAAUCAUCACUAGAAGUAGCAAGUGACUUCAAAUUAAUUAGAACUUUUGCCAUUUCAUUUAAGAAAUCAUUGGAAGUGACAACAAGAGAGCUACUAAAUUUCAAGGUCACAUAAUAAAAAACCGAUAAAAAUUUGACUAACCUCCUUGCAUUUCCCCAAUCGUCAUUGCUCGGUGGCCCUUCCCUCUUUUUUUCACCCUCCUCCUCAACAAACCAAUUAACAUAAUGUCCAUCAUCUUCCUUCAUCCUAUCAAAUGCUUUUUCAAAUACAAUCGCCUUAUGCAACAUCAAAUAUGUUGAAUUCCAUCUAGUAGGCACAUCCAACACCAUAAGCCCUCCAUAUGAGAUUUUCUCCCUAUCAACACAUGUUUUAAACUUUUGCAAUCUUACUGGAGAGGAUCUAACAUACUUUACUGCAUUGCAAAUACUAGCUAUUGAAUUAUUCACCUCCACCAACCCAUCUUGCACAAUCAAAUUUAUUAUGUGUGCCGAACACCUCACAUGCAUAUAUAUACCAUUCAAAAUCAUUGAAUUCACACUCCAAUUUGCUAACUUCUUCUUCACAUAAGUUAUUGCAACUUUAUUGGCACUUGCAUUGUCCACUGUAAUUGUGAACAACCUCUCAAUCCCCCAAUCAAUCAAAUAUGUCUCAAUUAGCUUCCCAAUACCAUCUACUUUAUGAGUAGCUAUAGGUGUGAAACUAAGAAUCCUUUUGUGCAACACCCACUCCGCAUCAAUAAAAUGAGCAGUAAUAACCAUGUAGUUAGACAUUUGAAUUGAUGUCCACGUAUCUGUGGUAAUACACACCCUCUGCUUGCUUGCACCCAAGACACUUUUUAACAACCCUUUUUCAUGUUGAUACAAUUCAAGAAUAUCCCUUAUAAUUGUUCUUCGCGAUGGCACAUCAAAUCUUAGGCAACAAGUUUGCAUAAACUCUAAAAACCCUUCGGCCUCCACAAAGCUAAAAGGUAAUUCAUCAUUGACAAUCAUCUUCACAAGUGCCAUUCUACAAGCCUCUUGACUAAAUCCGCCACUAACUUUAACAACUCCAUCAUCUUUAUCUUUUCCCUUUUGACGGAAAAGUACUUGUUGCUUCAGAUCCCCUUCAACCUUUACAUCUUGAUAUGACCUACAUCUAUCCAAAUGAUUCUUCAAAUUAGUGGUAUUUCCUCUAUUAGCUACAAAGGUUUUACGGCAAUGAUGACAUUUUCCUUUGUUUCCACAAGAUAGUUUGGUAAAAUGAGCCCAAAUAUUUGAUCUCAAAGGUAUUUUUCUUUUUUUCCCAUCAUCAACCUCCACCUCUUGCACUUCCUCCUCAUCAUAAUUUUCCAUUCUUCACAAAAAAUCAACAUCACAGCAGCAAUAAAUCAACACAAGAGCAGCAACAAAUAAAAAGAACCUGAUGCUCAAUAAUUCUACUAACUAAUAUCAAUUGUACGCACAGAGAACAAUAUAUGUACAAGAAUUGAUUCCCAUAUUAAUUGAUAAAUAAAGCCAAAUAGAUAAAAAUAUGGGAUUUGUAUAAUGCUUUACAAUGCAUAAGAUAGUAAAAAUAUUAAAUAAGGGCUUUGCACCCCAUUUUAUAUGUACGCACAACACUUCACUAGUACAUGAUACUUUUCCACAAGUUCCCACAAGGGGAUCAAGCAGCCAAGAAUGCACAAACUGGAGGAAUGAGGUUAAUAGCAAACAAACUAUGUAGGUACAGCCAAAAAGCCGCUGUGAAGAUAUCAGAAUUAGAUGACAACCCUAAUUAACAAGCUUUACUACACCUGUAUGGACAGUAACAAUAGCUGCAGCUAUUCUAAGUUUUGGAUUCCAUCCCCAAAUGAUGUCAACAGAGGUGCAAUAUUAGAUGGUCUAGGAACAAGUCUCCGUUAAGUAUGCAAAAGGAUCUGAAGACACUAAUGCGAAAAUCACAAAAAAAAAAAAAAAUGGAGCGAAAUGCGGUGCUACAAAGACAUUGAUGUUCCUGAACAUUUACUUUUCAUUUGUUUUGUUGUAGUUGUAGUAAUAGGUAUAUCUGUAGCUGCUACGUAGACCUUAGGCAACAAAUGCCACGAACAUGAACCUAGUGACUUUUUGUGUGUGCGGACUUGAACUUAUCUACAUUUCUAUAUCACAAAAGAAGACUACACAAGCAGAUACUUGUGAAAACAAAACACUUCAAAUGGUCAAUAUCACUAAGUCACUUCCCAGAUCUGAAAAAAGCCUCCAUUCUACUUCAACUCAACAUUAUCAUCACUUAGAACAUCAACUUACAACAAGCCAUCACAACACAUACACAAGAAAUUUAAAUCAAAGCAGAAUAAGUUGAAAUCACAAGGCACAACCAAAUGAAUAAUUUGCAUUCCAGCAAAAUUUAAGUUCGAAAAAUGAUUAAGGCUGCGAUACACAGCCUGCUGGGGAAAGUGGCCCUUCCAUGUUGCCCAUCACGUGGUGAAAAGAAAAAGAAAAAAAAAAGAGAGAAAGAAAUGAAGAAUCAACUCACAAGUUGUAGCUUUGUGGAGAUCACGAUAUUUCCAGAUGACAGCGGCUACGGCGACGAGCAGCAGCGACGGAUACUCAGCGACGAGCAGUAGCGACGGAGACUUGGCAACGAGCAGCAGCGGCAACAGCAAGGACCAGCAGCGCGGAGACAAGCGACGGGGGCGAGAUUCUAGCGGCUGAAGGUCACGAGUUCAGUGGCUCAAGAUCAGAACUCAGAACUGAAGGAAUCUGAAGUGGACAAUUGGUUUAGAGAAUUAGAGUCACUAGGUUCAGGGAUUUCGGAUUUCGGUUUAUUUGAUAAUUGGUUCGGUUUUGCGGUUUUUUUUUUAAAACCGAACCGACUGAUUUUACUAUUUUUACUAUAUUACUUAUUCGGUUUUUUGAGUGUAAAAAAACCGCAAAAAAAACAAAACCGAACCGAACGGUUCGGUUCGGUUUUUGAUUAAUCAACUUUUUUUGCCCACCCCUGAUGAAAUAGGCUUUAGUUAUUUUACAUGAUCAUGUAAAUUAUUCUUGUAUAGUUAUUAAAUAAAAAUUAAAAAUAAUAAAAAUAAUAAGAUUUUAUUAUUUUAUAUUUCCACAGCUGUUGAAUUUUCAUCAAACGAUUAUGAAAAAAUCAUAUAUUUUAUAUGAUUACCCUUUUUUUAUGAUAACAAUCUCUCGUAAAAUAAUUGAUCACCCUUUUUUUUUAUGAAAAAUUGAUAUACUUGCUUACACACAUGACAUAUUCUCCUUGGAAGUAAAGAAAAAAUUUCCAUUAUUCUGCAUUGUGCAUCACAGUCCUGACAGCGUUUUAGGCUCUGUAAAUAGCAAGAAAAUAAUUUGUUUUCUUAUUUCCUUUUGCUAAUUGACAAAAUGAUGAGAAAAAAAAUGAAAAAUAAGGAAAAAAAAGUUUCUAUUAUAACAAGAAAAUAAAGAUUAAAGUAAAAUGCCAUGACACGUAGAAUUCUCUAAAACGAUAUCUAAAUUGAAAAGUGUAAUAAAUAAUUCGGGGAAGCUUGAAAAAUGUAACAACAAAAUUUGUGUCAAAUAAGAAUAAAAAUAAAAACUUAUUGGAUGGAGCCAAUAAAGUUUAGAAAGAUUUUUAUUUCGCUUAAGUUUAUAAUUUAGAGUCACAAGCAACAAGUUCGUAAACAACAUGAAUUUUUGAGGAUUGCAAUAAAAAUUGUGAUUGAUAACAACAAAUUUACAAUUAAUAAUUAAUAACAAACAAUGGCUACGUGGGUAUUUUCCAAUUUACGGAGCCUCAAGGGCCAAGGUUGACCUAAUAUUGCCAUAUAAAAAUAUUUUUUUAAAAGAAAAUAAAAUAUGAUCUAAAAGAAUGUGUACCAUGAUAUAAUUGAUAAAAUUUUCAUUCUUUCAAGUUCUAAGAGAGUCUAAGAGAAACGUGAAAGGCUUAAAGUGCAUAAUAAUAAUAAUAAAAGGAGAAAUUUUAAAUACUUCAGAUAUAUUACAACCACCACUUUAAUACAACCACUAUAUUACAACCACAUAUAUCAUGUCAUUAUUUGUUUGUUGUAUGACUGACAUGGUACAUCAGAUGUAUUCUAGAAUUUCUCUAAUAAAAGAGACAUGUGAAAGUGAGAGCAAUAAAAAAAAUAAAAUAAAACCCCUAAAUUGGAAACUUUUAAAGAAUAGUGAUGAUUGUCGAAGCCAACAAAAAUAAAUACCUACUCUAAAUAAAUUGUGUAUAGUGAUUGAGCUGGAUCGUGUCCACAGAGAUUGGUAAUUAUUUAAAUCCUUUUAACACGUAAAACAUAAAAUGGGGGUUUUGUUGACAAUAAUAAAAAUCAAAUUAAAAUAACAAGAAUGCAAAUUAAAGUUGUAAUUCAAAUUGGAGAAAGCUCUGGUUGAAGGAAUUAACUCAGCUUGAUUCGACUACUGAUCAUUGAUUCAAAUAUAAAUUAUUACUACUUAUGAAUAGACCGGUUAUAGCUACUGAGACCCUCUAAUAGCCAAUCUCUCCUUAACUAGUCGAUAACCAAGGUACGAUCGUUGGUUAUUUCCCUAAUCAAUAGACAACCCUAGAUACGAUCAUAUGAUUUAAUCAAUUGACAGCCUGAAAAACCAGAGAGACCCAAAUCCUAAUCAACAAACGCAUACGAUGGUUCAUUUAAAUUAGAUUGUUUAUUCUCAUAACACAACUCACUGCUAUGUUAUUUGUCACAAACAUUAAAAUCUUCAUACGAUAAAUCCUUUAAUUGACAAUAGAUUAAGUUGAUAAUUAAAUAGUGGCCAGUUAUCUAAUUAACAAACAUAAUCAUGAAAAUAAUUCAGAGAAUAAACAAAUACCAAAAAAGUAAUAAAACAAUUAAAGCAUAAGAAAGAUCUCACAGUAGUGAUGAAUCAAAGCUUCAUUAACCUUCAACCAGAAUAAUAGAUUUAGUUCUUCAUAGAGAGAAUAGAAAAAUUUAGAUCUAGGGUUUCUUUCUUUUCUCCAAUCCCCCUUUUUUUCACAAUAGAUUCCUCCCUUAAAUACUCUCUCUCUCUUCUCCUCUAGAGUUCUAUUUAAAAUAAAAUACUAAUAUCUAAAAUAUUAAAUUCGUAAUUACAAAAAUAACCAAAAAUACAAAACACGUUAAACUAAAAACUGUAGGUCCGUAGUUGACAGCACGCGCCCACGCCUUAUCAAUAAAGUUCUUCUGACGCUCAUUAUUUCUUCAAAAGAACAAUCAUCCUUAAACAUCAUCUUGUAGCUCAAUUUUAGCACCAAUCAAUAGAAUUGCACCUAUAAAAGUAAAACACAAGUAAAUCACUAUUAUUAAGUGCAAAACAUCGAUAUUAAGGGAAGCAAACAAUGCAAAACUAGUGCAUAAAUUGCACUCUAACAAAUUCCCCCACACCAAGAUGAUGCUUGUCCUCAAGCAUAUAACUCAAGACUAAUCACAAAUCUCCGCUCAAUUCUCAUCUCAACUCAUCCAAAAACAAUUUUAAGCAAGCAUACCUCAAGAAAUUAAGUCGAUCAUCAUUCGAAAGACAAGGAUUUUAAAGCAUAGAAUCUCAUAAGAUAGAAGAAGAACAUUCAACCACCAAGAAGAUCCAUUCAAAAUUCAACUGCAAUAAGAUUUAAUAGCCCUCUCAUUGACUUCACUCCAUUCACUCAAAGUGUUUAGGGUAUCAUUUAUGCACUCAAAUCAAAUCAAAUAAUGCUAUUACCAUAAGCUUGCUCAUAUAUCACAUCUCAAUCCACAAAACAUGAAUAAAAUGCAAAAAUCUAAGGGUCUUAAAAAGGUUGUAAUGGGGUUAAAUAAGUUAAAUGAAAAAGAAAGGUCUACGAAAGAAAAAGAGAUCAAAAUGAGAAGAAUGAACUCAUUGAAUGAACUUAUGAUAUCAAAAUGCUUAUUUCUACUCAAGUCACCAAGAAUGUAAACAUUUUUUUUCUUUUUUUCGAUUUUUGUCUUUUUUUUCUUUUUUUUUAAUCAAAAGAAAAGAAACGAACCUUGCACAAUUUAAUUCAAGCAUAAUGCUUGUUGAUCUAAUUGAGAAACUUUAAUACAAGGUAGAAAAAGCAACAAAAUAUAUACAAAAUAUAUCCGCACAAUGAGUCCAAAAAUCUCCUUAAAUUGAGGCUCAAAAAGAAGAAAAAUUGUUAAGUAGACAAAGAGAAUUAGAUGGAUAAUGGUUAAGACUCAAACAAAGAUAGCAAAUAAAGGUCUUCGGGUAGAAAAAAAAAAGAAAAUGCGAGAAACAAAUGUUUACAUAGAAACAAAUGGCGCGCAGUCGAUUUGUCAAUCUAGUACCACUCUCGUAUACUUGGUGAGAUUCGGCUAUACCAAAUUUGUAGCCUAUAUUUUACUUUAAUGAGAAAAUCAAAUAAUGUUUGAACAAAUAAUUUUCUUUUUUCUAUAUACUUUCUUAAAAUGUAUGGAGUGGGUAAAGUACAAAUUGUUUUUUUAGCCCUUUGACUCCUCCAAAAUUCGAACUCAAUUUAAUGUCAAUUAAAAUAAUGCUACUUGAAAAUCAUUCAACCAAAUAUCGUAAAAACUAUAAUUUUACGAAGUGAAAGUUUCACUGAUUAUUGAAUUAUAGAACAUGCUAUCAUUUCCUAGUUAGAAUUUGUUUAAUUCUAUUAAUUUACAAUCAUUCUUUAUUUUAUUCAAUUAAUUAAAGUGAAUUUGUUUUGUAUAAGUUCUAUAUAUGUAAAAUUUUAAAAUUCAGUGUUGAACUUAAUUGUACUAAACCUUUUAUAAUUUUUUAUCACAUCUGCAUGUUUAACAGUCUAGUAUUAAUAUUGAUAGCACAUAAUAUAUAGGAUCAAGAGACAUUGAUUUCGGGUGCCACAAGAUUUUUAGGAUUGCAUGCACAAGGGCUUACAAGAUUUUUAGGAUUGCAUGUAGGGGUGGGCGCGGUUCAGUUCGGUUCGAUUUUUAACUAAAUUUUUCAUAAUCGUUCAAUUACGAUUAUUUUAAAAUCAUAAUGGCAAUUAAUCAAAUUACCGAAAUAAUCAAGUACUCGAUUAAUCAAAAUAAUUCGAUUUGAUUCAGUUCGAUAAUUUCGAUUAUGAGCUUAUUGGACCUAUUUUGGGUUUUUUUAAAUUUAAAACCUUAAAUUAAUAAAUCUACCACAAACAUAAAAAAGUUAACAAACGAUUUGUUUCUUAGUUAAAAGUUUUUAAUCUUUUACUGCUUUUAUUAUUAUCCCAUUUUCGUGAUUGUUGGUAAAUGUGUCAAAUCAUAGGUGGAAAGCCUCUACAAAAUAAAAAUUAACCAAAAAAUCAAUUAAGAUUAUAGUUUAAUUAAGGAUCCAUACAGAGUUAGUUAGCAGAACCAGCUGGAAAAUGUUUUUGUCUGAACCUGUUGCAGAAAAUUAAUACUUGCUAGCGUUUUUUAUUAAUUAAUUUAGUUAUGAAUAUACAAACUUAAAAAGUCAUGAAUGAGACGUGUUUGAACUUGCUUUAGUUUUCAUCAGUAGUAAAGAUAGCACCGGCAAUUCACAGCACCAUCAUUUAGUUAUGAACUUGCUUUACGUGCUCUGGAAAUAUCAGUCAUUUUACAAAUGAAAAAGAAAUCAAGAUUUCAUGUUUCACCAUGCUUGGGUUGCUAUCAAACAUAGCAACACCAAAAAAUCAAAUCCAGUGAAGGAGAAUUACCAAAUACAAGGUCAAGAUUCCACCAUAUUAUCAAAAUUGACAUUUGACCGUCAUUAGUAGCAUUAAUUGUUUUGUAGCGUACAGAGCCACACAAAACACUAAGACUAAAGAAAUCAAAGAUGAAAACAAACACCAUAUCACAUUAAACAUUUUCAAACACGGCUCUAAGAUAUAAAAAUCAUGAUCAAUCUCAACAGUAUCCAGUUUGCGAUUUGGGAAAAGAAACUGAAAAAACCAAUCAUUCAAUCAUCUUUCAGCCAAAGAAACAAACCAUAUCUCACCCAAAUGGGGGAAAAGAAAAAACAAAAGAAUGAAUCAUAAAUCACAAAUCAAUUUUGGUAUACAAAUUACUAGUCAUGGUUAUAACUAAAUACAACAUCUCAAGUGAACGAACCUCAACAAAUUAUGAAACGAAACACGAAACAAUCAGCAGUAGCUCAAGUUAUUGGUUUUUAUUCUCUGCAAAAACAGAACAAACCAGAGAAAUGAGAGACAAAAACAGCAGCGAUAUUUACAUAACUCAAGCACAUUAACAAAAACAUGGGAACGAGGAAAAAGAAAUGAACUUUAAACCAAAUUCAUAAAACCGAAACGAAAAAUGGAACUUUUUUGUUCGAUUUUUUGUUCUGCUGAGAGAUUUUGUUGACAAAAACAAAAGAACCCAGAAAUGCUAAAGAGGAAGAGAGAGAAAUCAAUACGUGAUCGUAGUGUUAAAAAAAAAAAAAACCUCACAACAGUAGUCAGAUGGCAGCAGGGGAGCACCGUGACAGCAGCAACAAUUGAUAGUAGGUGACAGCGGCAAGUGACAGUGGCAGCAGCAGCAGAUGACAGCGGCUACAGCAGGUGGUAGCGGCGGCGGAGAGUCGUGAAGGACAAGCAGCAGCAGCAGCGGGGACGAGAUUCCAGCGGCUGAAGGUGCUGCGGCUUCGGUUUUCGGCUGAAGAUCAGAAGAAAUGAAGAAUGUGUUUAGUUUAGACUUUAGGGAUUGUUAUUUGACAUUCGGUUUAUUUGAUAUUCGGUUCGGUUUUUCGAUUUUUUUUUAAACUAAAAACCGAAUAGACUGAUUUUACUACUUUUAUUAUAUUACUCAUUCGAUUUUUUGGAUGUAAAAAAACCGCAUAAAUGCUGUAGAAAACUUAAAUUUUAUAGUACUUAGUUAGCUGCACAUAUAUAUAUAUAGGGCUACUAUAGCCAAAGAAACUUACAUGCUCUAGAAAACUUAAAUUUUCAUUGAUGCCACGUAACAUCAAAAAACUUUUCCCAGUAACAUUCGUAAAAGCUAAAAAUGUCUGAUUCGGUAGAGUAAACACCUCUAUGAGUGUAUUUACGAGGAAUAUAUCAAUAUAACCUCUACAUUUGAAAAUAACCAACAGUCUUUCAGUAUGUCUGUAUAUAUAUAUAUAUAUAAUCAGCUUCAGGUCUGGAAUUUAAAUUUGAAAAGAGUCUACAAUGUUGUAAAUUGCAUUUAUCACUGUUUUACAAUGGUAUAAAUUUAAUUAUAAAUGACUGUCAAAAAAUUAAUAGAUGGUUAUUAUAUAUGAUUAUAAUUAGAACAUUAAAAUUCAAGUCGACUCAUUUAUCUUUACGUUGAUUUUAUUCUUUGUGGUUAUACUUAGAAUAUUAAACAAUUAAGUCGACUAGUUUAUCUUUAUGUUGAUCAUUACAGGCCUCUUAAAUAUUUUAUUUACCUAUAUUUUCUUUGAUUUGUUAUUUUGAGUUGUAUGAAAUGUAGCUUUACUCCUGUUUUCUUUACUUUACUUUGGUUUUCUUUAUUGUUGAUAGGAAUUUUCUUGUUAAAACUAUAUGAUUCAAAUUCAUACUACAACCAUGAUGAAAUAUUUAAUAAAACCUUCAAACUAAAUCCACAUAUUCCAUGAGUAAGGACCCUGAGAUCACAUUUGUUCAAGUUUAUGCUUUAAGUAAAAUAAAAGUAGAAAUGAGAGUUUUAAAGAAGAAAUUCAGUUAUAAAUAAUUGUCAAAUAAUUAAUUGUUCAGCAUUUAUUUUAUAGGUCCCACUGUUGGGACUCCAUGUGAUCUGCCAACUGGCAGGCCUUAUGUGGUUGGGUGAACCAAGGUGUGCCUACCCCAUAUAAGUUCCUCUCUUCUCAUAGAUAUAACUAUCAACGGCGCUAUGUCAUGUCCAACAAGGACUCUUCGAAACUUUUUAUGUGAAUUUUAAACAUUACCCCAUUACGCUUUUGAAACACCAAAACUACCUCUCUUAAAUUUUUAAAAAAGGAAAAAAAUACAUGUUAAAAGAAUGUUUUAUGUCUUUAGCUUAACAGUUAGCACACGUAUUGUACUCUUGACAUUUUUCUUCUGUAAAUCUUCACUUCUUUUUUCUUUGAUUUUUCACACGUCACUGCUCUUUUAUCUCUAAAAAAUUAAAUUGUCCGUAGAAGCUUACUAUUUAAUUUACGGAUCUAAUUAUUUAGCUCUAAAUAUUUAGAUAAGUUUUCUUAAUUAAUUACCACUUCUUUAAUUUAUUUGGUGAUUUCUCUUAGAUGAAAGAAUUAAGGUUAUGUCCUAGGAAAAAUAUUAACUCUCAUAUUAUAGUGUUGAUAAUGAGGUUAUCCUUAAAUUUUUAACACAUGAAAACACAUCGAGGUAACUAUAAAUUCAUUGAAGGAAAUAUUUUAAUAAAUUUAGAUUUUGGUACAUAUUAUUUGUUGAAUUUUUUUUCUUUCCAAAUUGAACGUAGCCCUUAUGACAUUCAAUUCGUGAGAGUGCCACUAAAUGUAAAGUGUUGAACUAGAUCAUAUUUCUCCCUUAUGCAAACUCCAUCGUUUAUUUAUAUUUCAAUUUUGUGGCCUAUUUUCGAGUUUUCUAGUUUCACAGAGGGCAUCUUGGAUUUCUCUACGCUGUCUAUAGUCUCUAGUCCAAAUGAAGAAAUCGAAUUCACCAUGUACUGUUUGGGAGAAGUACGUCGACGAGACCAGACAUGAUGAGCAGAUAUCUGAUGGCAGAGUUCUGCGAACAGGUGUGUCCUGUAAGAGACUGGUGACCGGGGAGCAGGAGUAGAAAUAUUUUGCUCGUCCGCGAGAAUGCCGUCCACGAGGCUGGGCUCCUGCUGUAGCAUGGAGCAUUCCUGCUAAAGGUUUUAAUCGAGGAGACCCGGUCAACGAGAAUUGGUGCGGCGGGCUCUGCAAUCCGAAAAUCAAGGUACUAAGGCCACGUAUCCACCCACGAUUACAGAAAUAGAGCAUCCACGUUCGAGAGGUGGGAGGAUAACGAGCGCAAAUGAGGGGAAGGUCUGGAGUCAGGAGGACCUAUAAAAAGGUAGCCAACGAAGGUAAAAGGGUUAGACUUUUCGCUAUUAGAACUAAGAAAAGAGAGCUCUAAGAACUGAGAUUAAAAAGAAGCCAUAAGAUUCGUGGCAUAGAUUCCCAAAACCUUCAUUUCUGACUUGAACGUCGGAGGGUUUGCGCCGGGGAACCAACCGGCGUACUCUGACCUGUCUGUGUACGCAGGAACUUCUGGAGAAGAAGCUUUACGAGGAGAGAUCCUGAUCGUGGUGACGUUGAUCGAGCAGAGCUCCUGGUCGUAUAACGAGGAGGACUAGAAUCUCGCAUCAACAUUUUGGCGCCGUCUGUGGGGAGCUGAGCAAAAAGCUUCUGUUGAUAGCAAGAAGAAAAGGGAAGCAACUGAAAAGCAAUGGAGACAGGAGGAAGUAGUGCACAAGGGGGUGAUAUGAGGCUUAACGAUUCCGUGACGCUGAGGGAGAUAGCCAGUGAAGCACGGGAAAAAGCCAUGUUCGACCAGAUGGAACGGAUGGAAAAGCAGAUGGAGACCUUGACAACCAUCCUGCAUGAGCUGCGGAGCGAACGAAGGGUAACCUAGGAGGAAAGGGUGAGAGGUGGUGGAGUGGCACCAGGUCCCGAUAGUGCGAGGAGAAGUCAAACCAUCGGGAGAUUUGGUGGCGAGAGAGGUAACAUACCUCUGCGGGGAGAAUUGCAUAGAGAGGAAGAGCAGUCCCCGACAAGACAGAUUUUUGACGAGGACAACGGGGUGGCGAAUGCAGAGGAAACACAGUUGAGGCAACACUUGCAUGAUGUAGUGCAAGAGCGGGAUCAAGUUGCAGCACGUGACCCUGGUCGUGCAGAGCAGCUGGAGGAGGAAGUGCGCAGACUAGCGCAGAUAAUUGACGACAUGCAAGGAAGGAGCAGAGCUCCUGGUUGGAGAAUAAUGCUGGACGGAGAAUCACCGCUCGCAGCAGAGAUCAUAGGGCAAUUAUUCCGAGAGAUUUUUGCCUCCCAGACUUUAGAUACUCGGGAAGAACUGAUCCGCUGGUGCACAUAGAGUGCUUCAACGACAUAACUGGGGUACAAGGAUUAUCUCAAUCCCAAAGGUGCAGGGUGUUCCCACUAUCCCUUGAGGGACGUGCACGAGAGUGGUACAAGAAACUUCCUCGGGGCAGCAUUAAAACCUUCGAGCAGAUGUGCCAGGAAUUUGUAGAGCAGUUUAGUGGGGCAACGGCACCAGAAGAUGACAUGAUGGAGCUGAAAAGCAUGAAACAGGGGGAGCAAGAAACCCUUCGGGAAUUCAUCAAGAGGUUUCAUCGUGCUGUCCUCGACUUGGGUGCCUUCAACCACCCUCAGGCGUUAAGGGGAUUGAAAGAAGGGGUGAAGAUAGGAAGGUUGUGGUACAACUUGAGAAGCCCAGUUAUUCAGACGUAUGCGGUCGCAUACGAGCAGGCUAAGAGAGACAUUGAGAUUGAAGAGGAGAAGGCAGCACGGAUUAAGACAGACCAGUUAGAAGGGUUGGGGAGGAAAGAGAAGAAAGCAUUACCAGGGAAUGGGCCGAUCAGGAGGAGGGACCACCAAGCCUCGGGUAGUGGAGCAGGAGGUCGGGUAACUGCUUACCAGCCUCAUCAGAGGCCACCACAGUAUCAGCGCAGUAGGGCGCAACUUCCUCGUUCCCCAGCUAGGGAGCCUUGGAGAAGGCAUGAUUCGGCAUAUGGUGGUCUCCAUCAACAUUCCCACGGUAGCAGAGGGAGCAGACCAGAAGUACUACCACAGCCCCCAACUCAGAACGGAGCAAACAGAGAAAGAGCAGUGCACCUGAUCGACCAGAACCAGGACUAUGAGCAGUAUACUUCCUUGAAGAUGUCCCUGGACGAGGUGUACGAGGCCAUAAAGGAUCGGGGGUUGCUAUACCUCCCUGCUCAAAUAACAAAGCUACCCAGCAGGAGGGAUAGGGGACGCUAUUGUAAGUUCCAUGGCACUCAUGGCCACACCACAGCAGAUUGCAGAGAUCUUAAGACCCAGGUCGAAGAUUUGGUGAGAAAUCGGUAUCUGGACGAGUUUGUAGAUGGGACCUUCCCAAUGGUAGCCUCAACAAGUGAAGGGGAGUAGAGUGACAGGAACUUGAGGCGCGAGCAGCCUGCAGUAAGGGUUAUAGCUGGGGGCCCAACAUUGGCGGGAGAUUCCAACAGGUCGAGGAAGAAUUAUGCUAGAUACGCCAUGACCAGCAAAGAGGUAUUCUUCAACACCCCAGCAGCCAAACGUGCAAGAGUCAGGCAAGUGCCAAUCAUGUGGACAGAUGAGGAUGAGGAAGGGAUUCUAUACCCUCACGAGGAUGCUUUGGUCAUCAAGGCCACCGUUGCUAGCAAGAAGUUUGACAGGAUACUGGUUGACACAAGGAGCUCAGUUGACGUAUUGUUUAAGUCAACCCUGGAGGAGAUGGGGAUAGCAGACCUGAAGUUGGAUUACACCAAUACCUUCUUGAAGGGGUUUGGAGGACGAAGGCUGGUCCCUCUGGGCGUGGUCGAGCUGCCUAUCACGAUCGCGAGUUCCCCGACAGAAAGGACAAUGAUACUAGACUUUGUAGUAGUAGAUGAGGAAGGUCCUUACCAGAUGAUCCUAGGCCGGCCAUUUCUGAGGAUGAGCAAAGCGGUGCUGUCCAACCAUUAUCUGGCCCUCAAGUACCGGGUGAAUGAAGUAGUUGGAGUGGUACGAGGAGACCAGAGAAUCGCAAGAAGCUGCUACUCUUCGGCAGCAAGGGAAGCAAUGCAGAUAACAUCCAUUGACACCCGAGUGGAAAACGAGAAUGGCAGACAAGAACCUGUAGAGGAGCUGGAGACAGUAAGCCUGGGAUCAGAGAAUCCGGGAAAGACGAUCAGAAUCGGGUCGAGACUUAAAGAAAAGCAGAAGCAGGAGUUGGUGAAAUGCUUACAGGCUCAUGCAGAUGUGUUUGAAUCUUGAUCUGCUAACGGAAAAAAGGGAGCAAGCAGCUGGUCAAUCAGCCAUUUACCAGCAAAGGGUCACUCGUUAUUAUAACCAGAAGGUUAAUGUACGACAAUUCAGGGUCGGAGACUGGGUACUGAGAAGAGUGAAUCAGAGUACCAAAGAUUCGACUCAAGGAGUGCUGGGACCGAAUUGGGAAGGGCCAUAUAGAGUCAAGCAGAUAGUGGGACACGGAGCUUACAAGCUGGUUCGCACGGACGGCCGCGAGGUGAAACGCCCUUGGAACGCAGCACACCUCCGCAAAUACUUCCAGUAAGAUCUGUUCACAUUUUAAAGCUAUUUCCGCUCGUGCUCGUUAUCUUUUAUUUUUUAUAUUUUAUGUCAAAGCAAGUUCAUGUAAAACCAACUCCUGCAAUUAAUGGAACGUCGAGGAAUUUCAUUCAGUUGAAACUGUGAUAAAUUUUCUAAGGCAUGCGAAGGCUCACCAAGUCUCAAAGCCUGUUUAUGGCGAGACCAGAAGCCAAGCGUGCCGGGAUCUGCUCGACCACGCGAAGGCGAGCAGAAUCCCAAUCAUUGAAGAAAAUAACUAAGGCAUGCAAAGGCUCACCAAGUCUCAAAGCCUGUUUAUGGCGAGACCAGAAGCCAAGCGUGCCAGGAUCUGCUCGACCACUCGAAGGCGAGCAGAAUCCCAAUCAUUGAAGAAAAUAAUUAAGGCAUGCAAAGGCUCACCAAGUCUCAAUGCCUGUUUAUGGCGAGACCAAAAGCCAAGCGUGCCAGGAUCUGCUCGACCACGCAAAGGCGAGCAAAAUCCCAAUCAUUGAAGAAAAUAACUAAGGCAUGCAAAGGCUCACCAAGACUCAAAGCCUGUUUAUGGCGAGACCAGAAGCCAAGCGUGCCAGGAUCUGCUCGACCACGCGAAGGCGAGCAGAAUCCCAAUCAUUGAAGAAAAUAACUAAGGCAUGCAAAGGCUCACCAAGACUCAAAGCCUGUUUAUGGCGAGACCAGAAACCAAGCGUACCAGGAUCUGCUCGACCACGUGACGGCGAGCAGAAUCCCAAUCAUUGAAGAAAAUAACAAAGGCAUGCAAAGGCUCACCAAGUCUCAAAGCCUGUUUAUGGCGAGACCAGAAGCCAAGCGUGCCAGGAUCUGCUCGACCACGCGACGGCGAGCAGAAUCCCAAUCAUUGAAGAAAAUAACUAAGGCAUGCAAAGGCUCACCAAGUCUCAAAGCCUGUUUAUGGCAAGACCAGAAGCCAAGCGUGCCAGGAUCUGCUCGACCACACGAAGGCGAGCAGAAUCCCAAUCAUUGAAGAAAAUAACUAAGGCAUGCAAAGGCUCACCAAGACUCAAAGCCUGUUUAUGGCGAGACCAGAAGCCAAGCGUGCCAGGAUCUGCUUGACCACGCGAAGGCGAGCAGAAUCCCAAUCAUUGAAGAAAAUAACUAAGACAUGCAAAGGCUCACCAAGUCUCAAAGCUUGUUUAUGGCGAGGCCAGAAGCCAAGCGUGCCAGGAUCCGCUCGACCACGCGAAGACGAGCAGAAUCCCAGUCACUGAAGAAAGUAUCUAAGGCACGCAAAGGCUCAUAAAGUCUCAAAGCCUGUUUAUGGCGAGACCAGAAGCAAAGCGUGCCAGGUUCUGCUCGACCGCGCGAAGGCGAGCAGAAACCCAAGCAUUGAAAAAUUUUCUAAGUAAUGUAGAAAGACCAUAUUCUUAACCAGAGCCUGCUCGGCCAAGCGAAGGCGAGCAGACCCUCAACAGAAAAUUUACUUGUAAAUACAAAACACAAGAAAGUAAUCAAAAACAAUUUUCAUUAAUUUAUCAAUAACCAACAAAGUUGUUCAUUACAACGCAUGAAAUAUGUUCAAGAAGAUGGCGGAUCAGUAAGCCGAGUAGCGUCGGUCGGCUGGACCUCCUCGGGUACAGGGGGGUAUCACCAGUUGCGUCCGGGGGGGUGCUCGCCUCGCCGACGUCAGCAGGGAUUGCACGAGGAGGAGAGUUUUCCUCCUCAAUCACGAUCGGCUCCACCCCUUCGGCAUCUUCCUUGGCCGCCUCCUCGUCCAUAUGUUGAGCAACACCAGCUGCAAGGUCAUCCAUCUUCAGAUCAGGAUGCUGCUUCCCGAGGACGGCCAUGAUGCAACGAUAAGAAUGCCGGAGUCCCUGGUCGUACUGGUUGUCGGCCUCCUUCUCUAAGUUUUCGACCUGAACCCGGUGGGAAUCGCGGAGAGAUUCGAGCUGAGCCUCGUACAAAGCUUUCUGACUCUGCAGAUCCUCCUUGACCUUGGCCAGCUCUUCCUCGAGAGUGAUAGCCUUUGCUUGGGCAAGAGACUCUCGCUCAAUCAACUUCAGAUUCUCGGGGUUCAAGUCCCCUGCUUUCUUUUCGGCAACACCAGCUCUGGUCGUCGCCGACUGAAUGUCCUCCUUCAUCUUCCUAUCAUAGCGGCCAACUUUGGCCUUAUAGUAGGUGGUCAUGCAGCUGAGAUGGAAGGCGCUAUACUGCAUGGCCCCCACCAGCUCGCCUAGACUACAUCCAUCAAAGUCCUCCAGAUCCUUCUUGCUCACGAGUUUGGAAAGCUCGUUGAGAUAGGGAGCCAAGUGUUCUGCUCGGCUAUCAGGCAAACGAGAUCUAGGCCCGACAGGUGGAGAAGAGGAAGCAGGAUCAGUGGCUGCUCCACUGGUCUCGCCGAGUUUGGCAGGAGGAGGAGGUAAAGUCUUCAAGGGAGAGACCUGCUGCACGAUGUUGGCCCGCUUUGCAGUAGGGGCGUCCUUGUUCUGGUCCCUCUUCGUGGUUUGAGGUCGAGAACGUUUCCUGUUCAGAGCCCCAAUCACAGCGUCCUCCAUCUUAUGGCCAGGGAGUACCAAGCGAGACUCGAGCAAGUUGUAAGUAGUUAGCAGUUCUCGGCUCGGGCAGGUAUUGGGUAGUACGGCCUCAACCUGUUUGAGCUGGUCAGGUUGGAGUGGGAAAUGAACACCCCAAGAAACUACAACACAAACAGACACUUGGUUAGAGGUAAGCCAAUAAAGCAGGAACAAUUAUGCAUACAAGACAUCUAAGCGAGCAUGCAACCUGGGACCGUGAAACGGGGUGGGAUGCGACAAUCCUUCCCGUCUAUUUGUGCAACUUGACCCCAAGGACCCCCAGCAAAAAAGAAUUUUCUCUUCCAAGUCCCACCACCACCAGUUGGAAGAUCAGUUAUGGGUUUCCUGCUCUUGGUACUAGAUUGGAAGUAGUACCAGCCGGCAUCUUUGGGGCUGUUCUUUAGCUGGUACAGGUGUUUCACCUCGUCGACCGUGGGCUCGCUUUGACAACAUCUGUCCCACAAGAUGAAUAGACUAGAGAGCACUCUCCACCCGUUGGGGUUCAGCUGACCAGGAGCUAGAUUCAACCCGCUAAGAAUCCGGGCAAAGUAGGGUUGCAAGGGACACCUCAGCCCAUGCUUAAAACUCUCCAAAAACAAGGUAACAUAUCCCCUAGGAGGCCGGCUAGAGGUAUCCUUCUUUCCUGGGAUCUUAAGAAGUAUCUCACCAGGAAUGCUAUACCUAAGCCGGAGGUUAGCGAGCUCGUCAAACGUGGUCGUGCACGUCAUAUAAUCAAUAGCGUAAUCCCGCGAUAGGGCUCUACCUCCUGCUGUACUCUACCCUUCUGGUCGUGACGCUCCUGAUGGUGAUGCCUCACCAGAAUCAUCUCCACGAUCCUCACUCAGGGUGUUCUCCGAUCCAGAAGACCCUUCCUCAUCGCUAUUUCCGCUCGAGGAGGUUGUUUGGGGGGACAUCCUCCUAGUGCUAGUGCCAACACUAGAUCUAAUGGGCUCUAAGGGGAUCCCGGGGUCAAAAGCAGGAUCGGUGAGCAGACUAGGCAAGAAGUCCAACUCAUCGUCAUCAACCUCAAUGACCUUCUCUUUACCUCUCGACAUUCCCUAAGCUCUAACCACAACACCACCACCAACUACUACCCAAACAAAAGAGAAGAGAAAUUAUCUACAACUAUCCGAGACCAGGGAGAUAGAAGAAGUACCUGAAGUAAUGGUUCAGUCGGAGAAAGACAGAGAUGGAGGCCCCUAUGCCGGAACUUCUUUCCGGAGAGACAGAGACGAAGACGGAGUGAAUGACGAAUUUGUCGUUCGAAAGGAUUUGGGUUUCCUAAUGGAGACGGACUCUUGGGUUGCCAGCAUUUAACGACACCAAAUCUCAAGGGCCUCGUAACCGUUGGUUUGAAAUUCGAAUAGAGGGGCAGAUGUCUGCCACAUCACCUCGUCCGCAAUUAAAUGCGACAUGACUCUUGGCAGCCUUUUCCCAUCCCACGCGAGCAAGUACUGUUGAGUUUCUACUGCUGGUCCACUACAUUACCCAAACACUAGAAACUGGGGGACCGAUGUUUGGGAGAAGUACGUCGACGAGACCAGGCAUGAUGAGCAGUUAUCUGAUGGCAGAGUUCUGCGAACAGGUGUGUCCUGUAAGAGACUGGUGACCGGGGAGCAGGAGCAGAAAUAUUCUGCUCGUCCGCGAGCAUGCCGUCCACGAGGCUGGGCUCCUGCUGUAGCAUGGAGCAUUCCUGCUAAAGGUUUUAAUCGAGGAGACCCGGUCAACGAGAAUUGGUGCGAUGGGCUCUGCAAUCCGAAAAUCAAGGUACUAAGGCCACGCAUUGUUAGAGUGCAAUUUAUGCACUAGUUUUGCAUUAUUUACUUCCCUUAAUAUCGAUGUUUUGCAUUUAAUAAUAAUGUUUUACUUGUGUUUUACUUUUGUAGAUGCAAUUAUAUUGAUUGAUGAUAAAAUUGAGCUAAAAGAUGAUGUUUAAGAAGGAUUGUUCUCUUGGAGAAAUUUCUGAGCGUCAGAAGAACUUUGUUGAUAAGGCGUGGGUGCGUGCUGUUAACUGCGGACCUGCAGUUUUUAGUUUAACGUGUUUUAUAUUUUUGGUUAUUUUUGUAAUUACGAAUUUAAUAUUUCAGAUAUUAGUAUUUUAUUUUAAAUAGAAUUCUAAAAGAGAAGAGAGAGAGAGUAUUUAAGGGAGGAAUCUAUUGUGAAAAAGGGGGGAUUUUUGGAUUGGAGAAAAAGAAACCCUAGAUCUAAUUUUUCUCUUCUCUCUAUGAGGAACUAAACCCAUUUUUCUGGUUGAAGGAUAAUGAAGCUUUGAUUCAUCACUACUGUGAGAUCUUUCUUGUGCUUUAAUUGUUUUAUUGCUUUUUGGGUAUUUGUUUAUUCUCUGAAUUAGUUUCAUGAUUAUGUUUGUUAAUUAGGUAAUUGGCCACUAUUUAAUUAUCAACUUAAUCUAUUGUCAAUUAAAGGAUUCAUCGUAUGAAGAAUUUAAUGUUUGUGACAAAUAACAUAGCAGAGAGUUGUGUUGUGAGAAUAAACAAUCUAAUUUAAAUGAAUCAUCUUAUGUGUUGAUUAGGAUUUGGGUCUCUCUGGUUUCUCAGGCUGUCUAUUGAUUAAAUCCUAUGAUCGUAUCUAGGGUUGUCUAUUGAUUAGGGAAGUAACCAACGGUCGUACCUUGGUUAUCGACUAGUUAAGGAGAGAUUGGCUAUUAGAGGGUCUCAGUAGCUAUAACCGAUCUAUUCAUAAGUAAUAAUAAUAAUCUAUAUUUGAAUUAAUGAUCAGUAGUCGAAUCAAGCUGAGUUAAUUCCUUCAACCAGAGCUUUCUCCAAUUUGAAUUACAACUUUAAUUUGCAUUCUUGUUUAUUUCAAUUUGAUUUUUAUUAUUGUCAACAAUUCCCCCAUUUUACGUUUUACGUUUCAAAAGGAUUUAAAUAAUUACCGAUCUCUGUGGACACGACCCUGCUCAAUCACUAUACACAAUUUAUUUAGAGUAGGAAUUUAUUUUUGUUGGCUUCGACACCCAUCAAAUUUUGGCGCCGUUGCCGGGGAUUGGUGUCAUUUAUUUAAUCCUUUUUACGUUUUACUUAGUGUAUGGUUCGUUCUUCUCGUACAUGUACACUUUCAUUUGAUCCUGAAAUUGAGAAGACAGCUCGCCAGCUGAGACAGCAGACAAAGCGAGCUAAGCAACGAUCCUCGUCGCCUUUGCUUUCUGAAACAGAUACGGUGCCUGAUUUAGUUGAAUCAUCUAGAGAUUCAGAAGAACAAGUGAUGGAUAGACCUGCACCUGUAGAAAGAACUCUUAGAGAGUUAGCUGAACCAGACUUGAAUCAACAACCACUCUGCAUUCAAUAUGUAGACUUGGAGGUAAAUUUUGAAUUAAAGUCUGGUCUUAUUCAUUUAUUACCCAAGUUUCAUGAUUUUGCAGGUGAAGAUCCCCAUAAACAUCUUAAGGAGUUUCAUGUUGUGUGUUCAAGUAUGAGACCACAAGGCGUGACUGAAGAGCAGAUUAAGCUGCGUGUUUUUCCGUUCUCUGUAGAUGGGCUAACUAAAGAUUGGUUGUACUACUUGCCUCCUGGAUCGAUUACAACGUGGAAUGGUUUGAAGAAGCAGUUCCUUGAGAAGUACUUUCCUGCUUCAAGAGCUGCCAACAUCAGAAAAGAUAUUUGUGGGAUCAGACAACUUCCUGGGGAGACUUUGUAUGAGUAUUGGGAGCGAUUCAAACAAUUGUGUGCCAGUUGUCCUCAGCAUCAGAUUUCUGAUCAACUUCUUAUUCAAUAUUUUUACGAAGGAUUGUCAUUUAUGGAUAGGAGUAUGAUAGAUGCUGCUAGUGGAGGCGUGUUGGUGAACAAGACCCCUACUCAAGCAAGGGAGUUGAUAUCAAAUAUGGCUGCCAAUGUACAACAAUUUGGCAGCAGGCAAGAUCUCACUUCAAGGAAGGUGAAUGAGGUAAAUAUUUCUUCUGUUGAACAACGUUUAGAUAAACUCACUUCUCUUGUGGAAAAGUUUGUUGUAGGUAAUGUACAACAGGUGAAGACUUGUGGUAUUUGUUACAAUAUGGGUCAUUCAACUGAUAUGUGUCCUACACUUCAAGAAGAACCCGUUGAACAAGCCAAUGCAGUUGGAGGAUUUCCAGGCAUGCCUCAGAGGAGGUAUGAUCCUUAUGCACAAACAUACAAUCCGGGAUGGAAGGAUCAUCCCAACUUCAGCUAUGGAGUUAGGCCGUCAAGAUUCCCACAACAGUAUCCACCAAGACAACCAACACCUCCACAGUCAAACUCCAAGUCAGGUAUAUCUCUUGAAGAAAUUGUUAAAUCACUUGCGACUAACACUCAACAAUUUCAGCAGGCAACUACAGCAAGCAUUCAGAACUUGGAAAACCAAGUGAGUCAAUUGGCAACUACGAUGAGCCGUCUAGAGUCUCAAGUAUCUGGGAAAUUGCCUUCACAAACUGAGGUGAAUCCAAAGCAAAACGCCAGUGCCGUCAUCCUUAGAAGUGGGAAGGAGUUGCAAGAGCCUAGUAAGAAAGUGACAGAGCAUGUAGAAGAUGAGCUUGAAAAGAAUGAAUUGAUGCCUAAAUCUCAGGAUGCGCAACCCACCAGAGCGAAACCCCUACCUAUUGUGAUACCUCCUCCUUUUCCAAGCAGGUUUGCAAAAUCCAAGAAGGAGGAACAAGAGAAAGACAUCCUUGAGACAUUUCGCAAGGUUGAGGUAAAUAUUCCCUUAUUAGAUGCUAUAAAACAAAUACCUCGAUAUGCUAAAUUUCUUAAGGAACUGUGCACCUCCAAGAGAAAAUUAAGAGGAGAUGAAAGAGUUCAUAUGGGGGAGAAUGUUUCAGCAGUUCUCCAAAAGAAAUUACCUCCCAAGUGCAAGGAUCCAGGUAUGUUUACUAUCCCUUGCAAAAUUGGUAGUGUUAGAGUUGAGAAGGCUAUGUUAGAUCUAGGAGCUUCUAUUAAUGUCAUGCCUCGUUCUAUUUAUUCGUCUUUGAAUAUUGGUGCAUUAAAAGAAACUGACGUGAUAAUUCAACUAGCUGAUAGGUCUAAUGCAUAUCCUGAUGGGGUAUUAGAAGAUGUCUUAGUACAAGUUAAUGAGUUGGUUUUUCCUUCUGAUUUUUAUGUACUUGAUAUGGAAGAUGAUAACUCCUCUAAUUCUAUCCCAAUUUUGCUAGGAAGACCUUUUCUUAAGACUGCUAGAACUAAAAUGGAUGUACAUAAAGGGACUCUUACUAUGGAGUUUGAUGGAGAGGUUAUAGAGUUCAAUAUGUAUGAUGCCAUGAAAUAUCUCAGUGAGGAACAUUCGGUAUUUUCUAUGGAUGUUAUUAACCCUAUAGUGCAGGAAGUUUUUUAUUUGGAUGUUGAAGAUUCAUUAGUAGCUGCUUUAAAUAACAGUUUGGGCCUCAAAGGAUUGCAAAAGGAUGAAAAUGAGUUUGUUUUAAAUUCUGUAUUGCAAGAGACAAUUUAUGAAUUAAAUUCUUUGAGAACUUUAACUCAUUAUAUGUCUAAUAAUGAAUUACCUUCAUCUAAUGCAAAACUUCUUCCAUCUAUUUUGCAGGCACCAAAAAUAGAGCUUAAACCAUUGCCUAGUCAUCUAAAGUACAUGUUUUUAAGAGAUGAUGAGACACUUCCGGUGAUCAUCUCUUCAAAGCUUAGUACUUUAGAGGAAGAGAAACUUAUUAGAGUGCUACGAGAUUACAAAAAGGCUAUUGGGUGGACAAUUGCAGAUAUUAAAGGGAUAAGUCCGUCCACGUGCAUGCAUAGAAUACUGCUGGAGGAAGAUGCCAAACCUUCAAUUCAAGCUCAACGCUGUUUGAAUCCACUCAUGAUGGAAGUAGUGAAGAAAGAAAUUCUAAAACUUCUUGAUGCAGGUAUAAUCUAUCCAAUUUCGAAUAGCAAAUGGGUAAGUCCGGUACAAGUGGUACCAAAGAAAACUGGUAUAACAAUUGUUGAGAAUUCUUAUGGUGAGUUAGUUCCUACCCGAGUUCAGAAUGGGUGGAGGGUUUGUAUUGAUUUUAGAAAGCUUAAUUCACUCACUAGGAAGGAUCAUUUUCCUAUUCCUUUUAUUGAUCAGAUGCUUGAAAGGUUGGCAGGAAAAUCUCACUUUUGUUGUCUUGAUGGCUAUUCAGGUUUUCAUCAGAUACCAGUUGCGCCUGAGGAUCAGGAGAAGACUACCUUCACAUGUCCUUUUGGAACCUUUGCAUACCGACGUAUGCCAUUUGGUCUUUGUAACGCUCCCGCCACUUUUCAGAGGUGCAUGGUUAGUAUUUUUUCAGACUAUGUAGAAAACACUAUAGAGGUAUUUAUGGACGAUUUUACAGUCUAUGCUGAUUCUUUCGAUGAUUGUCUCUAUAAUCUGAAGAAAGUGCUUGAAAGAUGCAUUGAAACAAACCUUGUCUUGAAUUAUGAAAAAUGUCAUUUUAUGGUAGAUCAAGGCAUUAUUUUGGGUCAUGUAGUCUCUGCUAGAGGAAUUGAGGUAGAUAAAGCUAAAAUAGAUGUUAUUAAAUCUUUACCUUAUCUCACAUGUGUGCGGAAAGUUCGUUCUUUCCUUGGUCAUGCAGGUUUCUAUAGACGAUUUAUCAAGGAUUUUUCGAAGAUAGCUCAGCCUUUAUGCAAGCUUCUUCAGAAAGAUGUGACGUUUGAUUUUAAUAAAGCAUGCAAGGUAGCAUUUGAUAAACUUAAGGAGUUGUUGACUUCAGCUCCAAUUAUACAGCCACCAGACUGGAGCCUCCCUUUUGAGAUAAUGUGCGACGCCAGUAAUUAUGCUGUUGGUGCUGUUCUCGGACAAAGGGUUGGAAGAGCUGCUCAUGUGAUAUAUUACGCAUCAAGAACACUUGAUAGUGCUCGGUGCAAUUACUCAACAACAGAAAAAGAACUUUUAGCUAUUGUUUUUGCUUUAGAAAAAUUCCGUUCAUAUUUAUUGGGUACUAAAGUGAUUGUUUUUUCUGACCAUGCAGCUCUCAGAUAUUUGCUCGCCAAGAAGGAAGCAAAACCGAGACUUAUUCGCUGGAUCCUAUUGCUUCAAGAAUUCAACUUGGAGAUCCGUGACAAGAAAGGAACAGAAAACUUAGUUGCAGACCACCUUAGUAGAUUGACCACGAGUGAAGAAGCAGCACCUUCGAAAGAUGAUUUUCCAGAUGAGCAUCUCUUUAUAACUCAAGGUAUGGUUCCUUGGUACGCUGACAUUGUCAAUUACUUAGUUACAAGAAUACUACCUAGUGAUCUGACGAGGGCUCAAAAGGAUAAAAUUAAGAGCGAUGCUAAAUACUAUGUUUGGGAUGACCCUUACUUGUGGAAACAUUGCUCUGACCAAGUCAUCAGAAGGUGCGUAUCUGAGUUUGAAAUUCCUUCUAUUCUUCAAUUUUGUCACUCAUAUGCAUGUGGUGGUCAUUUUGGUCCCAAAAGGACAGCAUCCAAGGUGUUAGAAUGUGGUUUAUUUUGGCCUACUUUAUUUCGUGAUUCAUAUAUGUUUUGUAAGUCGUGUGAGAGUUGUCAAAAGACUGGUAAUUUAAGUCAUAGAAAUCAAAUGCCACUUACCCCUAUUCUUGUAUAUGAAAUAUUCGAUGUGUGGGGCAUUGAUUUUAUGGGACCUUUUCCCUCAUCUUUUGGCAAUUCUUACAUUCUUUUAGCAGUGGAUUACGUUUCUAAGUGGGUAGAGGCUAAGGCCACCCGGACUGACAAUGCUAAAGUUGUUGUAGAUUUUGUCAAGUCUAAUAUUUUUGCUAGGUUUGGUGUACCGAGAGCGAUGAUAAGUGAUAGAGGCACUCAUUUCUGUAAUCGAGUGGUGGAAGCUCUGUUCAAAAGAUAUCAUGUUACCCACCGAGUGUCUACCGCCUAUCAUCCACAGACAAGUGGACAAGCUGAGAUAUCAAACAGAGAAAUCAAGUCUAUUCUUGAAAAGACAGUUAGUCCAAAUCGAAAGGAUUGGAGUUUGCGAUUAGAUGAUGCAUUAUGGGCGUAUCGCACCGCUUACAAAACUCCCAUAGGUAUGUCUCCUUAUCGUUUAGUAUUUGGUAAGCCUUGUCAUUUACCUGUAGAACUUGAGCACAGAGCAUACUGGGCAGUUAAGCAAUGCAAUAUGCGGAUGGAUGAAGCGGGAAAGCAGAGGAAGUUGCAGCUGCAAGAGUUGGAGGAGAUUAGAAAUGAAUCCUACGAGAGUUCGCGAUUUUACAAGGAAAAGACGAAGACAUUUCAUGACAGAAUGAUUUUGAGAAAGGAGUUCUCUGUUGGUCAAAAAGUUCUUCUCUUUCACUCUAAACUUAAACUUUUUCCUGGUAAAUUACGUUCUCGUUGGGUAGGACCUUUUAUUGUUACUAAUAUUUUUCCUCAUGGUGCAAUUGAGAUUCGGAGUCCAAUCUCGAAUAAAGCCUUUAAGGUUAAUGGUCAUCGUUUAAAACCUUUUUACGAAGGUUUUUCGGUGAAUAUUGUGGAGGAAUUGGCUCUCGAGAAUCCUAUUUAUGGAGAUUGAUACAUAAAUGUGUCUAGCCAAAGACAUAAAACAAAGGCGCUUUUUGGGAGGCAACCCAAAUGAUUUGUUUAUUUUGGUUUUUGUUUUAUCUUCUUUAAAAAAAAAAAAAAAAAAAACCAAAAAUCGAAAAUCACUGUUUACAAAUCCCUAAUUCAAAAAUUACUGUUGAUUAUCGUUUUACAGCAGCAUCAGCUCCAGCCUUCACCGCGCAACCAGCAGCAGCAGACGAGUACGCCCAGAACCAGCAGCAAGCUCCAACAUCCCCAGCCCGCGCGCGCAGCGCGAAUCAGCCCCAACCGCCGCGCACAGCAUCGCGUACCCCAACCAGCAGUAGCGCGAAUCAGCCUCAGCGCAGCAUAUCAGUCCCGCGCGCGUAGCGCAACAGAUCCGCAACGCAGACCCGCAACGCGAACUGGCUCUCGCGCGCAACAGCCCCGCGCGCGCAACACAACAACGAACCAGCACCCGCAAAGCAAGCCUCAGCAGCGCGCACAACCAGCCCCAACUCGCGCAACAAGCUCCAGCCGAGCAGCAAGCGCAACACAACCAGCCUACGCCCUGUAUUCCAGCCGGGUAAAUCGAAAUCCGUGAGUGCAAUUAUUGUAACAAUGCCGAAGAGGAAAGCAUCUACUUCCAAGUCGUCGAAAAAGACACCCGUCGCAAAGAAAUCUAAGAUUGCCGCUCCCACUACGGUUCCAUGGAACAUAAUUUCAGAUUCACGCCAAGCCGUGAGACAAAGAUCGAAGCAUGGAAAAGGCAUGAGUGUUUUGCCACUUGCGGAAUCCAAUCUCGGAGGGUGCCUCGCAUUCGCGACUCAACAAGAGAAAGAGAGGUACAAAGAUAUUUCCACGCGCAAAAUACUUCCAGCUAAGUAUAUUCAUUACCCGACUCUUGAAAAAUUAAAUGUUAAAGAUAAUUUUGAUUCUUUGAUAGAUAAGAUUGGGUUGCGUAAGUUUGUUGAUGUUGAUUGCUUGGGUUAUGUUGAGUUGAUUAGGGAGUUUUAUGCUACUUUUCAAUUCACUAUGCCGAAUGAUUUUACUUUGCAUACCCCGGAUGUCAUUAAGUUUAGGUUAAUGGGACGAAAUUUUUCACACUCUAUCACGGAUUUUAACCUAGCUUUAGGAUUCAUUGAUGAUGAUUAUUCUACUAGUGAUGAAUAUUUAGGAACAACUUGUGACUUUAGCGAAAAUUUUGAGCCUUAUGGUCUUUGGCGUAAUUUAUCUGUUGAUCACAAUGCCUAUGACCCGAGUAAAUCAAAGAGUUCUUUCUUACGUGAUCCUGUUUUGAAAUGUGUGCAUCGAUUCUUAGCAUAUAAUUUUUUAGGCAAGAAAGAUCACUCAGGAAUUUUCUCUAAAACUGAAUUUUAUUUUAUCUGGUGCAUGUUAAAUGAUGUGAGGCCUAAUUUAGGUUUUUGGUUAGCGGAUCAAUUUCAAAGUGUGCUUAAACGGUAUAGGACUUUAUUUCUUGGUCCAUACAUUACUCUGUUAGCUAUAAACCUAUGUGUGCUUGAUCCUGACAAUAAUGAUUUGCAUCCUGCUUGCAAAAAGGAAUUUUUGGAUAUGUCUGUGUUUGAAAGAACAGGUGUGGUCGAAUUCAAGGAGGGGAGAUUUCAGUUUACUGAACCAGGACCCACUCAACUUCCGAAGAAGCUUUAUGCUAGGAGUGGUGCUACCUCUGAUGACGAGUUUGACGACGACACUGUUGCCCCGCCAACUAUUCCUUCUACAUCCGCACCACCUUUGAGCAUUCAGUUAGAGAAAAUGGAGCACAAGUUGAACAAAAUGGAGCAGAAUUUGGCCGCAUACUUCGAGAGUGUGGGAUUUACCCCACCAUUUCCGCCAAGCCCAUAGACGUUAUGUGGAUCAAAGCUCACAAUUCAGGGAAGUUUCUUUUUGCCCUUAAACUUUUAUCCUUAUGCUUUAAUUUUUAUGUGAGCUUUGAUUAUCUUACAUUGGGGACAAUGUAAGUUCUUGGUGUGGGGGAGGGAUUUUUGCAUUAUUGAUGUCUGGAAUUAUUGUUUUCACUCUACUUAUCUUUUUUUUUUUCUUCACUCUACUCAUCCUUAAAUGAUUUUGGAGUUAGUAUGCUUUAUAUAUUAUUAUUUUUUCUUUUCUUUUAUUUCUCACUACUUUUUUUUUCCCAUCUAUCUCAAAUUAUUUACAUCUAUUUUUAUUCUAUCAUACUCUUUCAUCACUCACAUUUUAUCUUUCACUUUUCAUCUUUCUCACUUCUUAUCAUUUUUACCUUUCCUUUUAUAUAUCACUCAUACCUUCUUCUCAUUCUACACCACUAUUGAUGGUUGAUUCAUUUGAAGAGUGUACAUGAUUUGAUGGCAAAUUUACCAACUUUGUGAGGAUUUGAGCCUAUGAGCAACCACUUUGCUCUAAUUAUUUUUGUUAUGUGAAUAUCAAUCCUAGUUUGUUUAUUCUAGAACUUGCUUUGUUAUGCAUGUUGAAGCCACAUUACGGGAUUUUAGGCAUUAAAAUGAUAAGGGCAAACCAUUUACCAUUUUUCUAUUCUCGCAUUUUCAUUUUUCUUUACCCGAAGACCUUAAUUUGCUACCUUUGUUUGAGCCUUAACCAUUACCCAUCUAAUUCUCUCCGUCUACUUAACCAUUUUUCUUCUUUUUGAGCCUCAAUUUAAGGAGAUUUUUGGACUCAUUAUAUGGAUAUAUUUUGUUGCUUUUUCUACCUUGUAUUAAAGUUUCUCAAUUAGAUCAACAAGCAUUAUGCUUGAAUUCAAUUGUGCAAGGUUCGUUUCUUUUGUUUGAUUCGAAAAAAAAAAAAAACAAAAAAAAAAAUGAAAAAAAAAAAGAAAAAAAAAGAAAAAAAAAAGAAAAAAAAAAGAAAAAGAAAAAUCGAAAAAAAAAAUCGAAAAAAAAAAAUGUUUACAUUCUUGGUGACUUGAGUAGAAAUAAGCAUUUUGAUAUCAUAAGUUCAUUCAAUGAGUUCAUUCUUCUCAUUUUGAUCUCUUUUUCUUUCGUAAACCUUUCUUUUUCAUUUAACCCAUUUAACCCCAUUACAACCCUUUUAAGACCCUUAGAUUUUUGCAUUUUAUUCAUGUUUUGUGGAUUGAGAUGUGAUUUAUGAGCAAGCUUAUGAUAAUAGCAUUCUUUGAUUUGAUUUGAGUGGAUAAAUGACACCCUAAACACUUUGAGUGCAUGGAGUGAAGUUAUUGAGAGGGCUAUUACAUCUUGUUGCACUUGAAUUUUGAAUGGAUAUUCUUGGUGGUUGAAUGUUCUUAUUCUAUCUUAUGAGAUUCUAUGCUUUAAAAUCCUUGUCUCUUGAAUGUUGAUCGACUUAAUUUCUUGAGGUAUGCUUGCUUAAAAUUAUUUUUGGAUGAGUUGAGAUGAGAAUUGAGUGGAGAUUUAGGAUUAAUCUUGAGUUAUAUGCUUGAGGACAAGCAUCAUCUUGGUGUGGGGGAAUUUGUUAGAGUGCAAUUUAUGCACUAGUUUUGCAUUAUUUACUUCCCUUAAUAUCGAUGUUUUGCAUUUAAUAAUAAUGUUUUACUUGUGUUUUACUUUUGUAGGUGCAAUUAUAUUGAUUGAUGAUAAAAUUGAGCUAAAAGAUGAUGUUUAAGAAGGAUUGUUCUCUUGGAGAAAUUUCUGAGUGUCAGAAGAACUUUGUUGAUAAGGCGUGGGCGCGUGCUGUCAACUGCGGACCUGCAGUUUUUAGUUUAACGUGUUUUGUAUUUUUGGUUAUUUUUGUAAUUACGAAUUUAAUAUUUCAGAUAUUAGUAUUUUAUUUUAAAUAGAAUUCUAAAAGAGAAGAGAGAGAGAGUAUUUAAGGGAGGAAUCUAUUGUGAAAAAGGGGGGAUUUUUGGAUUGGAGAAAAAGAAACCCUAGAUCUAAUUUUUCUCUUCUCUCUAUGAGGAACUAAACCCAUUUUUCUGGUUGAAGGAUAAUGAAGCUUUGAUUCAUCACUACUGUGAGAUCUUUCUUGUGCUUUAAUUGUUUUAUUGCUUUUUGGGUAUUUGUUUAUUCUCUGAAUUAGUUUCAUGAUUAUGUUUGUUAAUUAGGUAAUUGGCCACUAUUUAAUUAUCAACUUAAUCUAUUGUCAAUUAAAGGAUUCAUCGUAUGAAGAAUUUAAUGUUUGUGACAAAUAACAUAGCAGAGAGCUGUGUUGUGAGAAUAAACAAUCUAAUUUAAAUGAAUCAUCUUAUGUGUUGAUUAGGAUUUGGGUCUCUCUGGUUUCUCAGGCUGUCUAUUGAUUAAAUCCUAUGAUCGUAUCUAGGGUUGUCUAUUGAUUAGGGAAGUAACCAACGGUCGUACCUUGGUUAUCGACUAGUUAAGGAGAGAUUGGCUAUUAGAGGGUCUCAGUAGCUAUAACCGAUCUAUUCAUAAGUAAUAAUAAUAAUCUAUAUUUGAAUCAAUGAUCAGUAGUCGAAUCAAGCUGAGUUAAUUCCUUCAACCAGAGCUUUCUCCAAUUUGAAUUACAACUUUAAUUUGCAUUCUUGUUUAUUUCAAUUUGAUUUUUAUUAUUGUCAACAAUUCCCCCAUUUUACGUUUUACGUUUCAAAAGGAUUUAAAUAAUUACCGAUCUCUGUGGACACGACCCUGCUCAAUCACUAUACACAAUUUAUUUAGAGUAGGAAUUUAUUUUUGUUGGCUUCGACACCCAUCACGCAUCCACCCACGAUUACAGAAAUGGAGCAUCCACGUCCGAGAGGUGGGAGGAUAACGAGCGCAAAUGAGGGGAAGGUCUGGAGUCAGGAGGACCUAUAAAAAGGUAGCCAACGAAGGUAAAAGGGUUAGACUUUUCACUGUUAGAACUAAGAAAAGAGAGCUCUAAGAACUGAGAUUAAAAAGAAGCCAUAAGAUUCGUGGCAUAGAUUCCCAAAACCUUCAUUUCUGACUUGAGUGUCGGAGGGUUUGCGCCGGGGAACCAACCGGCGUACUCUGACCUGUCUGUGUACGCAGGAACUUCUGGAGAAGAAGCUUUACGAGGAGAGAUCCUGAUCGUGGUGACGUUGAUCGAGCAGAGCUCCUGGUCGUAUAACGAGGAGGACCAGAAUCUCGCAUCAACAUGUACAUUAGUGUUUUUUUUUUUUUUUGGGGGGGGGGUGGAAUUUUUUUAUUGGCACAGGAAGAAAGCUCUUCGGCACUACUCGGAAGAAGAAUAUGAGCAACACAUGGUCCAAUUCGCAUUGUAUGGAAGUAAAACCGAAGCAUUAGACCAAAAGCAAACCUUAUUCAUAUUUUUAGUUACUGAUAACAAUUUCUUUCCCCUCUUAUUAUCAUCUUAAUUAAGAAAUAUAGUAAUUCGUUAACUUUUUGGGAAAUUAAAAAGGAUGGCAAUAUACAAUAUUCUUGUGUUGAUGACCUUAAAAGCUAGUUCCCUUGAAACAGGAAAACUGGUAUCGUUUUUCAAAGCACAUAAAUGAUAUAUCCCAGCUUUCAAUGUGAUCGAAAGAUUUCAUAGCCACACUCAAAAUUAAUAAAUGAUCCCUAAGAAUUACGAAAAUGAUAUCAAUGAAAUUACAAACUCUUCAAGAGUUUAUAGAACAUUAAUUGAUCCAAAGCCAAUACAAACUGCUUACUAGUACAGCAUCAAGAGAGCCAUUUAUUUUUUCAGUAGGCAAAUUAAACAACUGCAGCAGUCACUAGCGAGCUAGUAUAGACCAAUUGUUCAUCUACCAACUAAUUGUGAAAUUGUUACAUCAUUGCUUGAACAUAUUUCUGAUCCAAUCGUGGCUUUAUUUUGUUCGUCUUCAUAAUCUUUGUUUGAGAAAUCGGAGUCCAUUCGAUGAGUCUAUCAGCAUUCUUUAACUAAUUAUUAGAUUAAAUGUAUAAAUUUAAAACUAGUAAAAGUUUAGAAUAUGAAAGAACCUUGAUUCAUUCAAGAAAUAAUUAAAAUUUUAAUCCUUUUCAAACUGAUUAAUAUUAACCUUAUCAUUAUAAGAAAACACGAUUUAAAAGAAAAAAAAAAUCUCACAAAGUUGGUGUGUGGAAUAGUCAAUACGUUGUGUCCUUGAUUUUUUACAAACUCUUAAGAGUCUAUAGAUGUAGUUAGUGAUAUUACAUUACAUUAAUUGAUCCAAAUCCAAUACAAACUGCUUACCAGUACAGCCUCAAGAGAGUCAUUUAUUAUUCAAUUGGCAAAUUAAACAACUACAGUAGUCACUAGCAGCUUGCCAAGAGCUAUAGCGUAGAUCAAUUGUUAUCUACCAACCAAUUGUGAAAUUGUUACAUCAUUACUUGAACAAAUUUCCAAUCCAAUCGUGGCUUUCCUUUGUUCAUCUUCGUAAGCUUGCUUUGAGAAAGUUUCAGGCUUCUUUGGAGUCAUUAUAUCAGCCGUGCUCUCAUUUUCGAGCAUCGAAGAAACUUCCAGCAUAGAAGGUCUAUCGUCUGGGUUCUCCUGAACACACAACAGAGCUAUUUGCAGACAUGUUAGCAAUUUCCACGAGGAAUGCGUAUCAUCUAGUGAUGUAUCCAUUAACCCCAUGCCUUUCCCAUCUUUCCACAGCUCAUAAGCCUGUAAAUAUCGAAUAUGUUAUUGAGUUACAUUCAAUUAAUUAGCACUAUAAAGUUUUGAUCCAGUGUGCAUUAUAAAGGGGGUUAUGAAGAAACUUACAUACUGUACAAGGCUUAAAUUUUCAUUCUGGCCAGAUUGAACGAACAAUCUUCUUCCACUUAUAAUUUGCAAAAGUAAAACCCCAAAACUGUAGACAUCAGAUUUGGUGGAGUAGAUGCCUCUCGUCACAUACUCAGGAGGGAUAUAGCCACUGUUGUACCAAGUACUUACAAAUAUCAGUUAAAUUGUUUGACCUAAAAGGUUAAGCUGAUUGGUAAAGGCUCAACAAUAGUAUUAAAGACAAGUCGAAAAAUAGACGUAUAUACACUUACUGUGUUCCAACAAUUCGACUGGUGUUUGCUUCAAGGUCGUCUUUCACAAAAAUUCUAGCUAAGCCAAAAUCUGAUAUUUUAGGCUUCAUAUCUUCAUCCAAUAAAACGUUACUAGCUUUCAAAUCUUGAUGAAUAAUUGUUAAUCUAGAAUAUUCUUGAAGAUAGAGAAGCCCUUGAGUUAUUCCUUAAAUGAUAUGAAUGCGUUUUUUCCAAUCCAAAAUAAACCUUCGGAUGGAAUCUACAUCAAAUAUAAGUAUAGUUGGACGGUCGGUAGCAUUAGCAUUUGGAGAUGAGAAAGCAAAUGGAGGCACAUAAAUUAAAAAUUAAGCAGUUAAGCUCAUACCAAAAAGGAAAUAGUCCGAGCUUCGUUUUGGCAUGUACUCAUAGAUCAGCAUUUGUUCUUCUCUGUCAAUGCAAAAACCUAAAACCCUAAUAAGAUUUACAUGUUGGAGUUUUGCAGUAAGCAUAACCUCAUUCUUGAACUCCUCAAAUCCUUGUUUGGAUGUCUUUGAGAGUUUCUUCACAGCUAUUACCUGUCCAUCAGGUAAUACACCCUGCAAACAACCCCAAAACAUUAAAAAGAAAAAAAAACGCAAUGUUCAUAUACAUGUGUGUGUGUGUAUUUCGCUAAUUAAUUAAUAAGAUGAGAGAUAGCCAAGCUAUCGAUAUAUAACCUUGUAAACAGGGCCAUAUCCACCCUCCCCGAGCUUAUUUUCAAUUGAAAAUCUAUCCGUGGCCACCUCAAUAUCAGCCAAGCUAUAUUCUCUAAGAUCAGGAUCAUUGCUGUUAAAAUCUCCAGCAUGUGCUUGACUGUUUGCUCCGUCCUUUGAUGACUUGGCUGAGUCAAUUACUAUCCCAAUUAAUAUCAACCAAGGAAAAAAAAAAAAAAAAGCUAAUUUAAGUAAAUUGCCCACUUCUUCAACUGCGCUAAAUAGAAUAGAAGUAAAAAUAAUCCUAAACCAGUGUAGAAGAAGUUACCUUUUAAUUUGGGGUUUUUCAUCCAGCAGUAGUAAUAUAGACAAAAACCUAGUAGAAGAAUACAAGCUGCAGUUGUAGGCAAAACAAUUACCCAUAAUGGUCGCUUAUUUUGACCAUUCUUGUCAUCCUCUUCAGCUGAAAAGUCAAAUCACUUUGCGUUGGUUAGCCAUUGAUGCUGAAAUAAAGAUCUUAAUUCAAGUCAUUAUCCAGAAAAGUGAUCAACGGAUUGCAGUGAGUGCGGAAUUCCAUUUGCUUACCUGCAGCUUGAGAAAGCAUCCAAUCAUGAUCAUAGGAAACUAGCCACACAUGGUAACCGCGUAGCUUCUUCUCCUUGGCAUAAGCAACCUUCACUCUAAUGGCCUCCACAUCAUCAAAACCAAACCAAAUCUUCCCAAUCGAGCAGUAGUUCACCACAUAAGUUGAAUUGUACAUAACUUGGACAUUAGGACCAUAGCUCUUGAUGCGAUUCUUGAUUUCCUUGUAAGUCACAAGACCAUUUUCACUCAAAGCUGCUCCCGUUGCUGCUGCACCAAUACCAUUGUCCUCAGGUUUCACAAGCUUCCAUGCAUAGCCAUAGAAAGGCAAACAUAAAACCAAUUUAUCAGCCGAUAACCCUUCCUCAAUCCAUUCCGUGAUUCCGUAUUCAGUACUAUAGUCACUAUUUGGAUCAUACAGAGCCGCAUGAGCACCAGUAAAAUUUGUCCACGUAGGGGCUGAGUAAUCAGUAGUGAAAACAUGGACCCAAUUCAAGUACUGUCUUAUAAAGUCGACUGGAUAAGUUGCUUCUGUUAAGAAUGGUGAAUAUGAAACCGUUGCCGUCAAAAUCAACUGUGAUUGGCUCGAGUUAUUUCUUGCUUCUAAAUCUACGGCAGCUCGCCACUCUUUAAAGAGAAUGGCAAUAUUGUAAUUAUCCCAGCUUGUGUUUGCCUUAGACCAAGACAGAUCUAAGCCUUGAAAGCCAUAAAGCCUUGCUAUGUUUAUUGAGGAGUCAAUGAAGGAUUUCCUGGAAGAAGGAUUGCUUGCCAUGGAAGAAUAAGUUGAAUAGCUUACAUCAUUUCCUCCUCCGAUGGAGAGAAGUGUAGUGAUUGAUGGGUUCUUUAUUUUGACUGUGUGCGUGAAGUUGGAGAAUUGUUUUUCAUCCGAAGGUGAUAAAGAGAGCUCGUAGGAAGUUGAGUUGACAUCAGCAAAACCACACAUAAGGUGAGUGAAGAGAGCAGAAUUUACAUCUGAAACAGGGAACCCAUCGCCUGAAUCCCAGUAACCAGCUCUGAUUAAAGUUUGUGCUCUUGCAGGAAGCGAUUCUGAAAAUAUAAAAAUGUGGAGGACAAGAAUGAUAAUUUUGGAUGCCAUUGUGGGAACCUGGCUGCUUGAGGCAUACCUAGUAUGUGAUUAUAUAUUUGUACACACACAAAAUGUAAUGGAGAAAUUAUCCUAUACCGAUUGAGAUUAGUUAUUGCACUAAUAAUGCAAACUUGAGUCAACUUUCAACUUAUGAGCUUAGUCCAUAAGUUUUUAUAAUACGAUAUCAAAAUCAAGUUAUGAAUGAGGGACCCUAUAAUACCUUCCAACCUAACUUAAUAAUUAAUCUUAGCCAAUGUGACAUACUUGUUCUAUCGCUUUAUCACGACCAAGUCGAUCUUUUAGCUUUGUCUUUUUUUCAUGAUAAUAAGUGAUAAGAUUGAAGUUCUUAAAUUAAGCUAUGACUUUUUACCUCCGCUUAGCUUGACUUCUGAAGUUGGAGACUCGUUCUUUUGUAUUGACUUUGUUGGUAUUUAAAUGAACUCGGAGUCCUCGACGAGUUUCUGAAGCGAAGUCAUUAUUCCUCUAUGACUCCAUCCAUGCAAUUGGAAGGCAAAAUCUUGUGAAAAUAUUUUCUAAGUUGAUUCAGUCCAUGAUCAACGUGCACAAAACGCAAAAUCUUGCGAAAAUCAAACCCGUCCUCACUCAUGAGCUCGAUUUCUAGCUUAAACUCCUCCUCACUCAUGACCUCACUUUAAUUACAGCUUGUCAUUGAAUUGAGUGUUGCCUUAAUUAAGCCAUCAACUUAAUAAAGUGAUGGUCAUUAAGAAAUACACUUAGUUACUUCCUGAUGGUAAGAUUCAAUAAUAUUGUAAUUUAAAAAAAAGAAGAAAAGAUCCAUAUACCUUUUCCUUGUGUAAUUUAAUUUUCAGUCCAGUCCACCCUCCCAUUUUAUCAUAAAAGUCUAUACAAACAUACGUUUUACUCAAUGUUUACUUAGAAACAAAUGGUGGGCGUACGAGUGCCGAUCUAGUACCACUCUCGUAUACUUGGUGGGAUUCGGCUUCACCAAAUUUGUAGCAUAUAUUUUACUUUAAUGAGAAAAUCAAAUAAUUAUUGAACAAAUAAUUUUUUUUUCAAUAUACUUUCUUAAAAUGUAUGGAGUUGGUAAAGUGCAAAUUCAUUUUUUAGCCCUUUGACUCCUCCAAAAUCCAAACUCAAAUUAAUGGUCAGUUAAAUAAUGUUACUUGAAAAUCAUUUCCUAUCUAGAAUUUGUUUAAUUCUAUUAAUUUACAAUCGUUUUUCAUUUUACUUAAUUAAUUAAAGUGAAUUUAUUAUGUAUACAUCUACAUACGUAAAAUCUUAAAAUUCAGUGUUGAAUUGAAUUGUACUAAAUUUUUUAUAAUUUUUUGUGAGACCUGCGUUUUUAACAGUUUAAUAUUAAUAUUGAUAGCACAUAAUAUACCGGAUUAAGAGAGAUUGAUUUCGACUGCUACAAGAUUUUUAGGAUUGCAUGCACAAGGGUUUAAAAACAAAGUAUACACUUAAUUACACUAAACGAGGGUGCAUUUUUAUGAUGAAAUAAAAACUAUGUACAGGUUGUAAAAGUGGCUCCAUAAUUAGUGUACAUUAACAAUCAUCUAGCUACCACUUCCGAAAAUGAUAAAUCACAAGCCGAACAUUUUUCCAAUUGUGUUGUAGAUAAUAGUUCAAUCCCAAUUUCAUCAACUUGUUUUGAGAAAGCAGGCUUCUUGGGAGUAUUUAUAUUUGUGGUUUCAUUCUUGAGCAUUGAGGAAACUUCCAGCAUUGAAGGUCUAUCGUUUGGAUUCUCCUGGACACACAACAAAGCUAUUUCCAGACAUCUCAUUAAUUUACAAGGGGAAUUUGUAUUGUCUAGGAAUGAAUCCACAAACUCCACGCCUUUGCCACCUUUCCACAACUGAUAUGCCUGAAAUUAUCAAGUACCAUCUCGUUACAUAAUUUAUACUUCUUAAUUAAGUGCGCAUAUGUGUACUCAGGGUUACUAUAGCCGAAGAAACUUACGUGCUCUAGAAUGCUUAAAUUUUCAUUGAUGCCACAUAACACUGAAAGCCUCUUUCCACUUAUGAUUUGUAGAAGUAAAACUCCGAAACUAAAAACGUCUGAUUUGGUAGAGUAUACACCUUGUCUGGCGUACUCAGGAGGAAUAUAGCCUCUGCAUUCAAAAUAACCAAGUAUAUAUGAGUAAGGGAUUUUGCAAUUUAAUAAAUUUGUAAAACCCAUUUUAAAUUGUGGUAAAAGUCCAUUCUGCAUUUUAUUAAAGUGCUGAAUUCCUUAUUCGAAACCCAAUAUAUGUAUAACAAACAGAAGCUUGAGUAAAGGAUAUCAUUUAGAUGUAAUAUACUUACAUUGUUCCCACAAUUUGUUCUGUAUUCGCUUCGAGACUCUCUUUUGCAAAAAUCCUAGCCAUACCAAAAUCUGAAAUUUUAGGUUUCAUACCUUCACCUAACAAAACAUUACUGGCUUUCAAGUCUCGAUGAAUAAUAGUCAGUCUUGAGUAUUCUUAGAGGUAUAAAAGCCCUUGAGUUAUCCCUUCAAUGAUAUGAACACGUUUUUUCCAAUCCAAAAGAAGUCUUUUGAUGGGAUCUACAACAAAUAUAUAGUUUUGGACAAUAAGUGAUAUACAAAUGAAUUAUAUACACAUUUGAUAUUAACUUGAUUUCAGAACAAACCAAAAAGGUAGCAAUCCAAGCUUUUGUUUGGCAUGUAUUCGUAGACCAGCAUCCGUUCCUCACUCUCAAUGCAAAAACCUAAAACUCUAAUAAGAUUUACAUGUUGGAGUUUUGCAGUAAGCAUAACCUCAUUCUUAAACUCCUCAAAUCCCUGUGCGGAUGAUUUCGAAAGUUUCUUCACUGCUAUCACCUCUCCACAGGGUGAUACACCCUGCAACCCAAAAAAAAAAACCACGUUCAUAUAAAGCUUUCACUAGUUAGAGAAGCUGAGAAAUGUUAGCCAAACAAUAUGCUACCCCCCAAAGUUGAGGGCACCAUUUUAAGUUCUUUAAGUCCCCAUGGACGCAAAAUGUAAAUCUCCUCUCACAGAAUAUGGAUAUGGGUAGAGGUAUCUUCCUAAAAUGUUAGUCGAAGUAGUUAUAUCCCUCUAGUGUGAGGUUAGAGGUCUCAUCUCUAAUAGGCAUAGAUUUUUAAAUUAUAUGUUUUGGGCCUCUGAAUUCUACGACGAGUGUACAAAUUCAAACUUCCGAUAGGAUCCAAAUUGAAACAUUGUGGAUUGUAACAAAUUAAAAUAUAGGUACACACACACACACACACACACAUGUUACCUUGUAAACAGGACCAUAUCCACCCUCCCCAAGCUUAUUUCUAAUUGAAAAUCCCUCGGUGGCCGCCUCAAUAUCAGCCAAACUAUAUACUCUGAGAUUAGGAACAUUUCUGUUAAAGUCUCCAGCUUCUGUUUCAUUAUUUGCUGUCGUGUUUGAUGCUUUAGCAGAAUCCUCUGUUCCUAACAUCAACCAAGAGUACAUAUUAGAUAAAUAAUUGUAUGUCAGCCUCAGAUUUAUGUGUAUAUAUAUGAAUGAAAUUCAUGCUUAAUUAUAAUUGAUAGCUGAAACUUGUUACCUUCUAUUAAAUUGAGCCUUUUCAUCUGGUUGUAUUUAUAUGCACAACAGCCUAGAAGGAGAGUCAAAGCUGCCGCUGCAGUAGAAAUGAGUGCAAUGGACAGAUGGCGGUUAUUACUAUGUUCAUCUUUGUCAGCUGAAGCAGAAGUAAUCCUUUCUUUUUGUGCUGGAAAUAUGUAUAGUUCACCAAUUAAUAAUUACUAGCUAGAGAUGCCAUAACAAUCAUUAUUAAUCAGAGAGAACAAUUAUUGCAUAGAUAAAUACCUGCAGCCUGAGAAAGCACCCAAUUAUGAUCAUCAUAAUCAACUCGCCACACAAAGUAACCACGUAACUUCUUCUCCUUAGCAUAUGCAACCUUCAUUCUAACGGCCUCGACAUCAUCAAAACCAAACCAAAUCUUCUCAAUCGAGCAGUAAUUGACCUCAUAAGUUGAAUUGUACAUAACUUGGACAUCAGGGCCAUAGGUCUUGAUGUGAUUCUUGAUUUCCUUAUAAGUCACAAGGCCGCUAUCAUGCAAAGCUGGUCCUGCUGCUGCUGCAACAAUACCAUUGUCUUCAGGUUUCACAAGCGUCCAUGCAUAGCCAUAGAAAGGCAAACACAUAACCAACUUAUCUGCCGAUAAUCCUCUGUCAAUCCAUGCCUUUAAAACCUGAUCGGUACUUCUAACAAAGCCGCCGCUACUUGAGCCAUAGAGAGCCGCAGGUGGCGCCGUGAAGUUUGUUGACACAGGCUCGUAGUAGCUAGCAGUAACCGCAUGAACCCAAUUCAAGUUUCGUUCUAUCGAAUUCAAAAGAUAUGAAUUCGCUGGUGGUGAAUAAUGAAAUCUUGCGGUCAAGAUCAGCUGGGAUUGCUGGCGACUAGAGUUUUUUGCCUCUAAUUUUGUAGCAGCAAUUCGCCACUCGUCAAAAAGUAAACCAAUAUUGAACAAAUCGGUGCUUGUGUUUGGAGCUGUCCAAGCAAAGUCUAGGCCCUGAAAGCCAUAAAGCCUAGCUAUUCUUAUUGAAGAGUCGAUGAAAGAUUUUCUGUGAGAAGAAUUGCUCACCAUUGAAGAAUAAAUAGAAUAGUUUGUAUCCAUUCCUUGUCCAAUGGAGAGAAGUAUAGUGAUUGAUGGGUUCUCUUUUUUCACAGUGUCUACGAAUUUGGCGAUUUGAUUUUCAUCGGAUGGUAAUGAUAAAGAUAGCUGGUAAGUGGUGGAAUUGAUAUCAGCGUAAGAGCAAAUAAGGUGAGUGAAGAGAUCAUAAUUUAUGCCCGAAAUGGUGGACACUUCGCUUGAAUCCAAGUAACCGACCCUGAUCCACGGUUUUGCUUUCGCGGGAUAAAAUUCUGAAUAGAAUAACAUGUGGAAGAUGAUGCUGAUAAUUAUGGAUGCCAUUUGAGACUUUGUUAGGAAUGGAAAUGGAUCCACACAAGAGAAAUUAAAUAAACACUAGUUUCACAGAUCAUUUAAGUACUUAUGUAAACUAUUAACUUAUAGGUUCAUUUCGUUCCAAAAAAAUCUUAUGUGCUUCUGAUAGGGAAACAUACAUUGCAUGUUAUGAUGAUGAUAGGCGAUGCGACCAUUGCCUGAGAACUAAGAUUUUCUUCCAUCGCUUGGGUGACCUUUCACGAAGAAAAAUGAUGUUUUGAUUUACAUUUGGUUAAACUGAUGACAAAUUUCGGGCCAUAAAUAUCACUAUUGUUUUAUUAAAUAAUAAAAAAAUUAAUUUUACAUGUACGUUGAAAGUUAAUAUUGCAAUCACCAACAAGUGCGUAGAUCAACUGACAAGGGGUUGUUCUAGCUUAACCAAGGUCCUUGGUUCGAGACUUGAGAAUGCAGCUACGUUAAAUACUUGUUGGGAGAGUUUUGUCAUCCUAAUGGCCUUACACGGCUCGAAUCUGAAUUAGAGUUUUGUCACCCUAAUGGUCCUACACGGCUCGAAUCUGAAUUAGUCGAGACCCACUGAUACCAAAUGGCUUCAUAUACCAAAGAAAAAGUUAAUAUUGCAGUCUUUUGAGACUGUGUUGACGUUUAUUCGGUUCGUUUAUUAUAUAUUCCCGUUUUUCUCCCUGUCUGUUUGCUACAGUGCUCUUACAAGGAUAGCAUCUUUAAUGCACCUCAGAAGUAGUUAAGAAAGUCUUGAUAAAAAACCAGACAUUUUCUAUCUACUCAAAACGUAGUUAUUGGACUAAUUAAGAUUCUAAUCCCUUUAAUAAAUAUUCAAAAAGGGUUACUGUCACUACUCAGUCCUUGUUGUUUUAUAAAAAAAAAAAAAAAAGAUAUUUAAAGAGGCAUCACAUAAAUCCUUCCUAAUUACAUUUUGUUUCAUUCAAGUUGUUGACUUAAUUUGACUGCCUGGAAAAAUUAGUAAAGAGGUAAAAAUAAAAAAAAAGGUAAAUUCUAGUUAUUAGACUAAAUAUAUAGUAUAAAUUUGCAGCAACUAGCAAAAAGUUUAGAAUAUGAAAAAUCCUAUUUCAUUUAAAAAACAAUGAAAAUUCUAAUCAUUUUAAAAAAAAAAAACUCUGAAAGUUUGAAAAACUAAGAUUUUAAGAUCCUUUUACAAUAACCAUAAUUAACACAAAUUUCCGAAUUAUUAUUACAUAAUAAAAUUUUACUAAUAGAAAUAAGAAAACAAAACAAAUAGCACUCAAAUCGGAUAUAUAAAAAAAAAUCUUGAAAUAAAUAGAAAAAAUAAGAAAAUAACUAAAACUUGCAAAACGACCAUGAAAGAAAUGAAAUUUCCGGCCGAACCAAGGGGCCAAUGUGCAUAGUAUUAUUGGACUAGAUUUAUCAGACCACAAGCUUCAAAACAAUAUAUUAUAUUUCCUAAAUGGACACAUGUAGGUUAAGUUACUCAAUUGUAUUAGGAGCUGUCCAAGCAAAAUCUAGGCCCUCAAAGCCAUAAAGCCUAGCUAUUCUUAUUGAAGAGUCGAUGAAAGAUUUUCUGUGAGAAGAAUUUCUCACCAUUGAAGAAUAUAUAGAACAGUUUGUAUAUCUUCCUUGUCCAAUUGAGAGAAGUGUAGUGAUUGAUGGGUUCUUUUGUUUCACAGCGUCUGUAAAUUUGGGGAAUAUUUGAUUUCCAUCAAAUGGUGAUGAUAAAGAUAGCUGGUAAGUGGUGGAAUUGAUAUCAGCGUAAGAGCAAAUAAGGUGAGUGAAGAGAUCAUAAUUUAUGCGCGAAAUGGCGGACACUUCGCUUGAAUCCAAGUAACCGACCCUGAUCCACGGUUUUGCUUUCGCGGGAUGAAAUUCUGAAUAGAACAACAUGUGGAAGAUGAUGCUGAUAAUUAUGGAUGCCAUUUGAGAGGCUUAAGCUUCUUAAUUACCACUUCGAUGGGAAUGGAAAUGAAUGCACACUGACACCAGACACAAUAGAUGAGAAAGUACAACGUCACACACUCAAGAAAUCACAAGCUCACCACCACAGCAAACAACAAAAGGAUACAGAAAAAUAUUCACCACCUAAAGUUGUUAAGCUACGGAUACAGAGCUUAAAACACUCACCACUCAAUGGAAUCCACCAAAGAGAUACAGAGUUUGAUAAUAGCUCAAAGUUCAUUCAAUUUCUAAAAUUAAUCUUCGUCCUUUUGUUACAACUACAUAAGCUUAAAUAAUUUUCUUGGAACAAUCCUCCAAGCAUAGAUUUACUACAAAGAAACCCUUCAAAUAACUUGACUUUAAAGACCAACAUUAAAGCUAGACAUUAAUAAAACAUUAGUAUGCUUAAAACACAACAAAGAACAUUAAAAAAAAUCUAAGUCCCGAAAUAUUCUUCUUGACUCAAAACUGAACAGUCUGCACUUAACUGAUCAUAACUUACUGUAGAAAACUCCAAAUUUAGAUUAGUAAAAUUCAUUGGAAAGCUAACAGAAAUAUCUUUCCAAUGAUGUAUGGCUCGAAAAUUAAUUCGAUCUCAUGCAGUACAGUUUAAUUCCAAAAGAUGCCCCUUCUGCACAGAAAUUCUGCUCACUUGAUUAAUGUAAGAACUUGAGCUGCACUUGGUAUAACUUGAUUACCAAAUAUUUCAAACACUCCUGUGUUACACACUAAGAGAAAUUAAAUAAACACAAGGUUCACAGUUCAUUGAGCUCUCAUGUUAACGUAUAGGUUCAUUUCGUUGCAAAAAAAAAAAAUCUUACGUGCUCCUGAUAGUGACACAUACACUGCAUGUUAAGAUGAUGAUGGGCGAUGCGACCAUUGCCUAAGAACUAAGAUUUUCUUCUACCGCCUGGGUGACUUUCCAUGAAGAAACAUGAUGUUUUGAUUGACAUUUGGUUAAACUGAUGACAUAUUUUGGGCUACAAAUAUUAGUAUUGUUUUAUUAAAUAAAAAUAAUAAUAAUUUUACGUGCAUGUUGAAGGUAAUAUUGCAGUCUUUUGAGCCUGUGUUGAAUUUCAUUCGUGUGCGUUCAUUUAUUAUCCAUCCCCUUUUUUCUCUGAGUCUGCUAGCCGUAGUCAUCUUAAAACGAUAACAUGUUUAAUGCAUGUAAAUGCACCUCAGAAGUAGUCAAGAAAGACUUGAUCAAACCAGAAAAUUUUCCUCUUAACACAGACGUAGUUAUCGGACUAAUUAAGAUUCUAAUCCAUUUAAGAAAUAUUCAAAAAGGGUUAUUGUCACUACUUUAGUCCUUGUUGUUUUAUUAAAGAAAGAAAAAAAAAAGAAUAUAUUUAAAGAAGCAUCACAUAAAUCCUUCCUAAUUACAUUUUGUUUCAUUCAAGUUCUUGACUUAAUUUGACUGCUUGGAAAAAUUAGUAAAAAGGUAAAAAUAAAAAAAAUGUAGAUUGAUAUUAAGGAAUUCAGCAAGCAAGCUACAAGAAUAUCCAAAAGCGUGUAAUUUAUGUUUAAGGAAAUAAGUGGAGAUAGAGAUGAAAUUGUAAAUUCAUCCCAAUCUUAAGUGGUUUAAUUCAAGAUGUAUGUUAGCUACAAGCACAGUAAGCAUGGUGAUGUCUCUCUUUAACGCAGGGGACACAACAAAAACACUGUAUUUCUACCCUUUUAAAAAAUUCCAAUAAUAUGUACACGUUAUAUAUAAGAUAUAAAAAUCAUUACUUUUAGUAUAAGAUAUAAAAAAAAAAUCAAUUAAUAACCAUUAGAGAAUAAAAAUUUAUGUAAUUGAUGCAGAUAAAUGGAAUCAAGUAGUAACAUUUCCUUCUCAUUGAAGAGAAAAGAUUUAAAAAAAAAAAGGGGAACGCAAACAUGACAAUUUUUUUUAUCCGCACACGCCAUGAUAAUCGAUAAUCCGAUAUACCAACCGCGUCUAAUUGUCUGAAUUCUCCAGCUUACCAAGCUUGCUCAAUCGCACCGACAGACACUGACAAUGGGAGAUUAAUCACCACUCGCAGUAUUCGACGCGUGAAGGACACAUUCACCAAUAAUUUAUAGCGGACAGUAGCAUUCCCGAUGCUGCACGGAGAAAAAUAGUUGGAUUUGCGUAAGUUAAAUUGACUUGACUCGAGAGAGUGAAGAAUGGUGGUGGUUGCUGUUAAGCAGUCAGUACUUCUGGCGACUGCUUGGCUUACACGCAGUUCUUGGGGGUGUCAUUUGACUGUGAAAAAGAAUUUUGGCUUUAUUGAUAUCAUGUUGGAUUUGGAAUUUUGGAUGGCUUCGUUUGGACCAUAAGACGCUAUCUCAUCCAUAACACGUUAGCAGUCCUUCUCACGGGAGAAAAACUGGGGUGGGAUUGAGCAAGAUUAUAUGAGUCCUCGAAGUGUCACUUACAAAUUUUUAAUUAUAAAUGACUGCCGAAUAAUUAAUCAAAAUUUUAUUAUUUAUGGUUAUAAUUAGAAUGAUAAGAAAUCAAUUCGAUGUUAUUCUUUGUGGCUCUGCUUAGAAUACUAAAAAAUCAAGUCGACUUACUUAUCUUUAUGUUGAUCAUUACAGGCCUUUUGAAUUUUUUAUCUACUUUAGUUGUAAGUAAUAUAACUUCACUUUUUUUUCUUUACUUUGGUUUGGUUUUCUUUAUAACUCAUAAAAAUUUUCUCGUUAAGAUUGUAUGAACCAAUUGAAACUUCAGAUUUGUAUGAACCAAUUGAAACUUCAGAUUCAUACUAGAAUUAUGAUGAUUCAAUAAAACCUUCAAAUUAAAUUCACAUAUUCCAUGAGGGAGAACCCUUGGAUUACAUUUGUUCAAGUUUAUGCUUUGAGUAAAAUAAAAGUAGAAAUAGGAAUUUGAAAGAAGAAAUUUAGUUAUAAAAAAUUAUCAAAUAAUUAAUUGUUUGGCAUUUAUUUUAUGGGUCCCAACCCAUGUGAUCCGCCAAAUGAGACGUCUUAUGUGAUUGGUUAUGCCAUGGUGCGCUAGCCACAUUUAAGUUUCUCUCUUCUUAUGGAUAUAACUGUAUAUGGGUGGCGUUAUAUAGUGCCCCACAUGGGCUCAUUAAAAUUAUUUUAUGUGCAUUUUAAACAUACCCUCUUUAUUGAUUUGAAACACCAAAAAUACCUCUCUUAAAUUUUAAAAAUAUAAAAAAAAAUUACGUGUUAAAACAAUGCUUGAUGUCUCUAGCCUAACAGUUAGCACACCUAUUGUAUACACUUUUACUUUUUUCUUCUCUAAUUUUUUACUCCUCUUUUCUCUAAUUCUUCACACUUCACUACUCUUUUAUCUCUAAAAAAAUUAAGCAAUCUCUAGAAGCUUAUUACUAAUUUUUUGAUCAAAUUACUUAUAUAAGUACUCUUGAUUGAUUAACACUUCUUUAAUUUUUUUUGGGGAUUUCUCUUAGAUGAAAGAAUUAAGGUUAUGUUCUAAAAAAAAUUUAACUCCCAUAUUAUGGUUUUGAUAAUGCGAUUAUCCUUAAAUUUUUCAACAUAUUAAAAUACUUUGAAACAACUGUAAAUGUGUUGAAUGAAAUAUUCUAAUAAAUUUAUAUUUUGGUACUUAUUAAUUAUUUAACUUUUUUCUUAAAAUUACAUUACUAUUUCAGCUUAGCCCUUGUGACAUUAAAUUCCUGAUAGCGCCACUAAAUGUAAGUUUUAAACUCAUGUUCGAUUUCUCCCAUGUUCAAACUCUACCUUUAAUUUAUAUUUCAAUUUUGUGGCCUACUUUUGAGUUUCUAAUUUCACAUAGAAGGCAUGUUAAACUUACCUUAGAUGCAAUAUUAAGAAAUCAAAUACACCAUGUGCAUUAGUGGGGGCGAAAAAAAAAAGAAAAGAAAAAGUCUUUUAUUGGUAAAAGAUGAAAGCUCUUCGGCACUGAUCAGAAGAAAAAUCAUUCUCCAUACAAUGAGCAAAACAAAGUCCAAUUCGCAUUGCAUAGAAGUAAGACCGAAGCAUUGGACUAAAAGCAUACACUAGUCUUAUUUUUCGUUACUGAUAACAUUUUUUUUCCCCUUAUAUUAUCACCUUAAUUAAGAAAAAUAAUAAUUUGUUUAACUAUUUGCGAAAAAGGAUGGCAAUAUACAAUAUUAUUGUGUUGAUGACCUUGAAAGCCAAUUCUUUUGAAACAGAAAAACUGUUUUUGUGUUUUGAUUAUGUUAAGCAAAUGAAUGGUCUUUAAGAGUUAUGAAAAUGUUAUCAAUAAAAUUACAAACUCUUAAGAGUUUAUAGAUGUAGUUAGUGAUAUUACAUUACAUUAAUUAAUACAAUACAAACUGUUUACUAAUAGAGCCUCAAGAGAGUAAUUCAUUAUUUAGUUGGCAAAUUAAACAACUGCAGCAGUCACUAGCAGCCUUCCAUGAGCUAGCAUAGAUCAAUUGUUCAUUUACCAACCAAUUGUGAAAUUGUUACAUCAUUACUUGAACAUAUUUCCAAUCCAAUCAUGGCUUUGUUUUGUUCAUCUUCAUAAGCUUUGUUUGAGAAACUUGCAGGCUUCUUUGGAGUCAUUAUAUCAGCUGUAUUCUCAUUUUCGAGCAUCGAAGAAAUUUCCAGUAUAGAAGACCUCUUGUUUGGGUUCUCCUGAACACAUAGCAAAGCUACUUGGAGACAUGUCAAUAAUUUCCACGAGGAAUUCGUAUCAUCUAGUGAUGGAUCCAUUAACUCCACGCCUUUCCCAUCCUUCCACAACUCGUAUGCCUGAAAACAUCAAAUAAGUUAUCGAGUUACAUUCCAUUGAUUAGCACUAUAAUGUUUUGAUUCAGUGUGUAUUAGAAAGGGGGUUAUGAAGAAACUUACAUACUCUACAAGGCUUAGAUUUUCAUUUUGACCAUAUCGAAUGAAAAGUCUUCUUCCACUUAUAAUUUGUAGAACCAAAACUCCAAAACUGUAGACAUCAGAUUUAGUGGAGUAGACUCCUCUUCCAAUAUAUUCAGGAGGAAUAUAGCCUCUAUAGUAUCGAGUAAUUACAAAUGUUACUAAAACUAUUUGACGUAAAAGAUUAAGUUGAUUGGUAAAGGUUCAACAAUAAUAUUAAAGACAAGUCAGAAAAAAAAUAGAAAAAUAUAUACUUACUGGGUUCCAACAAUUCGAUUUGUGUUUGCUUCAAGAUCAUCUUUCACGAAAAUUCUAGCCAAGGCAAAAUCUGAUAUUUUAGGUUUCAAAUCUUCAUCCAACAAAAUAUUACUAACUUUUAAGUCUUGAUGAAUAAUUGUUAAUCUAGAAUAUUCUUGGAGAUAGAGAAGCCCCUGAAUAAUUCCUUGAAUGAUAUGAAUACGUUUUUUUCCAAUCCAAAAUAAACCUUCUGAUGGGAUCUGCAUCAAAUGUAAAUUUAGUUGGACGGUCAGUACCAUUAGCAUUUGGAGACGAGAAAUGCAAAUUGAGGCACAAAAAUUAGAAAUUAAGCAGUUAAGCACAUACAAAAAAGGAAAUAGUCUAAGCUUCGUUUUGGUAUAUACUCAUAGAUGAGCAUAUAUUCUUGUGUGUCAAUGCAAAAACCCAAAACUCUGAUCAAAUUUACGUGUUGAAGCUUUGCAGUAAGCAUAACCUCAUUCUUGAACUCCUCAAAUCCUUAUGUGGAUGUCUUCGAUAGUUUCUUCACUGCUAUUAUUUGUCCAUCAGAUAAUACACCCUGCAAGCACCCCCCAAAAUAUAUGUUUUUUUAAAAAUCAGUGUGUUCACACAUGUUGAAAAGUCAUGCACGUGACAUUGAAAUUCAAAAAUGAAUGCAAAAUUUCAAAUGGCUACCAAACAUUUGAAGAAAAAAUGGAAAGUUGGCAAAUUUGUCAAAUUUGCCAAAUGGACACCAUUGACUAUUGGCUUAGGUUAUGUGGAAUAGUAAAAGGGUUGGUGCAAUAGUGCCAUUAUUUUCCCUAUAAAUAGAUGGCACUUCUUCCAUUCUAAAUCAUCCCAAAAUUGUUAAGCUUAUAAGUUUCUAAGCUUUUGAGAGAAGUGAGAGAAGUGUGUCUGAGGAAUUUAUCUUUCCUGCAGAGUGUGAGAGUACUGGGUAUAUUUGGGUUUCUGGGAAGUGAGAUUCGUUACUCAAAUAUUGUAUUCUAUUAAUUGUUAAAUAAACAAUUAUUCUUUCUUGCCUUCGUGGAUGUAGGUUUAAUUACCAAACCACGUAAAUUCUUGUGUCCUUUAUUUUUCAGUAAUUAUUUGGUGCGCUUGAUUCCGCAUUCCGCGCACAACAAGUGGUAUCAGAGCCGACGGUUCGUACUUGGGGGGAUACGGUACUAUUCACGUAUACGGUACUGUUCACGUAUACGGUAAUGUUCAUGUAUACGGUACUAUUCACGAAUACGUUGGAGACGGCCAUUUGUACUUGGGAGACAGUCUAUUGUAAGUAGUGUGUAUUUUUGCAUGUCUAGGAAAGUUCUGUCAAAAAAGGCGAUAAGAGUCUAAGGAUUCUGGUUUUUAAUUGGGACCGAAUUCCCGUCCAGUUUUCUGGGAACUUUCCUGGUGCAUUUAUUCACGCGAAAUUAACAUCAUAGAGGCUGUUUUUCAAGUGGAAAUAGUUCGUUGAGAAAAAUCGUAGAAGGUGAAACUUCCAGAAUUGGGGAGAGAUCUACCGAGACUAUUUCAGGAGACAUUUCAGGUGGGAGGCGAGAUUUGUCAAAUCGCUAUUCAGCACCUGUUAUAGGAGGCCAGAAGAUCGAUGUUGAAAAGUUUGAUGGGAAAAUCAACUUCGGCAUGUGGAGGCGCGAAGUUAUGGAUGCCCUUAUUCAAAUCGAUCUCGAUGUUGUCCUGAAAAAUAAAAGACACUUGUAUGAUGAAGAAAUUUGGGAUCGUAUGAACGAGAAAGCCUGUGGUCAGAUCAGAUCUUGUUUGACCAAGGAGGUGAAAUACUUGGUGAAAGAUGAGGAGUGUGCAGUGACUUUGUGGCGUACAUUGGAAGAGAAGUACCUGGUGAAAAGUCCUGAAAAUCGUCUUCAUGCAAUGAGCCAAGUAUAUGGCUUUCGAAUGAAGUCUGGGGUGUCAAUGCACGAUCAUGUUUCAAGAUUUAAAAAGUUACUUGCUGAUUUGAAGAAUCUUGAUGAAGAUAUUAAAGAUGAAGUCAAUGCUAUGAUUCUGUUACACUCACUACCAGAGGAAUAUAGCCAUUUUGUGACUACUUUGAUAUAUGGGAAGAGUGUGAUCGUCUUUAAAGAUGUUUGCACAGCAUUGACUAGUUUGGAGAUUCGGAAUAAUGAUAAAAAUUCUGAACGAGCAUCGUCUGAAGCUUUGGUGAGCAGAGAUUGGGCGAUGGAGAAAAAGAUAAAUGGUGGUGGAAAGAAUUCUCGAUCCAAAUCGAGAAGCAGAAAUAUAGCUCGAGAUGAGUGUGCCUUUUGUCAUGAAAAGGGCCAUUGGAGGAAAGAUUGUCCAAAGGCUCAAAAGAGAGAUGGGAAAAAACCAGCAUCAGCAAACAUGGCACGGAAAGAUGAGGACUCUGAUUAUUCACUAAGUAUCACUCCUGCAGCAUAUGUGGCUAGUUCGAGUGAGUGGAUACUUGAUACUGGAGCAACCUAUCAUUUGUGUCAUAUUAAGGAAUGGUUUACGGAUUUUCGUAAUCUGGAAUCCGGUGCAGUUAUGAUGGGGAAUAAUCAACCUUGUCGCACAAUGGGGAUAGGAACAAUUCGGCUCAAAAUGUUUGAUGGAAUGGUCAGAGAACUCAAAGAGGUUAGAUUUGUUCCAGAGAUAAAGAAAAAUCUAAUUUCUGUGGGUGCUUUGGAAGCUAAAGGUUACAAAGUUACCAUUGAAGAUGGCACAAUGAAGUUUACACAUGGGGCUAUGGUGAUUCUGCAAGGGGUUCGGCGUCACAAUCUGUACUAUUUGAAAGGAGGUACAACUGAUGAAGCAAAUGUUGUUGAGGCGCACAGUGACACCACCAAGCUAUGGCAUGUACGACUGGGACAUGCAGGAGAGAAGUCUUUGCAAACUCUGAUGAGGCAUGGACUCUUAAAAGGUAUCAAAACCUGUAAAUUAAAUUUCUGUGAGCAUUGUGUAGUAGGCAAAAAAACAAGGGUCAAGUUUGGUACAGCUAAUCACGAUACUCGUGAGAUCCUUGAAUAUGUUCAUAGUGAUGUAUGGGGACCAACCAAGACUGCAUCAAUUGGUGGAAGCCAUUAUUUUGUUAUAUUUGUUGAUGAUUUCUCUAGACGUGUAUGGGUGUACACCAUGCGAGCAAAGGAUGAGGUUCUAGAGAUUUUCGUGAAGUGGAAGAAAUUGGUGGAGACUCAAACUGGCAGAAAGAUCAAAGUAUUACGAUCUGAUAAUGGGGGUGAAUAUACUUCUGAUCCAUUCUUGCAAGUAUGCCAGAACGAGGGUAUUAAAAGACAUUUCACAGUGAGACAUACUCCGCAACAGAACGGUGUGGCUGAGCGUAUGAAUCGUACUUUACUGGAGAAGGUACGAUGUAUGUUAUCUAAUGCUGGUUUAGAUAAAAAGUUUUGGCCUGAAACUGUGAGCUACGCAAGUCACUUGGUAAAUCGGUUGCCUUCUGCUGCAAUUGGAGGUAAAACUCCUAUGGAAAUGUGGUUUGGAAAGCAUGCACAAGACUAUGAUUCCCUUCGUGUAUUCGGGUGUCCAGCUUAUUAUCAUGUCAAAGAUGGUAAACUGGAUCCUCGUGCUAGAAAAUCUAUCUUUGUGGGAUUCAAAGGUAGAGUAAAGUGCUUCAAGCUUUGGGAUCUCGAAGACAAAAAGUUUGUGUGUAGCAGAGAUGUCACAUUUGAUGAAGCUUCAAUGAUAAAAGCUUCAAGUUCUCAGCAGGUGGAGAACAAGACCACAUAUGUAUUGCAGCGGGUGGAGUUUGAUGCAACUCCAUAUGUACCAGUUAGUUCUACAUCAAAGAAUGGUUCAACUAUGGAGGUGACACCUAAAGUUGAAGAAGAGGUUGUUUCUUCUGAUGUCCCACAAAAUGAAGAAACAAUUGAUGAUGUAGAUGAUGAUGAUUUUAUAGCAACAAGGAGGCCAAGAAGAGAGAUAAAGAAACACGGAUGGCUUACUAAAGAUAUGGUGGUAGCCUAUGCACUUUCAGUUAUUGAUGAUGACAUCCCCAAUACUUUCGGUGAAGCAUUACGCAGUAAUGAAAGUGAUCAGUGGAAGCUAGCCAUGGAGGAAGAGAUGAAAUCUCUCCAUCAAAACCAGACUUGGGAACUUGUAAAGUUACCAAAGGGGAAAAGGGCUAUUGGCAAUAAAUGGGUCUACACCAAAAAGCAAGGAUCUCCGAAUCAAACAACUCCUCGAUACAAGGCAAGGCUCGUGGCAAAAGGUUUUGCUCAAAAGGAAGGUAUUGACUACAAUGAAGUUUUGUCUCCAGUUGUAAAACAUACUUCCAUUCGUAUCCUACUUGCCUUAGUUGCAGAAUAUGAAUUAGAGUUGGCUCAGUUGGAUGUUAAGACGGCGUUCUUACAUGGAGAUUUGGAGGAGGAAAUCUACAUGAUUCAGCCUUGUGGUUUUAGAGUUGCUGGAAAGGAGAAUCAUGUGUGUAGGUUGAUUAAAUCUUUGUACGGACUGAAGCAAUCGCCAAGGCAGUGGUAUAAAAGAUUUGAUCAAUUUAUACAAGGGCAGAAAUUCACCAGAAGUGAACACGAUCAUUGUGUUUACUUUAGAAGACUACCAGAUAGAGCUUUCAUCUAUUUGCUACUCUAUGUCGACGAUAUGCUUAUAGCUUCGAAGAAUAGAGAUGAGAUCGAAAGAUUAAAGAAGCAGCUGGCUUCUGAGUUCGAGAUGAAAGACUUGGGUGAUGCACAGAGAAUACUUGGGAUGGAGAUUUGUAGAGACAAGAAGAAUGGGAGCGUAUGGUUGACUCAAAAGUCUUAUUUGAAGAAAGUGCUAGAAAGAUUCGGUAUGGAUGACAAAACUAAACCGGUAUGUACACCUCUAGCUCCUCAUUUCAAAUUAGGCUCUUCUUCAUGUCCUAAAUCUCAAGAGGAGCGCGAUUACAUGGCUCGUGUUCCAUAUGCUAGUGCUGUGGGUAGUCUUAUGUAUGCUAUGGUAUGUACAAGGCCCGAUAUAUCUCAAGCAGUAAGCAUGGUUAGUAGAUACAUGCACGAUCCGGGUAAAAGUCACUGGCUUGCAGUAAAGUGGAUUCUUCGAUAUCUGUAUGGGACAGUUGAUGUUGGGUUAUUGUUCAAGAAGGAUUGUGGUCAACAAUGUGUUGGCUAUUGUGAUUCUGAUUUCGCUGGAGACCUUGACAAGCGAAGAUCAACAACGGGCUACGUAUUCACAUUGGGUGGAGGUCCAGUUAGCUGGAGGUCAAUUUUGCAAUCGACAAUUGCUCUGUCCACUACGGAAGCAGAGUACAUGGCAACAACUGAAGCUGUAAAGGAAGCUAUCUGGUUGAAAGGCUUGUUAGGUGAUUUGGGAGUAAUCCAGGAGAACAUUACGGUCUUCUGUGAUAAUCAAAGUGCGAUAUUCCUUGCGAAGAAUCAAACAUAUCACGCUCGGACAAAGCACAUAGAUGUGAAAUAUCAUUAUGUGAGAGAGAUUAUCGAGAGCGAUGUUGUGUUGUUGAGAAAGAUCGAUACCAAAGAUAAUCCAUCAGAUAUGUUGACGAAGGUAGUUUCUGGAGUUAAGUAUCAACAUUUCUUGAAAUUAAUUCAAAUCCUUCGAUUGUGUUAAAGAUAUGUCCUUCGGGAAUUUUGAACUACGGUUGGCUUGAUCCCAAAUUUUGGGUACGUAGGCAGUCGAAACGACACAGCCAUUCUGGAUCCUUAUUGAAGGAUCACUUUGGGGAUGAGGGUUCGUUGGUAGUCGGCUCAGAUUUGGACAAAUUUUCGCCGAGGUGGAGAAUUGUUGAAAAGUCAUGCACGUGACAUUGAAAUUCAAAAAUGAAUGCAAAAUUUCAAAUGGCUACCAAACAUUUGAAGAAAAAAUGGAAAGUUGGCAAAUUUGUCAAAUUUGCCAAAUGGACACCAUUGACUAUUGGCUUAGGUUAUGUGGAAUAGUAAAAGGGUUGGUGCAAUAGUGCCAUUAUUUUCCCUAUAAAUAGAUGGCACUUCUUCCAUUCUAAAUCAUCCCAAAAUUGUUAAGCUUAUAAGUUUCUAAGCUUUUGAGAGAAGUGAGAGAAGUGUCUGAGGAAUUUAUCUUUCCUGCAGAGUGUGAGAGUACUGGGUAUAUUUGGGUUUCUGGGAAGUGAGAUUCGUUACUCAAAUAUUGUAUUCUAUUAAUUGUUAAAUAAACAAUUAUUCUUUCUUGCCUUCGUGGAUGUAGGUUUAAUUACCGAACCACGUAAAUUCUUGUGUCCUUUAUUUUUCAGUAAUUAUUUGGUGCGCUUGAUUCCGCAUUCCGCGCACAACAACACACACACACGUAGCUUGCACUAAUUAAUUAAUAAGCUGAGAGAUAACCAAGCUACCGAUACAUAACCUUGUAAACAGGACCAUAUCCACCCUCCCCGAGCUUAUUUUCAAUUAAAAAUCUAUCCGUGGCCACCUCAAUAUCAGCCAAGCUAUAUUCUCUCAGAUCAGGAUCAUUGCUGUUAAAAUCUCCAGCAUCCGCUUGUCUAUUUUCGCUGUCCUUUGAUGCUUUGGCUGAGUCAAUUACGGUCCAAUUAAUAUCAACCAAGAGAAAGAAAGCUAAUUUAAGUGAAUCGCCCACUUCUUCAUCUGUGUUAAAUGGAAUAGAAGUAAAAAUAUUCCUAAUCCCGUGUAGAAGAAGUUACCUUUUAAUUUGAGGUUUUUCAUCCAGCAGUAGUAAUACAGCAAAAAGCCUAUUAGAAGAAUACAAGCUGCAGUUAUAGGCAAAACAAUUGCCCAUAAUAGCCGCUUAUUUUGUCGAUUCCUUUCAUCCUCUUCAGCUGAAAAGUCAAAUCACUUUGUGUUAUUUAACCACUGAUGGUCAAAUAAAGAUCUUAAUUGAAGUCAUUAUGCAGAGAACUGAUCGAAUGGGUAGCAGGCAGUGAGUGAGGCUUUGCAUUUGCUUACCUGCAGCUUGAGAAAGCAUCCAAUAAUGAUCACUGGAAACUUGCCACACAUAGUAACCACGUAGCUUCUUUUCCUUGGCAUAUGCAACCUUCACUCUAACAGCCUCGACAUCAUCAAAACCAAACCAAAUCUUCCCAAUCGAGCAGUAAUUCACGACAUAAGUUGAAUUGUACAUUACUUGAACAUUAGGACGAUAGUUCUUGAUGUGAUUCUUGACUUCCUUAUAAGUCACAAGGCCAUCAUCAUGCAAAGCUGGUCCUGUUGUUGCUGCGCCAAUGCCAUUGUCCUCAGGUUUCACAAGCGUCCAUGCAUAGCCAUAAAAAGGCAAACAUAAAACCAAUUUAUCAGCCGAUAACCCUUCCUCAAUCCAUUCCGUGAUUCCAUAUUCAGUAUUAGAGACACUAUUUGGAUCAUACAGAGCCGCAUGAGCACCAGUAAAAUUUUUCCGCGUAGGGCUUGAGUAUUCGGUAGUGAUAACAUGAACCCAAUUCAAGUACUGUCUUAUCGAGUCGACUGGAUAAGCUGCUGCUGUUGAGAGUGGUGAAUAUGCGACCUUUGCUGUCAAAAUCAACUGUGAUUGGCUCGAGUUAUUUCUUGCUUCUAAAGCAACGGCAGCUCGCCAUUCUUUUAAAGAGAAUGCCAAUAUUGUACUUAUCCCAGUUUGUGUUUGCCUGAUUCCAAGACAGAUCUAAGCCUUGAAAGCCAUAAAGCCUUGCUAUUUUUAUUGAGGAGUCAAUAAAGUAUUUCCUGAAAGAAGGAUUGCCCGCCAUGGAAGAAUAACUUGAAUAGUUUGGAUUAUUGCCUCCUCCGAUGGAAAGAAGAGUAGUGAUUGAUGGGUUCUUUAUUUUGACAGUGUCUGUGAAGUUGGAGAAUUGUUUUUCAUCAGAAGGUGAUAAAGAAAGCUCAUAGGAAGUUGAGUUGACAUCGGCAAAACCACACAUAAGGUGAGUGAAAAGAGCAGAAUUUACAUCUGAAACGGGGAACCCACCGUCUGAAUCCCAGUAACCAGCUCUGAUUAAAGUUUGUGCCCUUGCAGGAAGCGAUUCUGAAAAUAUAAAAAUGUAGAGUACAAGAAUGAUAAUUUUGGAUGCCAUUGUGGGAACCUUGCUGCUUUGAGGCAAACCUAGUAUGUGAUUACAUAUAUAUGUACAGACACAAAAUGUAAUGGAGAAAAUAUCCGACACCGAUUGAGAUUUGUUAUUGGACUAUAAUACAAACUUGAGGCAACUUUCAACUCAUGAGCUUAGCUCAUAAGUCUUUAUACGGUAUCAAAGUCAAGUUUCGAAAGAGUGACUCUAUACUACCUUUCAAUUUAACAAAGAGAAAGAAAAGAGAUCAGCCUACACGUGGUAGGAAGAUAGAAAAAGUAUAUCACAUUGGCUAAGAUUAAUUACUAGGUUGAUAAUAUAAGCUCAAAACAACAUUUAACUGUUGCGGAAAUGUGGGUUGAGCAAUUACUAAUACUGCAACUUCUGAAGAAAUAUAAAUGUGGUGUUAAACAAAUGCAAAGAAAAUAUAACACAAUGAUUUACGUGGUUCGGCGUAAUGCUUACAUCCACAGGCAAAAACUAAAAGAUAAUUUUACUAACAAUGAAAAUUUACAAAAGUGAGAAAAAUUCACAAAACCCACAACCCCAAUACACCCAAAUGAAACCUAACUAGAACACUCAAAUGGAAGCUCUCGUAAAUUCUCUCAAAGAACUCACUUGCAAUUGCUCUCUCCAUUUCUUUCAAAUUGGGAUGAUUUACAAAUGCAUUUUGCUUCUCUAUUUAUAGGCAAAGCAUGCUCACCCACCACACGGCUUCAAUUUGACUUUAAUUGGCUAAAUUGACAAAUUUGGCAAUUGGUGCCAAAUUUGUCAUGCAAUGCAUGCUAGCUGUUCCAUGCCAUUUAUUCAAUUUGCAUAUUUUCAAAACCUAACUUUGCUUUUUUGAAAUUGGUAAGCCGACCAUUUGACUUUUCAACAUCAACUCCAUAACAAGCUGUAAUUUAAUAAAGUUAGGUCAACUCGAUAUUUUAUAUAGUACGUCAUGAGUGAGGAGGAGUUUAAGCUACAAAUCGCAGUCAUGAGUGAGGACAAAUUUGAUUCUCUCAAGAUUUUGCGUUUUGUACACGUUGAUCAUGGACUGAAUCAAAAUAGAAAAUAUUUUCACAGGAGUUUGCCUUCAAAUUGCACGAAUGGAACCAUAGAGGAAUACAUCGAAAAGUUUGUCUUCUUGCCAUGAUGUUAAGUGAGAAGAUUGAAGUUCUUAAAUUAAGCUAUGACGUUUUACCUCCACUUAGCUUGACUUCUGAAGCUGAAGACUCAUCCUUUUGCAUUGACUUUGUUGGUAUUUAAAUGACCUCGGAGUCUUGGACGUGUUUCUGAAGCAAUGUCAUGGUCUAUGAGUAGAUUUUAUUUUUUGGGUAAGAAAGGGAAAGUCUGUCGUUAGGAAAACAUCCUGACAACGAGAUGGUGAGAGGGGAUGAAAAAGAAAUUAUACACUUAGUUACUUCCUCAUGAUAAGAUUCAGUGGUAUUGUAAUUUUAAUAAAAAAUUAAGACCAUUUUGCCUUUUUCCUUGUGUAAUUUAAUUUUCAGUCAAGACCACCCUCCCAUUUUAGUACAGGGAAAUUAUCAUUUGUAUAUUCUUAGUUUACUCCAUUAUCAAAAAUAUUACAACACUUUGAGGGUGUAUCAAUCGUCUACCCUAAGUUGACAAAAUGUAUUAGCUGACCACCAAACCGUUAGUUGCCGUUUAAGUAUGAUGAUAUCAGAAGGGUAAUUUGGUUUUUUCAUAUGAUACAAGUGAUAAUUUAAGGGUAUACAAGUGAUAAAAAGAGAAUUUAAGGGUAUACAAGUGAUAAUUUUCAAGGGUAAAAUCGUCAAUUCACUGUAAUUCCGUUAACUUUCAAACGGCAACUAACGGUUUGGUGGUCGGCUGAUACAUUUUGUCAACUAAGGGUGGACGAUUGAUACACCCUCAAAGUGUUGUAGUAGUUUUGAUAACAGAGCAAAUAUAAGGUAUACGAAUGAUAAUUUUCCUUUAGUAUAAAAGCCUAUACAAAUGUACGUUUUACUCAAUGUUUACAUAGAAACAAAUGGCGCGAAGACGAUUUGUCAAUCUAGUACCACUCUCGUAUACUUGGUAAGAUUUGGCUUCACCAAAUUGUAGCCUAUAUUUUACUUUAAUGAGAAAAUCAAAUAAUAUAUGUUUGAACAAAUAAUUUUCUUUGCUCUAUAUACUUUCUUAAAAUGUAUGGAGUGGGUAAAGUAUAAAUUGAUCUCUUAGCCCGUUGACUCCUCCAAAAUUCAAACUCAAUUUAAUGGUAAGUUAAAUAAUGCUACUUGAAAAUCAUUCCACCAAAUAUCAUAAAAACUAUAAUUAAGUUUCACUGAUUAUUGAAUUAUAGAAUGUGCUAUCAUUUCCUAGCUAGAAUUUGUUUAAUUCUAUUAAUUUACAAUCAUUUUUAUUUUAUUUAAUUAAUUAAAGUGAAUUUAUUAUGUAUAAGUUCUAUAUAUGUAAAAUUUUAAAAUCUAAUGUUGAAUUGAAUUGUACUGAACUUUUUAUAAUUUUUUAUCACGCCUGCAAAUUUAACAGUUUUGUAUUAAUAUUGAUAGCACAUAAUAUAUAGGAUUAAGAGAGAUUGGUUUCGAGUUGCUACAAGCAUUUUGGGAUUGCAUGCACAAGGGUUUAUAAACAAAGGGUGCAAUUAAUUACCCCAAACGAGGGUGCAUUUUUAUGAUGAAAUAAAAACUACGUGCGGGGUUGUAAAAGUGGCUCCAUAAUUAAUGUACAUUAACAUUCAUCUAGCUAUCACCUCCGAAAAUGAUACAGCAUAAGCCGAGCAUUUUUCCAAUUGUGUUGUAGAUAAUAGUUCAAUCCCAAUUUCAUCAACUUGUUUUGAGAAAGGAGGCUUCUUGGGAGUAUUAAUAUUUGUGGUUCCAUUCUUGAGCAUUGAGGAAACUUCCAGCAUUGAAGGUCGGUCGUUUGGAUUCUCCUGGACACACAACAAAGCUAUUUCCAGACAUCUCAUUAAUUUACAAGGGGAAUUUGUAUUGUCUAGGAAUGAAUCCACAAACUCCACGCCUUUGCCACCUUUCCACAACUGAUAUGCCUGAAAUUAUCAAGUACCAUCUCGUUACAUAAUUUAUACUUCUUAAUUAAGUGCGCAUAUGUGUACUCAGGGUUACUAUAGCCGAAGAAACUUACGUGCUCUAGAAUGCUUAAAUUUUCAUUGAUGCCACAUAACACUGAAAGCCUCUUUCCACUUAUGAUUUGUAGAAGUAAAACUCCGAAACUAAAAACGUCUGAUUUGGUAGAGUAUACACCUUGUCUGGCGUACUCAGGAGGAAUAUAGCCUCUGCAUUCAAAAUAACCAAGUAUAUAUGAGUAAGGGAUUUUGCAAUUUAAUAAAUUUGUAAAACCCAUUUUAAAUUGUGGUAAAAGUCCAUUCCGCAUUUUAUUAAAGUGCUGAAUUCCUUAUUCGAAACCCAAUAUAUGUAUAACAAACAGAAGCUUGAGUAAAGGAUAUCAUUUAGUUGUGAUAUACUUACAUUGUUCCCACAACUUGUUCUGAUUCGCGUCGAGACUCUCUUUUGCAAAAAUUCUAGCCAUACCAAAAUUUGAAAUUUUAGGUUUCAUAUCUUGACCUAACAAAACAUUACUGGCUUUCAAGUCUCGAUGAAUAAUAGUCAGUCUUGAGUAUUCUUGGAGGUAUAAAAGUCCUUGAGUUAUCCCUUCAAUGAUAUGAACAUGUUUUUUCCAAUCCAAAAGAAGUCUUCUGAUGGGAUCUACAACAAAUAUAUAGUUUUGGACAAUAAGUGAUAUACAAGCGAAUUAUAUACACAAUUGAUAUUAACUUGAUUUCAGAACAAACCAAAAAGGUAGCAAUCCAAGCUUUUGUUUGGCAUGUAUUCGUAGACCAGCAUCCGUUCCUCACUGUCAAUGCAAAAACCUAAAACUCUAAUAAGAUUUACAUGUUGGAGUUUUGCAGUAAGAAUAACCUCAUUCUUAAACUCCUCAAAUCCCUGUGCGGAUGAUUUCGAAAGUUUCUUCACUGCUAUCACCACUCCACAGGGUAAUACACCCUGCAACCCAAAAAAAAACCACGUUCAUAUAAAGCUUUCACUAAUUAGAGACGCUGAGAAAUGUUAGCCAAACAAUAUGCUACCCCCCAAAGUUGAGGGCACCAUUUUAAGUCCUUUAGUCCCCAUGGACGCAAAAUGUAAAUCUCCUCUCACAGAAUAUGGAUAUGGGUAGAGGUAUCUUCCUCAAAUGUUAGUCAAAGUAGUUAUAUCCCUCUAGUGUGAGGUUAAAGGUCUCAUCUCUAAUAGGCAUAGAGUUUUAAAUUAUAUGUUUUGGGCCUCUGAAUUCUACGACGAGUGUACAAAUUCAAACUUCCGAUAGGAUCCAAAUUGCAACAUUGUGGAUUGUAACAAAUUAAAAUAUAGGUACACACACACACACACAUGUUACCUUGUAAACAGGACCAUAUCCACCCUCCCCAAGGUUAUUUCUAAUUGAAAAUCCCUCGGUGGCCGCCUCAAUAUCAGCCAAACUAUAUACUCUGAGAUUAGGAACAUUUCUGUUAAAGUCUCCAGCUUCUGUUUCAUUAUUUUCUCUCGUGUUUGAUGCUUUAGCAGAAUCCUCUGUUCCUAACAUCAACCAAGAGUAAAUAUUAGAUAAUUAAUUGUAUGUCAGCCUAAGUUUUAUAUAUAUAUGAAAUGCAUGCUUAAUUAUAAUUGGUAGCUGAAGCUUGUUACCUUCUAUUAACUUGAGCCUUUUCAUCUGGUUGUAUUUAUAUGCACAACAACUUAGAAGGAGAGUCAAAGCUGCCGCUGCAGUCGAAAUGAGUACCAAGGACAGAUGGCGGUUAUUACUAUGUUCAUCUUUGUCAGCUGAAGCAGAAGUAAUCCUGUCUUUUUGUGCUGGAAAUAUGUAUAGUUCAGCAAUUAAUAAUAACUAGCUAGAGAUGCCAUAACAAUCAUUAUUAAUCAGAGAGAACAAUUAUUGCAUAGAUAAAUACCUGCAGCUUGAGAAAGUACCCAAUUAUGAUCGUCAUAAUCAACUCGCCAAACAUAGUAACCAAGAAAUCUCUUCUCUUUGGCAUAGGCGAUCUUAGCUCUAACAGCCUCCACAUCAUCAAAACCAAACCAAAUCGUCCCAGUGGAGAAGUAAUUCACCACAUAAGUUGAAUUGUACAUAACUUGAACAUUAGGACCAUAGGUCUUGAUGUGAUUCUUGAUAUCCCUAUAGGUCACAAGGCCACCAUUACUCAUAGCUGGUCCUGCUGCUGCUACUCCAAUACCAUUGUCUUCAGGUUUCACAAGCGUCCAUGCAUAGCCGUAGAAAGGCAAACACAAAACCAACUUAUCAGCCAAUAACCCUCUCUAAAUCCAUGCCCUUAAAACCUGAUCAGUACUGUCAAAGAAGCUCAUAAUGCAUGGAAGGAUGCAGCACACGUGUGAGAUGAAUAUAGUCAGCUGAAUCAAUUGAAGAGUGGAGUGCCAGCUCAGCUGAAGUUAGUUAGACACGUUAAGAUCAAGUUUUAGUUAGUUCUUCAUUUUCUGUUAAGCUGAAAAACAGCUGAGUAUAAAUACAAGCAUAUUGUAAUCAUUUUGAGGUUAAGUAAAAAUAAAAUAAAGCAUUUGAUUCCAGAAUUUCUUUUACAAAUUUUCUUAGCACUUUAGAUACAUUUUCUCAGUAACCAAACAGUUUGUUCAUUCAAGCUUUUAAGCUUUCAAACAUGGUAUCAGAGCCUUACAGAGCUAGUUCCAGUAAUCAACAGUCAAGCCUUCGUAAUCAAACAACAAACAACACAAAUCAACCUACUCAAAUCAACUUCUCUUUUUCUAAUCCUAUCAAGCUAGAUCGAUCCAAUUACUUACUCUGGCGUUCUCAAGUUUUGGCCUCAAUAAGAGGCAAUCGUUUGGAAGAUUUCGUCACAAGAGCCAGAUCAGUACCUGAUAAGUGUCUUCUGUUAACUGAAGCAGAUGGAUCUACACAACAAGUUGAAAAUCCAGAAUAUCAGAUCUGGAGAUCACAGGAUCAGACACUUCUUGGCUGGCUACUGUUGUCAUUAAGUGAAGGUAUCUUAAGUCUUGUAAUCAAUUGUGAGAGUUCAUUUGAUAUAUGGAAAACUUUGGAAAAGAAAUUUGGAGUUCAAUCUGAAGCUCGAGUUCUUCAGCUCAGAUACGAACUAAACACUCUUAAAAAGGAAGCCCUUAGUGUUGAAGAUUAUUGUAUUAAAAUGAAAGCAAUAGCAGAUAAGCUGGCCAGUGCUGGUAGUUCAAUUACAGAGAAGGAUCUUAUGCUAACUAUUCUUAAUGGAUUAGGAUCAUGAUAUCGUGAUAUUGCUACAUUUAUAACUGGUUCACGAAUGGAGUUUGAUGAUGCUUAUGCACUGUUACUCACUCAUGAGACUAGAUUAGAGCAGGAGCAAGGUGACAAAAGUAUGUUUAAUGCAAACUAUGCAUACACAAAUGCAUAUUAUCCUAGAGCUUAUUUUGCACAGCCUAGAAGAAGUUUUAAACGAGGAGGUUAUUCUGGUGGUAGAACUCCUUUCUUUGGCAGAGGAAAUAUGAAUUACUCUCCAAGAAUGUUUAAUGGAGGCUUUAGAAAUGGAUAUGGCAGAGGAUUUUUUCCUGGAAAUAACUCAACUGAUUUCAAUCAUUUUCCAGCUCCUAGGAAUCCAGUACCUAGGAACUCAUCUUUUCCAGCUAGAAAUGGAUCUGCUAACAUGAGUGGAUCACAAGGAAGUUUUAAUAAUGCUGGAGAGAUGACAUGUCAGAUUUGUUUUAAGAAUGGCCAUACUGCUGAUGUCUGUUGGCACAGAUUUGUUGAAGAUUUUGUACCUGUUCCAAGAGGUUUUGGCAAGGGAAGAACACCAAGAGCAGCAUAUUUAUCAAACUUUGAUGGCUCCAUUUCUAAUCCAGAUUUUGGCUAUGAAAAUCUUAAUACUAUGUUUCCAGGUUAUGACUCUAUAUCUGGCAAUAGCUACUAUUCUGGAAUGGAUGGAUACACUUCUGGAGCAGCUAGAACAGCUUUCAUGGCAAAUUUUGAAGGGACUGCUGAUGAUGGAUGGUAUCUGGAUAGUGGGGCAACUCACCAUUUAACCAACAAUAUGGAGAAUUUGCAGAUCAAUGAAGAGUUUAAAGGUACUGAUUAGCUUAUCAUUGGAAAUGGUCAAGGUUUGUCUAUUACUCAUGUUGGACAUGCAUUUCUGGUAUUAAGAGCUUCUAAACCCUUAUCUACACAUGCUAGAAUAAAACUUAAAGAUAUGUUACUUGUCCCUUCAAUUACCAAAAAUCUAUUAAGUAUUUCUAAACUCACAUCUGAUAACCCUUUAUCUGUUGAAUUCUGUGGAAAUGCUUGUUUUGUGAAGGACAUGAAGGGUCAAGUUCUUCUGCAGGGUAUUGCUGAAAAAGGCCUUUACAAGCUGCUGCUGAACUCAAAUUCUCUUUCUUCAUCACCUACAUCUUAUCUUUGUAAAUCCCAGCCAAAUAAACUAGUCUCUAUGUUGUCUGCUUUCAAACACUCUGAUAAUGGUACUCGAGCUUGUUUUCAGUUUGUUUUAAAUAAGUGUAAUGCCAAACCUAAUGUAAUAACUUUGUUACAUAGAAAGUUUGGUCAUCCAAGCUCAAUGACAUUGAUGCAUUUGCUCAAAUCAUGUAAACAGUUUAAAGUCUCUCCAAAAGACAUGUUAUCUUCUGCAAGUACUUUAUGUGAAGCAUGUCAGCUAGGCAAAGUCCAUAAGCAACAUUUCUCAAUAACCGAAACAAAAACAAAAGAGGUAUUAGAAUUGAUCCAUACUGAUCUUUGGGGGCCUUCACCCACUGUGUCUAGAGAUGGAUACAAAUAUUACAUUAGUUUUGUGGAUGAUUACACUAGGUACUCUUGGAUCUAUCCUCUUAAGCUCAAAUCACAAGCAUUUGAAGUUUUCAAAUUGUGCAAAACUCAAGUUGAAAAUCAGUUUGAUACCAAAAUUAAGAUGCUACAAUCUGACCUUAGGGGAGAGUUUAGAGCAUUUACUGAUUUUCUCAAUCAAAAUGGAAUAAUCUUUAGGCACUCAUGUCCUUACAUCCAUCACCAGAAUGGUCUUGUUGAGAGGAAGCACAGGCAUAUAGUUGAACUAGGAUUAACCCUCAUGGCUCAAGCAAAUCUUCCUCUUCAAUUCUGGUGGGAAGCUGUUCAUACAGCAGUGUAUCAUAUUAAUAGAUUGCCUACCCCUGUUCUGAAAUUCUUAUCUCCUUAUGAGAAACUUUUCAAACACAAACCAGAUUACACAUUUCUAAAGUGUUUUGGUUGUCUUUGUUAUCCAUACUUGAGAGACUUUAACAAACAUAAGUUUGAUUUUCACACUUCUAAAUGCAUUUUUAUUAGAUACAAUCCCUCUUAUAAAGGAUACAAAUGCUUAGCAAGUUUUGGUAAAGUCUAUGUUCUUAGACAUGUCAUUUUUUAUGAAACACAUUCCCUUAUCCAAUAAACAUUGCAUUCUCAACAGAAAAUCACAUAUCUUCUAAAACCUCAGUGUCUAAUUUCUCUCAGCAACAUAUCUAUCAUCUUUCUACAAUAGCCUUACUCAACAGCAGCUUUGAAGGUCUUCAGUCAGCAAGCUCAGCAAGAAAUGAACAAAUGCCCUUUGGUCCCACACAUACAGAUGUUUUGAAUCAACAAGAACAUCCAUCACACACAUCCUUAGAGUUAUCAUCCUCAACCUCACCAUCACCAAACACAUUACUAAUGCAAUCAUCCAUUCUACAACCAGAGGAAACUUCUUCACAGAAUAUAGACCAAAUUCAAACCAGAAAUCAUUCCCAACCAUCUUCUCAUCCAAUGAUUACCAGAUCGAAAUCUGGAAUCUUCAAACCAAAGGUCUAUACAGUCACCUUAGCCAACAAAGAACCCAGUACAGUUCAAGAAGCUCUUAGUAGUCAGAAUUGGCAUCAAGCCAUGGUAGAUGAGUAUGAAGCUUUGAUGAAGAAUAAGACUUGGUCACUGGUACCAUUUUCAAAUGCAUACAAAGUAGUUGACAACAAAUGGGUGUUUAGACUCAAGCAAAAUACUGAUGGAAGCAUAGCCAAACACAAGGCCAGAUUGGUUGCCAAAGGUUUUCAGCAAACUGAAGGUGUGGAUUACUUUGAGACAUUUAGCCCAGUUGUAAAAGCUUCAACAGUGAGGAUUGUUUUGAGUUUAGCUGUGAUGCAUAAAUGGAAAAUAAGGCAAGUGGAUGUGAAUAAUGCCUUUUUGAAUGGAGAAUUGACAGAGGAUGUCUAUAUGUAUCAGCCUGAAGGUUUUAUUGAUCAACAAAAACCUAAUCAUGUAUGCAAGCUGAAGAAGGCCUUGUAUGGCUUAAAGCAAGCUCCUAGAGCUUGGUAUGACAAGCUUAAGAAUUGUCUGAUUGCUAAUUGGAAAUUUCAGAAUUCAAAGGCUGAUACCUCUCUUUUCUUCAAAGAAGUGCAGGGCUCAAUGAUACUCAUCUUAAUCUAUGUAGAUGACAUUCUAAUGACAGGACCUGACAAUGGUGAACUGGAGAAAUUCAUCUCAAAAUUCAGUAAGACUUUUGCUUUAAAAGACUUGGGAAUUCUGUCAUAUUUUCUAGGAAUAGAAGUGUCCUAUGCUGAAGAUUGCAUCUAUCUAUCUCAGAAGAAAUAUAUCUUGGAUUUGUUAUCCAAAGCUAAUAUGCAAAAUUGUAAAGGCUGUGACACUCCCAUAGUUACUGGAUCAAAGCUUCAGAAAGAAGUCACAGGCUGUUUGGGUCAAUAUAUUGAGGAUGCAACAAGCUAUAGAAGCUUAGUUGGAGGUUUACAAUAUCUAGUAUUAACCAUACCAGAGAUAGCAUUUGCUGUGCAUAAGUUGAGCCAGUAUGUGACAGCUCCAACACUCCAGCAUGUUAUGGCUUGUAAAAGAGUUCUUAGAUACCUCAAGGAGACUGCAGAUUAUGGUUUGAAGUUUUCAGCAGGUGGGGAAAUGAAGAUCACAGGAUUUACAGAUGCAGAUUGGGCAUGUGAUGUUGAUGACAGAAAAUCAAUAGGAGCCUAUUGCAUUUAUUUUGGAAGCAAUCUAAUUUCCUGGUCAUCCAAGAAGCAGGCUGUGGUUACACGAUCCAGUGCAGAGAGUGAAUAUCGUGCUCUUGCUUCUGCAAGUGCAGAGAUAACAUGGAUCCAGUCGUUAUUCAAUGAACUUAGCAUUAAGUGUACUUCAUUACCAACUAUCUGGUGUGACAAUAUAAGUGCAACAGAGUUGGCCAAGAAUCCAGUUUAUCAUUCAAGGACUAAACACAUUGAACUGGAUAUGCACUUUAUUAGAGACAAGGUUUUGGCAAAGGAGUUAGAGAUUAACUAUAUUCCCAGCGAGGAGCAAAUUGCUGAUGCUUUGACAAAGCCUCUGACAUUUAUUCAUUUCAACUAUUUCAGAGCCAAACUCAAUGUGCAACCAUGCCCCUUGAGUUUGAGGGGGACUGUCAAGGAAGCUCAUAAUGCAUGGAAGGAUGCAGCACACGUGUGAGAUGAAUAUAGUCAGCUGAAUCAAUUGAAGAGUGGAGUGCCAGCUCAGCUGAAGUUAGUUAGACACGUUAAGAUCAAGUUUUAGUUAGUUCUUCAUUUUCUGUUAAGCUGAAAAACAGCUGAGUAUAAAUACAAGCAUAUUGUAAUCAUUUUGAAGUUAAGUAAAAAUAAAAUAAAGCAUUUGAUUCCAGAAGUUCUUUUACAAAUUUUCUUAGCACUUUAGAUACAUUUUCUCAGUAACCAAACAGUCUGUUCAUUCAAGCUUUUAAGCUUUCAAACAAGUACUUCUAGCAUAGCCGCCGCUACUUGAGCCAUACAGAGCCGCAUGUGCCUCGGUGAAGUUUGUUGACAUAGGCUCGUAGUAUUCAGCUGUAACAACAUGAACCUAAUUCAAGUUUCGUUGCAUCGAUUUCAAAAGGUACGAAUUGUCUGGUGGUAAAUAACGAAAUCUUGCGGUCAGGAUCAGCUGGGAUUGCUGGCGGCCAGAGUUUUUUGCCUCUAAUUGUGUAGCAGCUCGGCACUCGUCAAAGAAUAAACCCGUAUUGGACAUAUCGGUGCUCGUGUUCGGAGCUUUCCAAGCAAAGUCUAGGCCCUGAAAGCCAUAAAGCCUAGCUAUUCUUAUUGAAGAGUCGAUGAAAGAUUUCCUGUGAGAAGAAUUUCUCACCAUUGAAGAAUAUAUAGAAUAGUUUGUAUAUCUUCCUUGUCUAAUGGAGAGAAGUGUAGUGGUUGAUGGGUUCUUUUGUUUCACAGUGCCUGUAAAUUUGGGGAAUAUUUGAUUUCCAUCAAACGGUGAUGAUAAAGAUAGCUGGUAAGUGGUGGAAUUGAUAUCAGCGUAAGAGCAGAUAAGGUGAGUGAAGAGAUCAUAAUUUAUGCCCGAAAUGGUGGACACUUCGCUUGGAUCCAAGUAGCCGACCCUGAUCCACGGUUUUGCUUUCGCGGGAUGAAAUUCUGAAUAGAACAACAUGUGGAAGAUGAUGCUGAUAAUUAUGGAUGCCAUUUGAGAGGCUUAUGCUUCUUAAUUACCACUUCGAUGGGAAUGGAAAUGAAUGCACACUAAUAGAAAUUAAAUAAACACAAGUUUCACAGUUCAUUAAGCUCUCAUGUGUACUAUUAACGUAUAGGUUCAUUUCGUUGCCCAAAAAAAUCUUAUGUGCUCCUGAUAGGGACACAUACAUUGGAUGAUAAGAUGAUGAUAGGCGAUGCGACCAUUGCCCAAGAACUAAGAUUUUCUUCUAUCGCGUGGGUGACUUUUCAUGAAGAAAAAUGAUGUUUUGAUUGACAUAUGGUUAAACCGAUGCCAUAUUUCGGGCUACAAAUAUCAGUAUUGUUUUAUUAAAUAAUUAAAAAAAUUAAUUUUACGUGCAUGUUGAAGGUAAUAUUGCAGUCUUUUGAGCCUGUGUUGAAUUUCAUUCGUGUGCGUUCAUUUAUUAUCUAUCCUCUUUUUUCUCUGUGUGUCUGCUAGCUCUAGUCAUCUUAAAAGAAUAACAUGUUUAAUUAAUGCAUGUAAAUGCACCGCAAAAGUAGUUAAGAAAGACUUGAUCAAAGAUCAGACAUUUUCUCUCUACUCAAAAAGUAGUUAUUGGACUAAUUAAGAUUCUAAUCCCUUUAAGAAAUAUUGAAAAAGGGUUACUGUCACUACUUCAGUCCUUGUUGUUACAUAUAUAUAUAUAUAUAUAUAUAUAUAUAAAUUUAAAGAAGCAUCACAUAAAUCCUUCCUAAUUAUAUUUUGUUUCAUUCAAGUUGUUGACUUAAUUUGUCUGCUUGGAAAAAUUAGUAAAAAGGUAAAAAUAAAAAAAUGUAAAUUCUACUUAUUAGACUAAAUAUAUAGUAUAAAUUUGCAGCAACCAGCAAAAGUUUGGAAUAUGAAAAAUCCUAUUAAUUUUUAAAAAAUCUCCGAAAGUUUGAAAACUAAUAUUUUAAGGUCCUUUUACAAUAACCAUAAUUAACAUGAAUUUACUAAAUUAGGCAAACCCGAAUUACUACCAUAUAAUAAAAUUUUAUAACAGAAAUAAGAAAACAAAACAAAUAGCAUCAAAUCUUAUAUCUAAAAAAAAAUCUUGAAAUAAAUAGAAAAAAUAAGAAAAUAACUAAAACUUGCAAAAUGACCAUGAAAGAAAUGAAAUUUCCGACUGAACCAAAGGGCCAAUACACAUAGCAUUAUUGGACUAGAUCUAUCAUGGUGCAAACUUCAAAACAGUAUAUUAUAUUUUCUAAAUGGACACAUAUAGGUUAAGUUAUGAUAUUAAAAAAUAUCCUAUUCAUCUUACACAACCAUUCUAUGUCACUAUAUCUAUACACUAAUAAUAUAACCCAAACAUUUAUGGAGCAUAACUCACAGACCUCCACUAAUUACACUAAAGUUUACUCUCAUUUUAUAAGAGAGAGAAAUGUUCUCGUUCUCCAUUUAUGGGGGAUUAAACCAAAUGGUCUGUUUUUGAUUUUCUGGUAAGUUGUGUAACGUUGGAGCUUUUUGGCACUUCUUUGACGAAAAGUCGUUCUCUUCGACAACCCAAAAUUCGGGCCAAUGGGCAAUUAUGAAAGUCCAUUGGAUGCAUUGGACCAAACUAAAAGUCCAUAUAUAUAUGUAUAUAUAUAUAUAUAUUCAAUAAAUGAAAUGAAAAAAUGCAAUUGGCUUGCAGUUGCAAAGCUUCUUUGUUUAUUAUUAUAUAAUAUAAUAUAAUAUAAUUUUAUAUCAUUUUGAAUAUCAAAAUUUUAUUUCAAAAUUUAUUUAACACUAGUGUUUAAUAUAAGAUACAAUACUACCAAAAUUCUAUUCAAUAGUUUAUUUAAAAUAGUAUUGACUAUUAAAAAUAAGAAUUUACACUAAUAUUAAAUAUUAAAUUCAACAAUUAGUAACAUUAUUUAAAAUAAUUAUAGUAUUUAAAUGGUUAUUUAUCUUUAUUAAAUAAGAUUUAACAUAAUCCUCUGCGACAUUUUACUAAAUAAAUACAGUACUAUAUAUAAUCCAAUCUAAUCUUAAACAAUAAUCUAUUCUAUUCCUACCUUCCAAAUAUAAACACAAUAGAUAAUGAGAGCAUGAGCUAUGAGAUUAUAAAUCAUGGAUCAAGGGAGUAGAGAUACAGACCUUGAGAUCAUAGAUCGUAGACUAUUAGAGACUAAAGACCGUGGACAAAUCCGAGUACAUUAAAAAAAGGGGAAUUUUAGUCAAAUGUAGAUUGAUAUUAAGGAAUUCAGCAAGCAAGCUACAAGAAUAUCCAAAAGCGUGUAAUUUAUGUUUAAGGAAACAAGUGGAGAUAGAGAUGAAAUUGUAAAUUCAUCCCAAUCUUAAGUGGCUUAAUUCAAGAUGUAUGUUACCUACAAGCACAAUAAUAUGUACACGUUAUGUAUACAUGCAUCACAUACGUGCGUCGAUCAUCGAUGUAAAAGUAACAGUAAAUUUCUAGUAAAACAAACAUCAUUACUUUUAGUAUAAGAUGUAAAAAAUAUCAAUUAAUAACCAUUAGAAAAUAAAAAUUUAUGUAAUUGAUGCAGAUAAAUGGAAUCAAGUAGUAACAUUUCCUUCUCAUUGAAGAGAAAAGAUUAAAAAAAAGAAAAGGGGGGGGGGGGGGGGGGGGGAGGAGCGCAAACAUGACAAUUAUUUUUAUCCGCACGUGCCAUGAUAAUCGAUAAUCCGAUAUACCAACCGCGUCUAAUUGUCUGAAUUCUCAAGCUUAUCAAGCUUGCUCAAUCGCACCGCAGACACUGACCAUGGGAGAUUAAUCACCACUCGCAGUAUUAGGCGCGUGAAGGACACAUUCGCCAAUAAUUUAUAGCGGACAGUAGCAUUCCCGAUGCUGCGCGGAGAAAAAUAGUUGGGCUUGCGAAAGUUAAAUUGACUUGACUCGACAGAGUGAAGAAUGGUGGUGGUUGCUGUUAAGCAGUCGGUACUUCUGGCGACUGCUUGGCUUACACGCAGUUCCCGGGGGUGUCAUUUGACUGUGAAAGAGAAUUUUGGCUUUAUUGAUAUCUUGUUGGAUUUGGAAUUUUGGAUGGCUUCGUGUAGACCAUAAGACACGAUAUCGUUCAUAACACGUUAGCAUUCUUUCUCACGGGAGAAAAACUCGGGUGGGAGCAGAUGUACCAUCUCAACUGCCGUUUAUAAAUGGCUGUCAAAUAAUUAAUCAAAAUUUUAUUAUUUACGGUUAUAAUUGGAAUGAUAAAAAAUCAAUUCGAUGUUAUUCUUUGUGGCUCUGCUUAGAAUACUAAAAAAUCAAAUCGACUUAUUUAUUUUUAUAUUGAUCAUUACAAGUCUCUUGAAUUUUUUACCUACUUCAUUAACUUGUUAUUUUGAGUUGUACGUAACAUGGCUUUUUUUGUUUUUUACUUUACUUUGGUUUUCUUUAUAACCCAUAAAAAUUUUCUUGUUAAGACUGUGUGAACCAAUUGAAACUUCAGAUUCAUACUAGAACUAUGAUGAUUUGAUAAGAGCUUCAAAUUAAAUCCACAGAUUCUAUGAAAAGAAAAGAAAAGAAAAAGUCUUUUAUUGGUAAAAGAAGAAAGCUCUUCGGCACUGAUCCGAAGAAAAAUCAUUCUCCAUACAAUGAGCAAAACAAAGUCCAAUUCGCAUUACAUAGAAGUAAAACCGAAGCAUUGGACUAAAAGCAUACAUUAGUCUUAUUUUUCGUUACUGAUAACAUUUUUUUUCCCUUAUAUUAUCACCUUAAUUAAGAAAAAUAAUAAUUUGUUUAACUAAUUACAAAAAAGGAUGGCUAUAUACAAUAUUCUUGUGUUGGAUGGCCUUAAAAGUCAAUUCUUUUGAAACAGGAAAACUGGUAUCGUUUUUCAAAACACAAAAAUAUUAUGUUAAGAAAAUGAAUGGUCUUUAAGAGUUAUGACAAUGAUAUCAAUAAAAUUACAAAAUCUUAAGAGUUUAUAGAUGUAGUUAGUGAUAUUACAUUACAUUAAUUAAUACAAUGCAAAUUGUUUACUAAUAGAGCCUCAGGAGAGUGAUUCAUUAUUUAGUUGGCCAAUUAAACAACUGCAGCAGUCACUAGCAGCUUGCCAAGAGCUAGCAUAGAUCAAUUGUUCAUCUACCAACCAAUUUUGAAAUUGUUACAUCAUUACUUGAACAUAUUUCCAAUCCAAUCGUGGCUUUGUUUUGUUCAUCUUCAUAAGCUUUGUUUGAGAAACUUGCAGGCUUCUUUGGAGUCAUUAUAUCAGCUGUAUUUUCAUUUUCGAUCAACGAAGAAAUUUCUAGUAUAGAAGGUCUAUUGUUUGGGUUCUCCUGAACACAUAGCAAAGCUACUUGCAGACAUGUCAAUAAUUUCCAUGAGGAAUGCGUAUCAUCUAGUGAUGGAUCCAUUAACUCCGUGCCUUUCCCAUCCUUCCACAACUCGUAUGCCUGAAAACAUCAAAUAUGUUAUUGACUAACAUUCAAUUAAUUAGCACUGUAAUGUUUUGAUUCAGUGAAUAUUAAAAAGGGGGUUAUGAAGAAACUUACAUACUCUACAAGGCUUAGAUUUUCAUUUUGACCAUAUCGAAUGAAAAGUCUUCGCCCACUUAUAAUUUGCAGAAGCAAAACCCCAAAACUGUAGACAUCAGAUUUAGUGGAGUAGAUGCCUCUUCCGACAUAUUCAGGAGGGAUAUAGCCUCUGUAGUAUCAAGUAAUUAUAAAUGUCAGUGUUUGACAUAAAAGAUUAAGUUGAUUGGUAAAGGUUCAACAAUAAUAUUAAAGGCAUGUCAGACAAUAAUAGACAAAUAUACACUUACUGUGUUCCAACAAUUCGAUUUGUGUUUGCUUCAAGAUCAUCUUUCACAAAAAUUCUAGCCAAGCCAAAAUAUGAUAUUUUAGGUGUCAAAUCUUCAUCCAACAAAAUAUUACUAACUUUUAAGUCUCGAUGAAUAAUUGUUAAUCUAGAAUAUUCUUGGAGAUAGAGAAGCCCCUGAAUAAUUCCUUAAAUGAUAUAAAUACGUUUUUUCAAAUCCAAAAUAAGCCUUCGGAUGGGAUCUGCAUCAAAUGUAAACUUAGUUGGACGGUCAGCACCAUUAGCAUUUGGAGACAGAGAAAUGCAAAUUGAGGCACAAAAAUUAGAAAUUAAGCAGUUAAGCACACACCAAAAAGGAAAUAGUCUAAGCUUCGUUUUGGCAUAUACUCAUAGAUGAGCAUAUAUUCUUGCGUGUCGAUGCAAAAACCCAAAACUCUGAUCAAAUUUAUGUGUUGAAGCUUUGCAGUAAGCAUAACCUCAUUCUUGAACUCCUCAAAUCCUUGUGUGGAUGUCUUCGAGAGUUUCUUCACUACUAUUAUUUGUCCAUCAGGUAAUGCACCCUGCAAGCACCCCCCAAAAUAUAUGUUUUUUUAAAAAUCAGUGUGUUCACACACACACACACGUAGCUUGCACUAAUUAAUUAAUAAGCUAAGAGAUAACCAAGCUACCGAUACAUAACCUUGUAAACAGGACCAUAUCCACCCUCCCCGAGCUUAUUUUCGAUUGAAAAUCUAUCCGUGGCCACCUCAAUAUCAGCCAAGCUAUAUUCUCUCAGAUCAGGAUCAUUGCUGUUAAAAUCUCCAGCAUCUGCUUGACUAUUUUCGCUGUCCUUUGAUGCUUUGGCUGAGUCAAUUACGGUCCAAUUAAUAUCAACCAAGAGAAAGAAAGCUAAUUUAAGUGAAUUGCCCACUUCUUCAUCUGUGUUAAAUGGAAUAGAAGUAAAAAUAUUCCUAAUCCCGUGUAGAAGAAGUUACCUUUUAAUUUGAGGUUUUUCAUCCAGCAGUAGUAAUACAGUAAAAAACCAAUUAGAAGAAUACAAGCUGCCGUUAUAGGGAAAACAAUUGCCCAUAAUAGUCGCUUAUUUUGUCGAUUCUUAUUUUCCUCUUGAGCUGAAAAGUCAAAUCACUUUGUGUUAGUUAAACAUUUGAUGGUCAAAUAAAGAUCUUAAUUGAAGUCAUUAUGCAGAGAACUGAUCAAAUGGAUAGCAGGCAGUGACUGAGGCUUUGCAUUUGCUUACCUGCAGCUUGAGAAAGCAUCCAAUAAUGAUCAUAGGAAACUAGCCACACAAAGUAACCACGUAGUUUCUUCUCCUUGGCAUAUGAAACCUUCACUCUAACGGCUUCGACAUCAUCAAAACCAAACCAAAUCUUCCCAAUCGAGAAGUAAUUCAUCACAUAAGUUGAAUUGUACAUAACUUGAACGUUAGGACCAUAGUGCUUGAUGCGAUUCUUGAUUUCCUUAUAAGUCACAAGGCCGCUAGAAUACAAAGCUGGUCCUGUUGCUGCUGCACCAAUACCGUUGUCCUCAGGUUUCACAAGCGUCCAUGCAUAGCCAUAGAAAGGUAAACAUAAAACCAAUUUAUCAGCCGAUAACCCUUCCUCAAUCCAUUCCGUGAUUCCGUAUUCAGUAUUGGAGAUACUAUUUGGAUCAUACAGAGCCGCGUGAGCACCAGUAAAAUUUGACCACAUAGGUUUUGUGUAUUCAGUAGUCAAAACAUGAACCCAAUUCAAGUAUUGACUUAUCGAGUCGACUGGGUAAGCUCCUGCUCUUGAGAAUGGUGAAUAUGCGACCAUUGCCGUCAAAAUCAACUGUGAUUGGCUCGAGUUAUUUCUUGCUUCUAAAUCUACGGCUGCUCGCCACUCUUUAAAGAGAAUGCCAAUAUUGUACUUAUCCCAGCUUGUGUUUGCCUGAGGCCAAGAGAGAUCUAAGCCUUGAAAGCCAUAAAGUCUUCCUAUUUUUAUUGAGGAGUCAAUGAAGGAUUUCCUAGAAGAAGGAUUGCUCGCCAUGGAAGAAUAAGUUGAAUAGUUUGCAUCAUUUCCUCCGAUGGAAAGAAGUGUAGUGAUUGAUGGGUUCUUUAUUUUGACAGUGUCAGUGAAGUUAGAGAAUUGUUUUUCAUCAGAAGGUGAUAAAGAAAGCUCAUAGGAAGUUGAAUUCGUUGAAACAAAAACAAACGUUAUGCCUUUGAUCGUGCAUUUCCAAAUAAACACAUAUUUUAGGUAAUUCCGAAAUUUACCACGAUCUCCCAUGAAUCCGAACUUGCAGCUUGUUAUGGAGCUUCAACAGAGUUGCUGCUGCUUCGGUCUAGCUUCUGAAUUCCGCUUUCUUUUCCUUCAGCUCCAGAUUCGGCUUUUCUCAGUAAGUUACUGUACACACACGGGAGAGAAACGGGAGAGAGAGAGAUGCACUGCACUCAUGCCAGAGAUUUCUUGAACAGUCAACUUCCAAUGGGCUGAAGUUACUUAAAUACAGUGGUUGAGCGCAGGGAACCCUCAUGUGUUAGUACAAAAUUACCCAUCCCAUUAUGGGCUUAAAUAACACAAUUAAGGAUAUACUUGUCCAUAAUAUACUACUGUACAGGGUAUGUCAAAAUUAGACUCAUUAACACCAUAUUUGAUCACUUAAUAAAUGAGUCUGUCAAAAUUGCUCAACAAUAUUUGACUUUAGUCACGUAUUAAUUCGGUAAAAUAUAGAAAAUAAUUAGAAUGAUUUAUGUCAGUCCACAUAAUGUGAGAAAUAAAUCUAACAGAAUUGACAUUAGCAAAACCACAUAUAAGGUGAGUGAAAAGAGCAGAAUUUACAUCUGAAACGGGGAACCCGUUGCCUGAAUCCCAGUAACCAGCUCUGAUUAAAGUUUGUGUUCCUGCAGGAAGCGAUUCUGAAAAUAUAAAAAUGUGGAGGACAAGAAUGAUAAUUUUGGAUGCCAUUGUGGGAACCUAGCUGCUUUGAGGCAUACCUAGUAAGUGAUUACAUAUAUAUGUACACACACAAUGUAAUGGAGAAAAUAUCCGAUAGCGAUUGAGAUUAGUUAUUGGACUAUAAUACAAACCUGAGGCAACUUUCAGCUCAUGAGCUUAUCUCAUAGGUCUUUAUACGAUAUCAAAGUCAAGUUACGAACGAGUGAUUCUAUACUACCUUUUAAUUUAACAAGGAGAAAGAUAAGAGAUCAACCUACACGUGACAGGGUGAUAGAAAAAAUUUAUCACAUUAGCUAAGAUUAAUUACUAUGUUAAUGAUAUAAGCUCAAAACAACACUCAACUCAAUAACAAGUUGUAAUUUAAUAAAGUUAGGUCAACUCGAUAUUUUAUAGAGUAUGUCGUGAGUGAGGAGGAGUUUAAGCAACAAAUCGAGCUCAUGAGUGAGGACACGUUUGAUUUUCACAAGAUUUUGCGUUUUGUGCACGUUGGUCAUGGACUGAAUCAACUUAGAAAAUAUUUUCACAAGAUUUUGCCUUCCAAUUGCAUGGAUGGAGUUAUAGAGGAAUACAUCGAAAAGUUCGUCUUCUUGCCAUGAUGAUAAGUGAAAAGAUUGAGGUUCUUAAAUUAAGCUAUGACCUUUUACCUCCACUUAGCUUGACUUUUGAAGCUGAAGACUCGUUCUUUUGUAUUGACUUUGUUGGUAUUUAAAUGACCUCGGAGUCUUGGACGUGUUUCUGAAGCAAUGUCAUGGUCUAUGAGUAGAUUUUUUUUUUUGGGUAAGAAAGGGAAAGUCUGUCGUUGGGAAAACAUCCUGACAACGGGAUGGUGGGAGGGAAAAAAAAAAAAAAAUUAUACACUUAGGGUCUGUUUGGAAAAAUGAUUAUAGGGUAUUAUAAUACUAUUCAUAUUGACUUAAUAUCAAUACUAUUCACAUCGAGUUUAGCUUAAUGUGGUAGUUGCCGCAUUAACGUUUUGCUUUUGUUUUUUUUUUUUUACUUUUGCUUUUUAAUAAUAAUAAAUAAUUAUAACUUUUUAAUUUAAUAUAUUAUUAUAUAAUAUCAAUUAUUAUUUUUUAUUUUUACCUCAAAAUUAUUAAAAUAAAUUAAUAAUUUUAUAAUUUAUUAUUCAUAUUUUAAUUUUUAUUAUAUUAAAAAUAUAACUAAAUAAUGUAUUAUUUAAUUAUAUAAUAAUUAAUAUAUAAAAUUAAUUAAUAUUUAAUAAGUUAAUAUAACUAACAAUAAGUACUUAAAUAAUAUAUAAAAAUUGAUUAUUAUUUAGAAAUUUAAUAUAACUAACAAUAAAUAUUUAUAUAUGAAUAAAUUUAAAUAAUAUUAAUUUAAAAUUAAUAUCAACAAAAAUAAUAACGUAAAAUAUCAUUAUGUUAUGAUAUUAUUUAGAGAUUAUUUGAUUAAAUUAUUUACUUCGAUCUUUAUUUCACAUGUUAUAUAUUUAGAAAAUACUGAAAAAUAAAUGUUAUGCUGCCGAAAAUAUAAGGCUAUAAGUUUCGAUCUUUACAAAAAAUUGUGAUGCUUUUUAACAUUUAUACUAAAAAAUAAUGUUAAAUUUCUAAAAUUUAAGACUUAUAUAUUUAGUAGUUUUCUAGGUACUAUAAAUAUUAUUUCCUAAAUAUAUAAUUUAAGUUAAUCACAAAAAAUUAAUACAAUAUAGUGUAGCAUCAAACGUUGUAUAACAUUAUUAUAAUAUAGUGCUAAUACAAUACAGCAUAAUGCAAUACACAUCCAUUAAAAUAAUAUAACAUAGUGUGCUAAACUCACCAUUAAUUACUUCCUAAUGUUAAAAUUCAGUAGUAUUGUAAUUUUAAUAAAAAAUUGAGACCCUUUUAUCAUUUAGAUGUAAUAUACUUACAUUGUUCCCACAACUUGUUUUGUAUUCGCUUCGAGACUCUUUUGCAAAAAUCCUAACCAUACCAAAAUCUGAAAUUUUAGGUUUCAUAUCUUGACCUAACAAAAUAUUACUAGCUUUCAAAUCUCGAUGGAUAAUAGUCAGUCUUGAGUAUUCUUUGAGGUAUAAAAACCUUUGAGUCAUCCCUUCAAUGAUAUGAACACGUUUUUUCCAAUCCAAAAUAAACCUUCUGAUGGGAUCUACAACAGAUAUAUAGUUUUAGACAAUAAGUGAUAUGCAAAUGAAUUAUAUACACAAUUAAUAUUAACUUGAUUUCAGAACAAACCAAAAAGGUAGCAAUCCAAGCUUUGUUUGGCAUGUACUCGUAGACUAGCAUUCGUUCCUCACUGUCAAUGCAAAAACCUAAAACUCUAAUAAGAUUUACAUGUUGGAGUUUUGCAGUAAGUAUAAUCUCAUUCUUAAACUCCUCAAAUCCCUGUGUGGAUGCUUUCGAAAGUUUCUUCAUUGCUAUCACCUCUCCGCAGGGUAGUAUACCCUGCAACCAAAAAACAAAUGUUCAUAUAAAGCUUGCACUAAUUAAAUAAGUUGAGAAAUGUUUGCCAAACAAUAUGUUUCCCUCCAAAGUUGAGGGCACCAUUUUAAGUCCUUUAAGUCCCCAUAGACGCAUGAAUCUCCUCUCAGAAAAUAUGGAUAUGGGUAGACAUAUCUUCCUAAAUAUUAGUAGAAGUAGUUAUAUCUCUCUAGUGCGAGGUCAGAGGUCUCAUGUCUAAUAGGUAUAGAUUUUUAAAUUAUAUGUUUUGGGCCUCUGAAUUUUACUCUAAGUGUAUGAAUUCAAAGUUCCGACAGAAUCCAAAUUGUAACAUUUGUGGAUUUUGUGUGUGUGUGUGUGUUAACUUGUAAACAGGACCAUAUCCACCUUCCCCUAGCUUAUUUCUAACUGAAAAUCCCUCGGUGGCCGCCUCAAUAUCAGCCAAACUAUAUACUCUGAGGUUAGGAACAUUUCUGUUAAAGUCUCCAGCUUCUGCUUCAUCAUUUGCUCUCGUGUUUGACGCUUUAGCAGAGUCCUCUGUUCCUAACAUCAACCAAGAGUAAAUAUUAGAUAAUUAAUUAAAUUUCAGUCUCAGUUACAUGUAUAUGAGUGAAAUACAUACUUAAUUAUAAUUAAUAACUGAAACUUGUUACCUUCAAUUAAGUUGAGCCUUUUCAUCCUGUUGUAUUUAUAUGCACAAAAGCCUAGAAGGAGAGUCAAAGCUGCCGCAGCAGUCGAAAUGAGGACCAAGGACAGACGCCGGUUAUUACUAUGUUCAUCUUUGUCAGCUGAAGCAGAAGUAAUCCUGUCUUUUUGUGCUGGAAAUAUGUAUAGUUCACCAAUUAAUAAUAACUAGCUAGAGAUGCCAUAACAAUCAUUAUUAAUCAGAGAGAACAAUUAUUGCAUAGAUAAAUACCUGCAGCUUGAGAAAGCACCCAAUUAUGAUCAUCAUAAUCCACUCGCCACACAUAGUAACCAAGCAAUCUCUUCUCUUUGGCAUAGGCGAUCUUAGCUCUAACAGCCUCCACAUCAUCAAAACCAAACCAAACCGCCCCAGUGGAGAAGUAAUUCACCACAUAAGUUGAAUUGUACAUAACUUGAACAUUAGGAGCAUAGUUCUUGAUGUGAUUCUUGAUAGUCCUAUAGGUCACAAGGCCAUCAUUAGUCAAAGCUGGUCCUGCUGCUGCUGCUCCAAUACCAUUGUCUUCAGGUUUCACAAGCCUCCAUGCAUAGCCAUAGAAAGGCAAAGACAUAGCCAACUUAUCAGCCGAUAGCCCUCUCUCAAUCCAUGCCUUUAAAACCUGAUCGGUACUUUUAGCAAAGCCGCCGCUACUUGAGCCAUGGAGAGCCGCAGGUGGCGCAGUGAAGUUUGUUGACAAAGGCUCGUAGUAGUGUUCAGUAGCAACAUGAACCCAAUUCAAGUUUCGUUGCAUCGAAUUCACAAGGUACGAAUUGUCUGGUGGUGAAUAAUGAAACCUUGCGGUCAGGAUCAGCUGGGAUUGCUGGCGGUUAGAGCUUUUUGCCUCUAAUUUUGUGGCAGCAGCUCGCCACUCGUCGAAAAGUAAACCAAUAUUGAGCAUAUCGGUGCUUGUGUUAGGAGAUGUCCAAGCAAAGUCUAGGCCCUUAAAGCCAUAAAGCCUAGCUAUUCUUAUUGAAGAGUCGAUGAAAGAUUUCCUGUGAGAAGAAUUUCUCACCAUUGAAGAAUAUAUAGAAUAGUUUGUAUUUCUUCCUUGUCCAAUGGAGAGAAGUGCAGUGAUUGAUGGGUUCUUUUGUUUCAUUUGUUUCACAGUGCCUGUAAAUUUGGGGAAUAUUUGAUUUCCAUCAAAUGGUGAUGAUAAAGAUAGCUGGUAUGUGGUGGAAUUGAUAUCAGCAGAAGAGCAAAUAAGGUGAGUGAAGAGAUCAUAAUUUAUGCCCGAAAUGGCGGAAACAUCGCCUGAAUACAAGUAACCGACCCUGAUCCACGGUUUUGCUUUCGCGGGAUGAAAUUCUGAAUAGAAAAACAUGUGGAAGAUGAUGCUGAUAAUUAUGGAUGCCAUUUGAGAGGCUUAAGCUUCUUAAUUAUUACCACUUCGAAGGGAAUGGAAAUGAAUGCACACUAAGAGAAAUUAAAUAAACACAAGUUUCACAGUUCAUUAAGUUCUUAUGUGUACUAUUAACGUAUAGGUUCAUUUCGUUGCCCAAAAAAAAUCUUAUGUACUCCUGAUAGGGACACACACAUUGCAUGUUAAGAUGAUGAUAGGCGAUGCGACCAUUGCCUAAGAACUAAGAUUUUCUUCUAUCGCCUGGGUGACUUUUCAUGAAGAAAAAUAAUGUUUUGAUUGACAUUUGGUUAAACUGAUGACAUAUUUCGGGCUACAAAUAUCAGUAUUGUUUUAUUAAAUAAUAAAAAUAAUAAUUUUACGUGCAUGUUGAAGGUUAUAUUGCAGUCUUUUGAGCCUGUGUUGAAUUUCAUUCGUGUGCGUUCAUUUAUUAUCCAUCCCCUUUUUUCUCUGAGUCUGCUAGCCGUAGUCAUCUUAAAAGGAUAACAUGUUUAAUGCGUGUAAAUGCACCUCAUAAGUAGUUAAGAAAGAUUUGACCAAACCAGAUAAUUUUCCUCUUAACACAGAAGUAGUUAUCGGACUAAUUAAGAUUCUAAUCCAUUUAAGAAAUAUUCAAAAAGGGUUAUUGUCACUACUUUAGUCCUUGUUGUUUUAUUAAAGAAAAAAAAAAGAUAUUUAAAGAAGCAUCACAUAAAUCCUUCCUAAUUACAUUUUGUUUCAUUCAAGUUCUUGACUUAAUUUGACUGCUUGGAAAAAUUAGUAAAAAGGUAAAAAUGAAAAAAAAAAUGUAAAUUCCAGUUAUUAGACUAAAUAUAUAUAAAUUUGCAACAAGUAGCAAAAGUUUAGAAUAUGAAAAACCCUAUUUUGUUUACGAAAUAAAGGAAAUUCGAAUCAUUUUCAAAAAAAAAAUCUCUAAAAGUUUGAAAACUAAGAUUUUAAGGUCCUUCUAGACUAACCAUAAAUAACAUGAAUUUACCAAAUUAAGCAAACUCGAAUUAUUAUUACACAAUAAAAUUUUACUAAUGGAAAUAAGAAAACAAAAUAAAUAACACUCAAAUUCGAUGUCUAAAAAACAAAGAUAAAAAUCAUGAGAGCAAUAGAAAAAAAAUAAAAUAAACUAAAACUUGCAAAAUGACCAUGAAAGAAAUAAAUUUUUUUGCUGAACCAAGGGGCCGAUACAUAUAGCCUUAUUGUACUAGAUUCAUCUCACUGCAAGUUUCAAAACAAUAUAUUAUAUGUCUUAAACAAACUCUUGUAAAUUAAGUUAUGACCUUAAAAAAUAUCCUACUCAUCUUACAUAAAUAUCCUAUGUCACUAUAUAGCUAUACAAUAAUAAUAUAAUCCAAACACUUAUGGAGCAUAACUCACGCACCUCCAUUAAUAACCGUGAAAUUUACUCACAUUUUAUAAGAGAGAGGAAUGUUCUCAUUUAUUGGGGAUUAAACCAAAUAGUCUAUCUUCGAUAUUUCUGCUAGGUUGUGUCAGGUUGGGCUUUUUAGAAUUUCUUUGACGAAAAGUCAUUCUCUUCAACAGCCAAAUCUUGGGCCAGUGGGCAAUUAUGAAAGUCCAUUGGAUGCAUUGGACCAAACUAAACGUACAAUUUUUUUUUUCUUACAAAAAAAAAAUUAGAGUUGGACUAUUGACACCCCUCUCAUCUCCUCAUAAAACCCCCUUUUUAGUUAUAUUUAUUUUAUUUUAGAAAAUGCCCUUUUUUAGAUACACGUUUCUAAGUUUUUAAUUUUCAUUUGAUUUGUUUUAUUGUUAAAACUCAAAGUAUUAUUGUGUUAUUUUUUAAUUAUUUUCAAUUUUAUUAUUAAUCUACAUACAAAUUAAAAAUUUAUAUGGGUGAUAAGUUUUUUAGUGUUAAUCAUUGGUUGAAAUAACACAUAUUUCAAAUUAUAAUUUCAAAGCAAUUUUAAGUAUAAAAAUAUUUAAUCAAUAAGAAAUCAAAAGAGAAUAAUAGAUUAUUCUAAAUUUGUACAAUUUAUUUUAGUUAAAUAGGAAGUAAAAUAUAAAUUUUUUUAAAAAAUGAUUGAUUAUGAAUUAAGUAAUUUGCUGGGAAAAAAAAUCUAUAUAUGUUUAAUUUUCAAUUGUCUUUAAUUGUAAUUUUAUUUAAAGUGGUGUUUUGUAAGAAUAAUGUAGGGGUGCCAAUAGCUCCACUCAAAAAAUUAUAUCUAUAUAUUCUCUUCAACAACCUAAAACUGGGCCAAUGGGCAAUUAUGAAGUCCAUUGGAUGUAUUGCACCAAACUAAAAGUCCAAUUUUUUUUAUUACUACAAUAUAUAUAUAUAUAUAUAGUAGUUUUCUAAUUAGGGAUUCCUGACUUUAAUAAAGUCAUGGAUCAGCUAAAAGACAAAUAUACAGUGCAUUGGAGUCUGUGUUUAUUUUGUCUUUUAGCUAAUUCCUGAUUUUAUUAAAGUCAGGGAUCCCUGAUUGGAAAACUACUAUAUAUAUAUAUAAACAAAUGUUUUAAUUUAGAAUUUUAAAGUGCGGGAUAGUAUAUAUAUAUAUAUAUAUAAACAAAUGUUUUAAUUUAGAAUUUUAAAGUGCGGGAUAGUCUGGAAUAUGCAGUUUUAAAAACUUAAAACUGUAAGCCUUUAAAACCAUACAAUUUUAAAUUUUUCUCAAAUUUUCUCGUACUUUAAAAUUUCAUACUAAAAAACUACUACAUAUAUCAAUAAAUGAAAUGACACAAUACAGUUGGCUUGCCGUUGCAAAGCCUCUUUGUUUGUUAUUAUUUAUUGGCUUAUUGCAAUAAAGACUAAAGAGAGCUUUGAGCCAUGCAGCAUGGGAAGCUACAUUAAAAAAUAAAAGAAUUUAAAGCUUCAAGGGCAUAAAGCGUGCCCACCCAAUUAAAUUUUUCUUUAAAAAAGAAAAAAAAAGGCUGCAAUUGCAAUGACUUGAAUUUAUCAUCAAUUCUGGCUUAAUUUGCCCCCGUCAUUUUUUCAAGGAGAAUGUCCAACUCAAUUGUGACGGCUACUGCUUCAAUUUUAAUUUUAUUUUUCUCAAGAAUAGUCAUUUUCAUCCACCAUAUUCCUGCAUCCUGAUGCGUCCUUAUUGCUUAUAUUAUUAUAGACCACUUUUGGAAGCAUAACAAAUUUUGCACACAUGGUAUCCAUCUUGCGGACCCAAAUGUUGAUGAUAUACUUGCAUGCUGCAAAAUAAGCCCUUUUAAUAACUUAUCAUCUGGUAAAUGAUAGUUUAUUUAUUUAUUACAUAACAAAUAUGUUAUGCCAUAUGCCACCUAUUAGUGAAAGAUGUUUAAAUAACUACUCUUGUAGUAAACUCCUGAAUGAUGGCAAGUUAGAUUUAUACUUAAUGCACUAACUUCGAUAUUAUUUUUUUUUUACAUGGUAAUUAUUUUCUUCUCGCUAGGAAGUUGCAAUGAUUGAUAAUAAGGGAGCAUUUUGCUUUAUAUACAAUCCUUAAUAGAAGAUUUUCUAGAGAUGUUUAUUAUUAUUAUUAUUAUUAUUAAUCCCGCGUUGGUCAGGAUUUGAUUACUAUAAUAUUGACGAUUCGAUUUCUAACAAUUUUGUUUAUUAUAAAAUUAAAACAAAUGAGUAGUCAUCUAGAAAAUCAUAAUCUCUUUAAAGGCAUCAAAAGGCAAUGGCAAUGUAAAGUGAAUGUGCAUGAAUCUAUUAGUAACAUGUUUGCACGUGUAUUAAUCUUAAAAUAGUCAGUCUUGAAUAUUCCUGGAGGUAUAAAAGCCCUUGAGUUAUCCCUUCAAUGAUAUGAACACGUUUUUUCCAAUCCAAAAUAAGUCUUCUGAUGGGAUCUACAACAAAUAUAUAGUUUUGGACAAUAAGUGAUAUGCAAAUGAAUUUUAUACACAAUUAAUAUUAACUUGAUUUCAGAACAAACCAAAAAGGUAGCAAUCCAAGCUUUUGUUUGGCAUGUAUUCGUAGACCAGCAUCCGUUCCUCACUGUCAAUGCAAAAACCUAAAACUCUAAUAAGAUUUACAUGUUGGAGUUUUGCAGUAAGAAUAACCUCAUUCUUAAACUCCUCAAAUCCCUGUGCGGAUGAUUUCGAAAGUUUCUUCACUGCUAUCACCACUCCACAGGGUAAUACACCCUGCAACCCAAAAAAAAAACCACGUUCAUAUAAAGCUUUCACUAAUUAGAGACGCUGAGAAAUGUUAGCCAAACAAUAUGCUACCCCCCAAAGUUGAGGGCACCAUUUUAAGUCCUUUAAGUCCCCAUGGACGCAAAAUGUAAAUCUCCUCUCACAGAAUAUGGAUAUGGGUAGAGGUAUCUUCCUCAAAUGUUAGUCGAAGUAGUUAUAUCCCUCUAGUGUGAGGUUAGAGGUCUCAUCUCUAAUAGGCAUAGAGUUUUAAAUUAUAUGUUUUGGGCCUCUGAAUUCUACGACGAGUGUACAAAUUCAAACUUCCGAUAGGAUCCAAAUUGCAACAUUGUGGAUUGUAACAAAUUAAAAUAUAGGUACACACACACACACAUGUUACCUUGUAAACAGGACCAUAUCCACCCUCCCCAAGGUUAUUUCUAAUUGAAAAUCCCUCGGUGGCCGCCUCAAUAUCAGCCAAACUAUAUACUCUGAGAUUAGGAACAUUUCUGUUAAAGUCUCCAGCUUCUGUUUCAUUAUUUUCUCUCGUGUUUGAUGCUUUAGCAGAAUCCUCUGUUCCUAACAUCAACCAAGAGUAAAUAUUAGAUAAUUAAUUGUAUGUCAGCCUAAGUUUUAUAUAUAUAUGAAAUGCAUGCUUAAUUAUAAUUGGUAGCUGAAGCUUGUUACCUUCUAUUAACUUGAGCCUUUUCAUCUGGUUGUAUUUAUAUGCACAACAACUUAGAAGGAGAGUCAAAGCUGCCGCUGCAGUCGAAAUGAGUACCAAGGACAGAUGGCGGUUAUUACUAUGUUCAUCUUUGUCAGCUGAAGCAGAAGUAAUGCUGUCUUUUUGUGCAGGAAAUAUGUAUAGUUCACCAAUUAAUAAUAACUAGCUAGAGAUGCCAUAAAAAUCAAUAUUUAUUGGAGAGAACAAUUAUUGCAUAUAUAAAUACCUGCAGCUUGAGAAAGCACCCAAUUAUGAUCAUCACAAUCAACUCGCCACACAUAGUAACCAAGCAAUCUCUUCUCUUUGGCAUAGGCAAUCUUAGUUCUAACAGCCUCCACGUCAUCAAAGCCAAACCAAAUCGUCCGAAUCGAGCAGUAAUUCACCUCAUAAGUUGAAUUGUACAUAACUUGGACAUCAGGACCAUAGUCCUUGAUGUGAUUCUUGAUUUCCUUAUAAGUCGCAAGGCCGCUAUCAUACAAAGCUGGUCCUGUUGCUGCUGCACCAAUACCAUUGUCUUCAGGUUUCACAAGCCUCCAUGCAUAGCCAUAGAAAGGCAAACACAUAACCAACUUAUCUGCCGAUAAUCCUCUCUCAAUCCAUGCCUUUAAAACCUGAUCGGUACAUCUAGCAAAGCCGCCGCUACUUGAGCCAUAGAGAGCCGCAGGUGGCGCCGUGAAGUUUGUUGACAUAGGCUCGCAGUAGCUAGCAGUAACCGCAUGAACCCAAUUCAAGUUUCGUUGUAUCGAAUUCAAAAGAUAUGAAUUCGCUGGUGGUGAAUAACGAAAUCUUGCGGUCAAAAUCAGCGGGGAUUGCUGGCGACUAGAGUUUUUUGCCUCUAAUUUUGUAGCAGCAAUUCGCCACUCGUCAAAAAGUAAACCAAUAUUGAACAUAUCGGUGCUUGUUUUAGGAGCUGUCCAAGAAAAGUCUAGGCCCUGAAAGCCAUAAAGCCUAGCUAUUCUUAUUGAAGAGUCGAUGAAAGAUUUUCUGUGAGAAGGAUUUCUCACCAUUGAAGAAUAAAUAGAAUAGUUUGUAUCCUUUCCUUGUCCAAUGGAGAGAAGUAUAGUGAUUGAUGGGUUCUUUUUUUUCACGGUGUCUGCGAAUUUGGCGAUUUGAUUUUCAUCGGAUGGUAAUGAUAAAGAUAGCUGGUAAGUGGUGGAAUUGAUAUCAGCAGAAGAGCAAAUAAGGUGAGUGAAGAGAUCAUAAUUUAUGCCCGAAAUGGUGGACACGUCGCUUAGAUCCAAGUGACCGACCCUAAUCCACGGUUUUGCUUUCGCGGGAUGAAGUUCUGAAUAGCAACGUGUGGAAGAUGAUGCUGAUAAUUAUGGAUGCCAUUUGAGACUUUGUUAGGAAUGGAAAUGGAUCCGCAGAAGAGAAAUUAGAUAAACACUAGUUUCACAGUUCAUUUAAGUUCUUAUGUAAACUAUUAACGUAGAGGUUCAUUUCGUUCAGAAAAAAAUCUUAUGCGCUCCUGGAUAGGCACAUACAUUGCAUGUUAAGAUGAUGAUAGGCGAUGCGACCAUUGCCUAAGAACUAAGAUUUUCUUCCGUCGCUUGGGUUGGCUGACUUUCCAUGAAGAAAAAUGAUGUUUUGAUUGACAUUUGGUUUAACUGAUGACAAAUUUCAGGCUAUAAAUAUCAGUAUUGUUUUAUUAAAUAAUAAAAUAUAAUAAUUUUACAUGUACGUUGAAAGUUAAUAACUUAAUAUUGCAGUCUUUUGAGACUGUGUUGACGUUUAUUCGGGUGCAUUCGUUUAUUAUAUAUUCCCGUUUUUCUCCCUGUGUGUUUGCUACAGUGCUCUUAAAAGAAUAACAUGUUUUUUUUCGACAAUAAAAGAAUAACAUGUUUAAAGCAUGUAAAUGCACCUCAGAAGUAGUUAAGAAAGACUUGAUAAAAAACCAGACAUUUUCUCUCUACUCAAAAAGUAGUUAAGACUGUAUGAACCAAUUAAAACGUCAGAUUCAUACUAUAACUAUGAUGAUUCAAUAAGACCUUCAAACUAAAUCCACAGAUUCCAUGAGUAAGAAACAAUGGAUCACAUUUUUUUAAGUUUAUGCUUUGAGUAAAAUAAAAGUAGAAACAUGAAUUUGAAAGAAGCAAUUUAGUUAUAAAAAAUUGUCAAGUAAUUAAUUGUUUGGCAUUUAUUUUAUGGGUCCCAACCCAUGUGAUCCGUAAAAUGAGACACCUUAUGUGAUUGGGUGCGCCAUGGUGCGCUAACCUCAUAUAAGCUUCUCUCUUCUUACGGAUAUAACUGUAUAUGGGUGGCAUUAUGUAGUGCCCCACAUGGGCUCUUUAAAAUUAUUUUAUGUGCAUUUUAAACAUUCCCUCGUUAUUGAUUUGAAACACUAAAAAUGCCUCUCUUAAAUUUUAAAAAUAUAUAAAAAAAAUUGCGUGUUUAAAGAAUGCUUGAUGUCUCUAGCCUAACAGUUAGCACACCUAUUGUAUACACUUUUACUUUUUUCUUCUCUAAACUUUCACUCCUCUUUUCUCUGAUUCUUCACACUUCACUGAUCUUUUAUCUCUAAAAAAAUUAAACUGUCUCUAGAAGCUUAUUACUAAUUUUCUGAUCUAAUUAUUUACAUAAGUAUUCUUGAUUGAUUAUCACUUCUUUAAUUUUUUGAGGGGGAUUUCUCUUGGAUGAAAGAAUUAAGGUUAUGUUCUAAGAAAAUUUUAACUCCCAUGUUAUAGUUUUGAUAAUGAGAUUAUCCUUAAAUUUUCAAUAUAUGAAAAUACUUCGAAACAACUAUUAAUUCGUUGAAUGAAACAUCCUAAUGAACUUAGAUUUUGGUACUUAUUAUUUAUUGAACUUUUUCUUUUAAAUUACAUUACUAUUUGAAGUGUGGCGGUAUAUGGUCUCUAGUCCAAAUGACGAAAUCAAAUCACCAUGUGCAUUAGUGUUUUGUUUGUGUGGUUGGAGGGGGGGGGGGGGGGGCGGUGUUUUUUAUUGGUGCAGGAAGAAAGCUCUUCAGGACUACUCGGAAAAAUAUAUAUAUAUAUAUGAGCAACACAUAGUCCAUUUCGCAUUGCAUAGAAGUAAAACCGAAGCAUUACACAAAAAGCACACGUUAUUUAUAUUUUUAGUUAUUGAUAAGAAAAUUUUUUCCCUCUUAUUAUCAUCUUAAUUAAGAAAAAUAGUAAUUCGUUUAACUGUUUGCGAAAAAUGAUGGCAAUAUACAAUAAUAUUGUGUUGAUGACCUUGAAAGCUAAUUCUUUUGAAACAGGAAAACUGGUAUCGUAUUCAAAACACAUAAAAGACGUAUCCAAGCUUUUAAUGUGAUCUAAAGAUCUCAUAGCUACAUUCGAAAUUAAUAAAUGAUCCCUAAGAGUUACGAAACUGAUAUCAAUGAAAUUACAAACUCUUAAGAGUUUAUAGAACAUUAAUUGAUCCAAAUCCAAUACAAACUGCUUACUAGUACAGCCUCAAGAGAGCCAUUUAUUUUUCAGUAGGCAAAUUAAGCAACUGCAGCAGUCACUAGCAGCUUGCCAAGAGCUAGCAUAGAUCAAUUGUUCAUCUUCAUAAGCUUUCUUUGAGAAAGUUUCAAGCUUCUUUGGAGUCAUUAUAUCGGCUGUGUUCUCGUUUUUGAGCAUCGAAUAAACUUCCAGCAUAGAAGGUCUACCGUUUGGGUUCUCCUGAACACAUAACAAAGCUAUUUGCAGACAUGUCAAUAAUUUCCAUGAGGAAUGCGCAUCAUCUAGUGAUGGAUCCAUUAACUUUAUGCCUUUCCCAUCCUUCCACAACUUGUAGGACUGAAAACAUCAAAUAUGUUAUUGAGUUACAUUCAAUUAAAUAGCACUAUAAAGUUUUGACCAAUUGUGCAUUAUAAAGGGGGUUAUACAGAAACUUACAUAGUGUACAAGGCUUAAAUUUUCAUUAUGACCAUAUUAAAUAAAAAAUCUCCUUCCAUUUAUAAUUUGCAAAAGUAAAAUCUCAAAACUGUAGACAUCAUAUUUAGUAGAGUAGAUGCCUCUUCUACAUACCCAGGAGGGAUGUAGCCAUUGUGGUACCGAUUAAUUACAAACGUCAUUGAAAUUGUUUGACCUAAAAGAUUAAGUUGAUUGGUAAAUGUUUAACAAUAGUAUUAAAGAUAAGUCGAAGAAAAUAGACAUAUAUAUACUUACUGUGUUCCAACAAUUCGAUUUGUGUUUGCUUCAAGAUCAUCUUUCACAAAAAUUCUAACGAAGUCAAAAUCUGAUAUUUUUGGUUUCAAAUCUUCAUCCAACAAAAUGUUACUAGCUUUCAAGUCUUAAUGAAUAACUAUUAAUCUAGAAUAUUCUUGAAGAUAGAAAAGCCCUUGAGUAAUUCCUUAAAUGAUAUGAAUGCAUUUUUUCCAAUCCAAAAUAAACCUUCGGAUGGGAUCUACAUCAAAUAUAAGUAUAGUUGGACGGUCUGUAGCAUUAGCAUUUAGAAAUGAGAAAUGCAAAUAAAGGAUUUCGUAAAUGAAGAAUUGCUCGCUGGAAGAAUAAGUUGAAUAAUCUGCAUUUCCUCCUCCGAUGGAAAGAAGGGUAGUGAUUGUUAGGUUCUUUGUUUUCAUAGUGUGUGUGAAGUUGAAGAAUUGUUCCUCAUCAGAAGAUGACAAAGAAAGUUUGUAGGACGUUGGAUCGACAUAAGCGAAACCACAAAUAAGGUGAGUGAAGAGAGCACAUUAUUUAUAUCUAAAAUGGGGAAGCCAGGCCUGGUUCCCAAAUACUAGCUCUGAUUAAAGUUUUUGCUUUUGCAGGAAGCGAUUCUGAAAAUAUAAAAAUCUGGAGGACCUAAGUGACAAAUUUGGAUGCCAUUUUGGAAAGCCAGCUGCCUGAAACAUGCCCAGUCUGUAUGUGUUUUUAUACACACACACAGAAAUUAUCCUAUAUUGACCGAGAUUAGUUAUGGUCCUAAAUAAUAUAUGUUUUAAGCAACCCUUAACCCAUGAGUUAAAGUUUAUAAACAGUAUCAGAGUCAGGUUAUGGACAAAUGCGCUUAUAUUACCAGACUAAAAUAUCAGCGUGCAUUUGAUGGAAUGAUAGGAAAAAUAUCCCACCUUAGUUAAGAUUAGUUACUAAGUUAAUAAUAUAAGAUUAAGGCAAUCUUCCACUCAUAUAACGCAAGAGUAUGAAUCACAAUUUAAUAAAACUAGGUCAAUUCGAUUUUUUAUAAAGAUAUAUGAGCUACAACUUGAGGUCGCUCACGAGUGGGGACGAGUUAGAUUAAGGCAAUCUUCAACUCAUAUAAUGUUGAUCAUGGACCGAAUCAACAUAGGAAACAAAAGUCGAGGAAGUUGAAUCUCCUUGCCUUCAAGUUGCAUGGAUGGGAGUCAUACAACGAAAAGGUUGUCUUCGUUCAAUGACGAUCGGCUUGAAGUUCUUAAAUUAAGCUACGGCGUUUGCCUCCACUUAGCUUGACUUCUGAAGCUGGAGACUCUUCCUUUUGUAUUGGCUUCGUUGGUACUUAAAUUACCUCGGAGUCUCGGAUGUGUUUCUGAAGCCAUGUCAUUGUCUACGAGUAGAAUUUUUUUUUUUUUUUUUUUUUUUGGGGGGAAGAAAGAGGAAGUCUAUCGGAAAAGUAGUAAAAUGAUAUUUUUUGUAAAGAUAUAGUAGGAAAAUGAUAGGGAGCAAUACUUCUUGUAGUCAUUUGAUAUUUGUCAAAUUUUAAAGUAGUGAAAUGAUAAUAACCCAAAAAAAAAAACAAAACGUUUUUCAAUCAAAAACAAAAAUAAAGAAAUAAAUAGACAAUCCCAUGUAUAAAAAGCUAACCGGGAAUGGUGAAGACGACACUGACAUCCUCCGUUUCUCUAUUAAGCUACUUCAAGUGUUUAAGGUUUUUGAUAAUUAUAGAAAUUAAGAAAUAACAUGAAGAAGAAUGAUCAAUUAGGGGAAGUGAUUGAAGUUGAUGUGGGUUUGGACGGUGGAUGAUGAAAGCUGACUUUGUUUUGUUAUGUAAAAUCAACGGUGCCCAAAAGGCUGUUCUGACGCAGAUGCUUCACUUCCUUGCAUACUGCUGUAGAAAAAAAUGGUUUUUUUCUAUCUAAAGGUUAAUAGUUUAGUUUGGUGAAAAAGAAUUUUAAGUACAGUAAAAUUUUUAUAAAUUAAUAAUUUUCUAUCAUAUAAAAUUUAUUAAUUUAAAAGAAGUAUUAAUUAAUCUAUAUUAAUAAUUUAUCAAUUUAUAAAGUGUAUAUACAAUUCGAUAAACAUACAUUUUAAUCAAUUAAAAUUCAUUGUAUUUUACCAAUCUAAUAAAUUAAAAAUGAAUUAAUCUACUAAAUAUAAAUUAAAUUAAUAAAAAAAUUUAUAAUUCUUACAAUUUCAAAAUUCAACCCUUAAACUUCUAGAAGUGAUACGCAUAGCAUUACUCAAUUUAAAUUCAACCCUUAAAAUCAUGGCAAGAGAAUAGUGAAGAAAAAAGAAAAGAAAAGGAAAAAACAAACUCACAAACACUUAGUUAUCGACCUCUAUGGCCUAUGCCACUGGCCUGUAGAACUAACUCCCUCAGAAAUGAUUUCAAGUUCCUGUAAUUUUCUGUAUAAAAUGAGAGCAUUUUCCUCUUUAAAGCAGGGGCAGUAACAGUGUCACAAUAGAAAGCAUUCUGAUGGUAAGAUUAAGUAGUAUUGUGAUUUUAAUUGGGGGGAAAAUGUCCCAUACGCUUAUUUCCUUAUGUGAUUUAGAUUCAAGUCAAGACGACCCUCCAUUUUAGUAUAAAAGUCUAUACAAAUGUACGUUUUACUCAAUGUUUACGUAGAAACAAAUGAUUUGCUGAUUUAGUACCACUCUUGUUUACUGGGUGGGAUUUGGCUCCUCCAAAUUUGUAGCCAAUAUUUUACUUUGAUGAGAAAAUCAAAUAACGUUUCAACAAAUAAUUUUUCUUUUCUACGUACUUUCUUAAAACGUAUGGAGUGAGUAAAGUACAAAUUGAUUUUUUAGCCCUUUGACUCUUCCAUAUUCAAACUCAAAUUAGUGGUCUGUUAAAUAUUGCUACUUAAAAUCAUUCAGCCAAAUAUUGUAAAAACUAUAAUUUCACAAAGUCAAAGUUUCAUUGAUUAUUGAAUUGUAGAGUGUGCUAUCAUUUCCUAGCUAAAAAUUUGUUUAGUUCUAUUAAGUUUCAAUCAUUUUUUAUUUUAUUUAAUUAAUUAAAGUGAAUUUAUUAUGUAUAAAUGCUAUUUAUGUGAAAUUUUAAAAUCCAGUGCUAAAUUGAAUUGUACUAAAUUUUUAUAAUUUUUUGUCACACCUGCAUUUCUAACAGUUUAGUAUAAAUAUUGAGAGCAAAUAGUAUAUAGGAUUAAAAGAGAUUGAUUUCGAGUGCUACAAGAUUUUUAGGAUUGCAUGCGCAAGGGUUUAAAAACAAAGUGUGCAUUUAAUUACACUAAACGUAGGUGCAUUUUUAUGAUGAAAUAAAAACUGGUUGUAUAAAUGGCUCCAUAAUUAGUGUACUUAAUAUCCAUCUAGCUAUCACUUCCGAAAAUGAUAUCAGAAGCCGAACACAUUUCCAACUGUAUUUUAGAUAAUAGUUCAAUCCCAAUUUCGUCAACUUGUUUUGAGAAAGCAGGCUUCUUGGGAGAAUUUAUAUUUCGUCAACUUGUUUCGUCAAUUUGUGCAUAUAAAUGUCUAUCAUUUGGAUUCUCCUGGACACACAACAAAGCUAUAUCCAGACGUCUCAUUAAUUUACAAGUGAAAUUUGUAUAAUCUCGUGAUGAAUCCACAAACUCCAUAUAUAUUUUUUUUUUUACCACGAGGUAUCAUGGGGAGGGCCCCAACUGUGGGAGGCACCUUUAAGUCCGUACCACAACUCAGACUAGAAGUCCCCGCUCGAACCGAGAGGCACAGGUUCUCCCAACAAAGGCGACUUCCCUACGACUUGAACUGGGGAGCAAACCCAGUCAAGCCAUUUAAGGGGACUCCAUUGCCAGUGGAGCCAACACUUUGUUGGUUAAACUGGAUAUUUUAUCUUGCUACAAACUCCAUAUUUUCACAACUCAUAUGCCUGAAAUUAUCAAGUAUUAUCUUGCUACAUAUUUUAUACUACUUAGUUAAGUGCAUAUAUAUAUAUAUAUAGACACAUACACACACACACACUAAAGGUUACUAUAGCCAAAGAAAUUUACAUGCUCUAGAAGACUUAAAUUUCCAUCGAUGCCACAUAGGCACAUAACAUAAAAAGACUUUUCCCAGUUAUCAUUCGUAAAAGUAAGACUUCAAAACUAAAAAUGUUUGAUUCGGUAGAGUAAACAUCUCUAUGAGUGUAUUUAGGAGGAAUAUAACCUCUACAUUUGAAAAUAACCAACACUCACUACUACAAAAAUGACUUUUACUGACACUUUGUUUCUGACACUUUGAAAAAAGUGUCAGUAAUUACCUAACUAUGCACAAUUUUCCGCUUUUAACAAAUAAAUGUCACAAAUUAUUAAUACUAAUGUAUCAGUAAAUUAAAUAUUAGAGAUCACUGAUACUUCAGCAUCAGAGAUCUAAAAAGAAUCAUUAAAAUUUGUUUUGAUUUUAACUCGAACCUGGGAUUUCUAAAACUCAAAACUUUUACGUUUAGAUUGCAAACCACUGGACCCCAUAAAAUUGAGUUGGAAUUACAAUGUUAUAUAAAAUAUUAACAUAUAAAAAACCAAACCCUAAUUCCCCUUUUCCAUUGUGCAAUAGAGCCCAUGCCGCAGCUGCUGCGUAAUUUCCUUGCCUUUCUUGACUUCUUCUUCUCUAUCGUGAAAGAUGGAGAAUGACCAGGCCCAAACGCCCACGCCCACAGCCGCGCCCAACCCCCACGGCUGCGCCCACCCCCACGCCGUUGCCACUAUCACUUCCGUUCAAGUGGUUCGACACUGCAGGUACUAAAUUAAGAAUUUAAAACAUGUAAAACGAAAGUAAAACAUAUCCCAAACUUAGCAAUUGUCCCCAUCUCCCUGUCUUUUAUACACACAAAUCUCUAACCCAAACUCAAACCCAAAACUGUCUCUUGCCUUUCUCUUUCUCUUUCCUUUUUCUCUUCUCGAUCUCUUCCUUUUUUUUCUGUCCAUUCACAAACUCGUUCAUUUAACUUAAAUAGAUAAUAUAAAGCUAAAACCCUAAGUGAGGCUUUUAUUCCCUUUUUCCUUUUUUUUCCCAAAUUGAAAAACGGACCAAAACCGUAAUCGAGGCUUCUUUUAUCAAUUUUUUUUCUUUUUAUGGUCAAAUUUCACUUUUUUUUUGUUCAAUAUUCAAAACCCAUUUGCUUGAAUUUGAAUAAAAUUAUUGAGAAAUUAGUUAAUUUUCUUGCUAUGGAAGGGAUACCACACCUUAUACGUAGACCUGUGAAGGAGAUUUUCAAUGACUUUAAGGGCAAACAGGUUGCCUUGAUUAAGGCUUUAACUGCUGGUAAUGGCUUAAUAUUUUAUUUUCUUUGUCAAAUUAAUUAAUAAUUUUUUUUUAUUUUAGCUUAUCAUUAUUAGGGUUUUUUGUUAAUUUUAAUUUUCUGGGUUGUUGCAGAUGUUGAGAAAUUCUGCCAGUGGUGCAGUCUUGGUGGGAUUUCUUUUCCAUAUCUAUUUUUUGUUUAUUUAAUUGUAAUUUGAAUUUUUUUCUUUUUUUUCCUAUAUUUCUAUAUUAUAUAGAUUGAAUGGCUGUGUAUUUCAUAAUUAUUAAGUGUUAUUUAUUGCUCUGUUUCAUGUAAAGAUAGGCAAAUUAUGUUAUAGAAACCAACAUGUUUAUUUUUUUAUUUUUUUUAGUUGGAAGAUUUUUAAUAGAGACAAUGACUAUGAUAUGAAUUAACUAAGUUCAUGAUUUGUCUUUAAUUCAAGAAGAAAAUGCUUGUUUUUAGGUAGUUUUGCUUGUUGUAGCACUUGAAGACUUACAUUUUCUUUGUUCAUUUGCACGGUUAGUUUCGCUCUUAUUCAGAAAUUUCUGUGUUUCCUCACUUGCAUGGUCAUUAAUUCAUUCCAUGAUUUUUCUUCUGUAAACACACUUUUAUUUUCCUUUCACUAGUUUGAAGGAAUUUAUUUUUUUAAAAUAAAAAAUUCUAAAGAUUGAAAUGAAUUGAAAUUGUUGCUAUAAUGUACUUUCUUUGCUGCUGAAGUUCAAGGAAUGUCUAUUUAAAUGAACUAGAACUUGAAAAAUCUUGAAGUGUUGUUGUACCCAUAGACUUCAUUUUUUUUCCUGCACAUUACACUUAUUUUGUUCAUCUUCUUACCUUCAAUUUGUCGUAGAGGUUAACAAUGAUUGACGAGAAAUGGAGGUUUGCAUUUACUGCGGCUGAAUCUCAUGAACAAGAAGUUGGCAAACUGAGGUCUGUAUUUUUUCCUCAAAUUCAUAGUUGAAUUCAUAGUAAGCUCAAAGCAAUUGAUUGAGGGAGAAAAUAAAUUGAGUUUUAUUUAUUAGUAUAAUUUUUGUUAUUUAGUGCUUUACACUCUUCAUGACAACUUCUGCGAUCUUGUCCUAUUACCUUAAGGUACUACUGGAUAUUUGAGAAAAAAUUAAAAAUUAUUAAGAUUAUCUUUCUUUGAUGAUAGAAUUACAAUAUGUCUUCUCACUUAUUAUAGUUCAUCCAAUUUUAUUUUUGUUGCACAGUCUGUGGAAAUCAGAGUACCACAUUUAAGAGUUUUUAUAAAAUGUCUCCUUUACCUUUCCUAUUAUUUAAACUAAUUUCAUGUGUAUUUCUUUAGUUAAUGAUUGAUUUUCAAGUAGUUGAAGGAAAGUAACUUGUAGAACCUCCUUCUAAAAUUGGUCUGGAACCUUUGUGUGCAAUGGUUAGUGAAAUCAUAAUCCGUGGCUUGUGUUAAUAUGCAUCGAUUGUGUGAAAACUAUUGUUUACUAUUUUCUGUGGCUGGUUAUUAACAUGAUUCACAGAUAAACAACAAUAGACUCAUACCCAUAUGCUUGCUUGUUUUCAACAAGCAUUUUUUUUUUGUAGGUUUUUUUUUUGUGCGUCUCUCUUUGAAGAAUAAUAUGAUUAUCUUACACGAAAUGGGGAAAUUCCAUUAUCUUGCUGCAAGUUUUUUCCUAGUUCUAUAGUUCUACCGUUUUGUAUCACCUUGGAUGACAUGUCGAGUGAAUCCUGGAACAUCAUUUUAUCUUGUUUGUACCUAUAAUACGUUGUGUUCAAUGUUCUUGAAAUUUUUGGGCAUGGCUGCAAACAAAUUUAGCAGUUUUUAAUAGCCAACUAUAGAGUCAAUUUAAAAUUUGUCUAGGUGGUGAGUUUCUAUGGUUUUGUAAUUGGGGUGAAAGGUAGCAAAUACUAAUCUUGUCUAAAGAGCAUUUGUGUAAGAUUACUUGUGAGUAUAGUGGGGCAGCAUAUAUUAGUAUUUUUAUGAAAUAAGCAGAAAAAGGGAUCCCUUUCUAUUGUCAGCAAUAAAAAGAAUUUUCAAAAAUGUAAACACCAAGCGUUCUAGUUGUAUUGUUAUUUGCAAAGAUCUUUUCAAUGUAUUUGUAGAUCCCAACAUACCUUGAUGCAUGAUCAAUUAGUCUGAAGAAUGUUGAGGAUUAUGUCAUUUUGAGCUGUUUAUCAGGUAGUUUGAGGUUAGAUUUGUUUUUUGGAGUAUUAGCUUGGAAUCUGAGUGCUUGCCUAAUUUGGAGAUUGGUGUGUGAUACUUCAAUAGCCUUUUUUUGUGGACUCCCUUUUGACAUUUUGUAAUUAUUGUUCUUAUUAAUACUAAUUUCUCUGUUUCCUAUAAAAAAUAAAUAAAUAAUGAAGGAUAGGUUUUUAUAUGGUAAGGAAUGAAUAAAUAUUAUAAGCAUUUAUUGGAAAAUAAAACUAUGCAGCUUAUUUAGUUGUUUUCCUAUUUAGUGAUAAAUUAAAAUUUUUGGCUUAAUUAUAUUCGGAUAUAUAAACACCAAGUUUUCAGUGUUAAGAUGGAAAACCAACGUCUUUAAAAUUUAUGAAUUGUUAAUACUGAAUCUUUUUUCAGUUUCAGUUAAAAAACAAAAAGGCCCUUCUUUUUUCUAUCUUCAAAUUUUGUGUGAUAGAAGUAUACUGUUGGGCCUUUCUUAUCAACUUUAGCUUUUGGGAUUAUUGUUGGUUUAACUUUAGAAUUAUUUGACCCAGAGAUUUUAUGUUCCAUUAAAUAAUAACACUCAAUACACUGGAUUUAGUUCAUGUUUAUUAAAUUUGGAUUUUUAUGUGAGACGGUACAAGUAUUGGGGAUUAGUGGUCUCUCAACAUUAUGAUCGAAAACCAGCCCUCACUGCCAAUUUGUAUUUUAAGCCCAAUAUUCAGUCCUUGAUCACUAUCAAACUUCCAUAAUCAUUUCUUCUUCAUAUUCUUAUAAAUCAGCCUCAAACUCUAAAGAAAAACCUAAGCCAUUCUCUGUAAGGGGUAAGCGUCUGUUCUUGUUCGGAUGAAGGUGCCAAGUUUUAUUUUGCUCUUUAACGUUAACAAGUCAAUUCCCCAUGAUGUGUUAGGUGAUUUGUUUGUUUCAUGCUGUUUAUUUCCUCGUCUUUUUUUUCUUCUAUCUACUGUUCCUUUAUGAAUUUGCCUCUAGGCAUUUUUGCAGUUGCUUACUAUGAAAUACAAUGGGCUUAUGCUAUAUUUUGUAAAAAUAACUAUGUAAUUCAAUCUCCAAAUUAGUUAAUCUUCUUAGUUGGCUUUGUCUUUGACUGUUUUUUAUAUCAAUUAAUUUGUUUCGUUGUGUACAGGUUAAUUUCUAUUGUUGGAGCCAUGAGUCUGCUGAACACAUUUUUCCUAACAGAGGUUUGGGAUAUGGACUUGCCCAAUUUUUGUCUGUUUUGUUUCUAGGUUAUUAUGUAAAAAUUUUAUAAUGGUUUGCUUUGCUUUGGGUUAUGAUGUAAAAACUUUGUAGUGGUUUGCCUCAAAUGUUUCUGUUAUUAUGUCUUUGGUCUUAUCCUAAGAUACGCUAUAUUCUUAUUCCUCAAUUUUUACCCCUGGAUUGUUUAAUGAGUUUCUAAUUUUGGAUGUAUACUAAUAAAUCUCCAUUUAUCUUUCUUAAUCCUUAGGAUUUUUUUUUUAUUUUUUUUAUUCUUCUUAAGUUGAGUUGUGUAUAGAUCUGUAGGAAAAUCCACUCAAAUUCAAUUCUUAGCAGAUAAAUAUUCCUACCUAUUACAAUUAGCUUGCACUAAGAGAGCUAUGUAUUGUUUUUGCCCCAUUCUUUGUUAGUCUCUUUGAACACUGAAAUUGGCCUGAUUGUUUUUUCUCCCAAAAAUUCAAGAAUUAUUUUUUGUGGUAUACUAAUUGAUUUUAUGUACUUGUAGGUGGGAAAAGAAAAAUGAAGCCGCUUGUGGAUGUUCAAUGACAUUAUGUGCUUCUUUUUGUUGGUUAAUAUUUGUUGAAUCUUAACAUAGUACUUGGUUGUUAAGAGCUUGUCCAAGACUUAAUUUAGUAUUUAUAUUUUUCUUUUCCAAACAAUGAUGUAGUUGAAUGAUAUGAAUUUGAGUGAUGUAUUUGAGAUGUCUCUUAUGCAAUUGUGUUGCGAGAUUUUGUAUAUUUAAUAUAUUUUGAGUUUUCUUUCAGUUGUAAAACAAAUAGGAAAAUAUAAUUAAAAUCAAAGUAUACUAUUAACCAAAAGAAUCAUAACAUCACUAAAUACUGACACUAAAUGUUUAAAAUAACAGUAAUAAUUUUUUAUGUUAUUGAGUCAGUGUGCUCUUGAUACUGUAGUCUCAUAAAUUACUGACAUAUAAAUAGUAUCAUUAAAUACUAACGCUAUCGUGUCAUUAUUUUAGUGAUACCAUAAUGACAUGAAUUACUGACACAAAAAUCGCUGACACUAAAAAUUAGUGUCAGUGUGUUCUGUCUGGAGAAUUAUUGACACAAUUAAUAAGUGUCAGGAAAAGUAAUUACUGACACUAAUUUAGCGUCAGUAAAGCCCAUUUUUCUAGUAGUGACUAUUUCAGUAUGUCUCUCUCUCUCUCUCUCUCUCUCUCUCUCUCUCUCUCUCUCUCUCUCUCUCUCUCUCUCUCUCUAUAUAUAUAUAUAUAUAUAUAUAUAUAUAUAUAUAUAUAUAUAUAUAUAUAUAUAUAUAUAUAAUCAGCUUCAGGUCUGGAAUUUAAAUUUGUAAAGAGUCUACAAUAUCGUAAAUUGCAUUCAUCACUGUUUUACAAUGGUCUAAAUUUUAUUAUAAAUGACUGUCAAAAAAUUAAUACAUGGUUAUCAUUUAUGAUUAUAAUUAGAACAUUAAAAUUCAAGUCGACUCAUUUGUCUUUACAUUGAUGUAUUCUUUGCGAUUAUACUUAGAAUGUUAAACAAUUAAGUUGAAACGACCCGCCCCAAAUCUCCAGGACAAGUCUAUCUAAUCUCGCCUAACCGAAUUAAUAAUAGUUCUAAUAUCUAAGAAUUCUACCAAAACUUCGGCAGAGUCUCUUAUAUAAUUAUUACAUCCCCAAACUUGUAAUUUAUAAAAUUAACACUCCAAAAAAUAAUACAAUAUUUAAUCAACCUCUACAACCAACUUCCUCAAUUUAAACACCAGUAUCCUUCAAACAUAUAAUGUCAAGAAUACAAUAAUUUAUCCUUAAUCGCAAAUAAGUAAUAAAUUAUACAAUUCAAAAUAUCCCAACAAAGCAUCUAUGAUUUUUAACACCAUCAUGUGGCUAUAGUUUCAAAUCUAACUAUCGUUGUUGGAUCGACUGAUGUACCUGCAAAUCUCCUAGGGAGGGGGGGAAAUAUAAUAAAAAUAUGGUGAGUAUAAAACUCAGUGAGCUCAGUGAGUGGUGGGGGUGGGCAAAAUCGGGUUCGGGUCAACGCGAUCGGGUUUCGGGUUGUUCGGGUUAGACAAGAACCAAUUCGAACAUAACCCGAAUUAUUGACCCAACCCGAACCGACCCGAACUGGAUCGGGUUGGAUUUAAAACGGGUUGGAUUGAGUUCGGGUCAAUUCGGGUUAGUUCGGGUCAGCGUGUGUGUGUGCUGUGCAGCUCGUGUGUGUUCUGUUCUGUUCUGUCAUUCUGCAUUUCUGUGUGCGUGCUGUGCAAGUGUGCAGCUUGUGACUUGUGUUGUGUGUGUGCAACAGCGUAUGUGUGUGUGGGUGCGGCUGUGUGCUUUGCAGCUUCUAACAAGUUGUGUGUGUGUGUUGUGCAGCAGCCAAGCAGCGUGUGUGUGUGUGUGUGUACAGUGUUAGCUUAGCUUAGGUUUUUUUUUUUUUUUUGAGAACCCGAUCGGGUAUUCGGAUCGGGUCGGGUUUGACCCAAACCGAUCACAACCCGAUCGGGUUUGUAAAUUUCAAACCGCUCGGGUUUCGAUCCCGACCCGAUCCGACCCGAACCCGAAAUUUAUCGGGUCGGGUCGGGUCGGAUCGGGUAAAAUGCCCACCCCUAGUGAGUGGAUAGUAGUUUAGGAAAAAUAAUUUAUUUAAAAUGAUUUAAUCUUUUCUAAAUCAAUUUCAUCAAAAUAUCAUAAGAACUUACAUAAACUUAUUUAAUUCAAAUCAUGCACUGAAAUAACAAUAUUACAUAAAUCUGCAUAAAAUCAAUGAAAUCAUAAUACUUAUUGUUAGCCUAUAUGGCUAUAAAUAUUGAUUUUGAUGAUAACAAACCACAUGUGUUAGUUAAACAAAGAUUUAUAAAUUGUGCUUUUAUAAUAAGAAAAUGAUUUUAUGGAAUUAAAGUGUUUUGGACCAAAAUAAAAGUAUUUUAUAAUCUUUGAUAUUGUUUUGAAUUUCGGAUUUGGACCUAUUUAAAUAUUUUUGGGCCAUUCUAUAAUUUCACAUAGUUUGGGCGAUAUUCUAAUUUCAAAAAUUUUUGGGAUUGACAAAGUAUUAUUUAGAAAUUCUAAAAUUGGACCUAUUUGAACACUUUCAUAACAUUUUAGGCCAUAAUAUAAUUUUAUAAAGUUUUGGGGUCGAAUUAUAAUUUUGGAAAACAUUUCACUGUAGCAAGCAGAUAUCUGGAUCCUAACAAAUGGUAGACCGGAUUUGGGCAGAAAGCUUCUGGAACUUAAACGGCUAUCCGGAUUUCACAAGCGGUAUACCAGAUGUUCAAAAAUUUAAAUUUUGGCUAUAACGGUAACAUUACGCGGCUAACCGGAUGUCCAUAAAUGGUAAGUUAGUUAUCACCUAAAUGUGCAUAACGGCUAGUUUUUGAGUUCAAACUAUAUAAACCCAAAUCCAAUUCAUUUUCAAGCUCUUUUGCAAACAAAAUCAAAAAGCACACAACAUUCAUUGAGCUCUCAUUUCGCAAAUCAUAAAACCUUGAAUCAUAUUUUGUUCUUCAAUUUGUAUAUCUACUCUUUAAGAGAGUUUUUAUUGUAAUCUUCAAUUCCUCAUCUUAAUUGUGAGUGUUUAAGUGUGUGAGACACUUGAGUGAAGAGAUUGAGAGAUAAUCUCUUUGUUGUAAAGGUUCAUUGACACCUUAAAGUCAAUUGUAACCAUUUGAAGCCUUAGAAGGCUUGCAUAGUGAAAUCAUCAAGCUUGGAUUGCUUGGAGGCGUGGACGUAGCCGGGGAUUGUCGAACCACGUAAAAAUUCGUGUGUUUGUUUCUUUUCUCCCUUACUCAUUUGUUAUUGUACUUUUAUUGAACUUAUUGCUUUCGAAUUUAUUAAGGCGUUAGAUUGGAUUGUUGUGUGGUUUUGUUAGGAUAAUUUUUAAAAAUACCAAUUCACCCCCCUCUUGGGUUGCACACUUGUAUUUCACCUAUAAUAUCAAAUACUGAAUACCAAAAACUAUCACCAAACAAGUACCCGGGGGAAUAAUCUCAUCAUAUUCGGACCUCGACGGACGGGCAAUCAGGGAACCAUCAUACCCCGGAGCUACAACGGAUAGACGGGGAAAUGUCAUCUCAUAUCUCAUGUAUCUCAACAUCUGUAUCUUUGUAAUCAUCAUACUGCAUGCAUAAGCCUCCAAAAGGAAAAAGCGCCCAAACACACAGCCAAAAGCCUCUAUGUGUGUUCAGACGGGCCUCAAAGACCUCUCAUCUCAUAUCAUCUGUAUCAUUGUGUUCAUCUUAUAUUAUCUGUAUCUCUGUGUCUUAAGGGGAAUGAUAUUGUCCAAUGAUUUUCCAAACAACCUUUUAUAAACAUGUACAUAAACAUAUAAUCACAUCUGAAAUCUCAUUUCCUUUUAUUCAACAUAUCUCAAAUCCACUCAAUUCUAAUAUCAUGCAUUUACUCAAAAAAAAAAUGAUAAUAGAAUCAUUAAUCAAACUCAUUUUCAAUACUAAUAAAUAUCAGCACGUAAAAUAAAAAUCAAUUUUCUAGAAAAUCAUUAAAUCGAAGCAUCAAAUACUUAUCAUCAAAACAUGUUGUACUGUAUAGUAAAAUCAUAGUAUACUAUGAAAAUAGGUUUUGUAUAUUCCACUCACAGUGACAAUGUCCAGACUCGGGAUCACCAACGUCCGCAGGUUAAUUCUCGCUCGCGGGUCCUCCUAAUUACAUAAACGACAUAAUUAUUAUCCAUAUCAUGAAAUACGACUAACAGUACGAAAUAAAGCUCAAAACCAAACUCCCGGAUACAUAAAAUUUCAAAAUUACCCUUAUGUCCAAAAAUUACCCAAAUGCCCCUGACACCGAAAUUUACCAAAUUACCAUCAGAAUCAUAAUUUAUCGAAUCAUCCUCAAUAUCUUAAAUUACCAAAUUGUCCUUAAUUCGGAUAACAAAAUUAAUCACAAGUUUUGAAUUUACAAAAUUACCUUCGAAGUACAAAAUUACCAAAAUGUCCUUAAUAACUUAAAUUACCGAAUUACCCUCGAAAUCUCAAAUUACUUCUCUGUCCUAAUCACAAAUUACCAAAUUAUCCACCAUUUUCAUAAAUUACAAAUUUACCCCAAAGUUUUAUGAAAUUACCGAAUUACCCUUGCCGGUCAACGGUGACCUGACUUCAGUCAAUGAUGACGGGAAGCUCAGGUCUAAUAGUUCAGACCUCGGUGAAUCCAACGAUGCUGGCGGUGACCUCCCACGCGCGGCGAUGGUGGCAGAUCGAAGCUCCAAAAUUCGUGAGUUUCCCGGUGUUCGUUCGCGGCCAAGACAGCAUCCCCGGUGAUCGUGGUCAGUUGGAAAGUGAUAAGUGUGAGUUGAGAAACAAGAUCCAGGCAGUGGCGUGGCUAAAAAUCCGACGGGAUCGACGGCGACAGAAACGGGUUGAGUCGCGGCUUUUCGAGCUUCAAACGGCGGCGUUUCGGUCGGCUUUUCUUUGAUUUGUUAUUUUGAGUUGUAUGAAAUAUAGCUUUACUUAUGUUUUUUUUUAUCAUUAAUAGGAAUUUUCUUGUUAAAACUAUAUGAAUUGAUUGAAACUUCAAAUUCAUACUACAACCAUGAUGAUUUAAUAAAACAUUCAAACUAAAUCCACAUAUUCCAUGAGUAAGAACCCUGAGAGCACAUUUAUUCAAGUUUAUGCUUUAAGUAAAAUAAAAGUAGAAAUGAGAAUUUUAAAGAAGAAAUUUAGUUAUAAAUAAUUGUCAAAUAAUUAAUUGUUCAGCAUUUAUUUUAUAGGUCCCACUGUUGGGACUCCAUGUGAUCUGCUAACUGGCAGGCCUUUUGUGGUUAGGCGAACCACAGUAUGCCUGCCCCAUAUAAGUUCCUCUCUUCUCAUAGAUAUAACUAGUGCUAUGUCAUGUCCAACAAGGGCUCUUCGAAACUUUUUAUGUGAAUUUUAAACAUUACCCCAUUACGCUUUUGAAACACCAAAACUACCUCAAAUUUUAAAAAUAUAAAAAAAAAUACAUAUUAAAAGAAUGUUUUAUGUCUUUAGCUUAACAGUUAGCACACGUAUUGUACUCUUGACAUUUUUCUUCUGUAAAUCUUCACUUCUUUUUUCUUUGAUUCUUCACACUCCACUGCUCUUUUAUCUCUAAAAAAUUAAAUUGUCCGUAGAAGCUUACUAUUUAAUUUACUGAUCUAAUUAUUUAGCUCUAAAUAUUUAGAUACGUUUUCUUAAUUAAUUAUCUCUUCUUUAAUUUUUUUGGUAAUUUCUCUUAGAUGAAAGAAUUAAGGUUAUGUCCUAGGAAAAUAUUAACUCUCAUAUUAUAGUGUUGAUAAUGAGGUUAUCCUUGAAUUUUUAACACAUGAAAACACAUCGAGGUAACUAUAAAUUCAUUGAAGGAAAUAUUUUAAUAAAUUUAGAUUUUGGUACAUAUUAUUUGUUGAAUUUUUUUUCUUUCCAAAUUGAACGUAGCCCUUAUGAUAUUCAGUUCGUGAUGGUGCCACUAAAUGUAAAGUGUCGAACUAGAUCAUAUUUCUCCCUUAUGCAAACUCCAUCGUUUAUUUAUAUUUCAAUUUUGUGGCCUAUUGUCGAGUUUUCUAGUUUCACAGAGGGCAUCUUGGAUUUCUCUACGUGGUCCAUAGUCUCUAGUCCAAAUGAAGAAAUCGAAUUCACCAUGUACAUUAGUGUUUUUUUUCUUUUUUCUUUUUGGGCGGGGGGGGAAUUUUUUUAUUGGCACAGGAAGAAAGCUCUUCGGCACUACUCGGAAGAAGAAUAUGAGCAACACAUGGUCCAAUUCGCAUUGUAUGGAAGUAAAACCGAAGCAUUAGACCAAAAGCAAACCUUAUUCAUAUUUUUAGUUACUGAUAACAAUUUCUUUCCCCUCUUAUUAUCAUCUUAAUUAAGAAAUAUAGUAAUUCGUUAACUUUUUGGGAAAUUAAAAAGGAUGGCAAUAUACAAUAUUCUUGUGUUGAUGACCUUAAAAGCUAAUUCCCUUGAAACAGGAAAACUGGUAUCGUUUUUCAAAGCACAUAAAUGAUAUAUCCCAGCUUUCAAUGUGAUCGAAAGAUUUCAUAGCCACACUCGAAAUUAAUAAAUGAUCCCUAAGAAUUCGUUAACUUCAAGAGUUUAUAGAACAUUAAUUGAUCCAAAUCCAAUACAAACUGCUUACUAGUACAGCUGCAAGAGAGCCAUUUUUUUUCAGUAGGCAUAUUAAACAACUGCAGCAGUCACUAGAAAGCUAGUAUAGACCAAUUGUUCAUCUACCAACCAAUUGUGAAAUUGUUACAUCAUUACUUGAACAUAUUUCCCAUCCAAUCGUGGCUUUAUUUUGUUCGUCUUCAUAAGCUUUGUUUAAGAAAUCGGAGUCCAUUCGAUGAGUCUAUCAGCAUUCUUUAACUAAUUAUUAGAUUAAAUGUAUAAAUUUAAAACUAGUAAAAGUUUAGACUAUGAAAGAACCUUGAUUCAUUCAAGAAAUAAUUAAAAUUUUAAUCCUUUUCAAACUGGUUAAUAUUAACCUUAUCAUUAUGCGAAAACACAAUUUAAAAGAAAAAUAAAAUAAAAUAAAAAUCUCACAAAGUUGGUGUGUGGAAUAGUCAAUACGUUGUCCUUGAUUUUUUAUUUUUUAUUUUUUACAAACCCUUAAAGAGUCUAUAGAUGUAGUUAGUGAUAUUACAUUACAUUAAUUGAUCCAAAUCCAAUACAAACUGCUUACCAGUACAGCCUCAAGAGAGUCAUUUAUUAUUCAAUUGGCAAAUUAAACAACUGCAGUAGUCACUAGCAGCUUGCCAAGAGCUAUAGCGUAGAUCAAUUGUUCAUCUACCAACCAAUUGUGAAAUUGUUACAUCAUUACUUGAACAAAUUUCCAAUCCAAUCGUGGCUUUCCUUUGUUCAUCUUCGUAAGCUUGCUUUGAGAAAGUUGCAGGCUUCUUUGGAGUCAUUAUAUCAGCCGUGCUCUCAUUUUCGAGCAUCGAAGAAACUUCCAGCAUAGAAGGUCUAUCGUCUGGGUUCUCCUGAACACACAACAGAGCUAUUUGCAGACAUGUUAGCAAUUUCCACGAGGAAUGCGUAUCAUCUAGUGAUGUAUCCAUUAACCCCAUGCCUUUCCCAUCUUUCCACAGCUCAUAAGCCUGUAAAUAUCGAAUAUGUUAUUGAGUUACAUUCAAUUAAUUAGCACUAUAAAGUUUUGAUCCAGUGUGCAUUAUAAAGGGGGUUAUGAAGAAACUUACAUACUGUACAAGGCUUAAAUUUUCAUUCUGGCCAGAUUGAACGAACAAUCUUCUUCCACUUAUAAUUUGCAAAAGUAAAACCCCAAAACUGUAGACAUCAGAUUUGGUGGAGUAGAUGCCUCUCGUCACAUACUCAGGAGGGAUAUAGCCACUGUUGUACCAAGUACUUACAAAUAUCAGUUAAAUUGUUUGACCUAAAAGGUUAAGCUGAUUGGUAAAGGCUCAACAAUAGUAUUAAAGACAAGUCGAAAAAUAGACGUAUAUACACUUACUGUGUUCCAACAAUUCGACUGGUGUUUGCUUCAAGGUCGUCUUUCACAAAAAUUCUAGCUAAGCCAAAAUCUGAUAUUUUAGGCUUCAUAUUUUCAUCCAAUAAAACAUUACUAGCUUUCAAGUCUCGAUGAAUAAUUGUUAAUCUAGAAUAUUCUUGAAGAUAAAGAAGCCCUUGAGUUAUUCCUUGAAUGAUAUGAAUGCGUUUUUUCCAAUCCAAAAUAAACCUUCGGAUGGGAUCUACAUCAAAUAUAAGUAUAGUUGGACGGUCAGUAGCACUAGCAUUUGGAGAUGAGAAAGCAAAUGGAGGCACAUAAAUUAAGAAUUAAGCAGAAGCACAUACCAAAAAGGAAAUAGUCUAAGCUUUGUUUUGGCAUGUACUCGUAGAUCAGCAUUUGUUCUUCUCUGUCAAUGCAAAAACCUAAAACCUUAAUAAGAUUUACAUGUUGGAGUUUUGCAGUAAGCAUAACCUCAUUCUUGAACUCCUCAAAUCCUUGUUUGGAUGUCUUUGAGAGUUUCUUCACUGCUAUUACCUGUCCAUCAGGUAAUACACCCUGCAAACACCCCCAAAACAUUAAAAAGGAAAAAAAAAUGCAAUGUUCAUAUACAUAUGUGUGUGUGUGUAUUUCGCUAAUUAAUUAAUAAGAUGAGAGAUAGCCAAGCUAUCGAUAUAUAACCUUGUAAACAGGGCCAUAUCCACCCUCCCCGAGCUUAUUUUCAAUUGAAAAUCUAUCCGUGGCCACCUCAAUAUCAGCCAAGCUAUAUUCUCUAAGAUCAGGAUCAUUGCUGUUAAAAUCUCCAGCAUGUGCUUGACUGUUUGCUCCGUCCUUUGAUGACUUGGCUGAGUCAAUUACUAUUCCAAUUAAUAUCAACCAAGGAAAAAAAAGAAAAAGAAAAAGAAAAAAGCUAAUUUAAGUAAAUUGCCCACUUCUUCAGCUGUGCUAAAUAGAAUAGAAGUAAAAAUAAUCCUAAACCCCUGUAGAAGAAGUUACCUUUUAAUUUGAGGUUUUUCAUCCAGCAGUAGUAAUACAGCCAAAAACCUAGUAGAAGAAUACAAGCUGCAGUGGUAGUCAAAACAACUACCCAUAACAGUCGCUUAUUUUGACCACUCUUGUCAUCCUCUUCAGCUGAAAAGUCAAUCACUUUGCGUUGGUUAACCAUUGAUGCUGAAAUAAAGAUCUUAAUUCAAGUCAUUAUCCAGAAAAGUGAUCAACGGAUUGCAGUGAGUGCGGAAUUCCAUUUGCUUACCUGCAGCUUGAGAAAGCAUCCAAUCAUGAUCAUAGGAAACUAGCCACACAUGGUAUCCGCGUAGCUUCUUCUCCUUGGCAUAUGCAACCUUCACUCUAAUGGCCUCCACAUCAUCAAAACCAAACCAAAUCUUCCCAAUCGAGCAGUAGUUCACCACAUAAGUUGAAUUGUAAAUAACUUGGACAUUAGGACCAUAUCUCUUGAUGUGAUUCUUGAUUUCCCUAUAACUCACAAGACCAUCUUCACUCAAAGCUGGUCCCGUUGCUGCUGCACCAAUACCAUUGUCCUCAGGUUUCACAAGCGUCCAUGCAUAGCCAUAGAAAGGCAAACAUAAAACCAAUUUAUCAGCCGAUAACCCUUCGUCAAUCCAUUCCGUGAUUCCGUAUUCAGUAUUAGAGACACUAUUUGGAUCAUACAGAGCCGCAUGAGCACCAGUAAAAUUUGUCCACGUAGGGACUGAGUAAUCAGUAGUGAAAACAUGGACCCAAUUCAAGUAUUGUCUUAUCGAGUCGACUGGAUAAGCUGCUGCUGGUGAGUAUGGUGAAUAUGCAACCGUUGCCGUCAAAAUCAACUGUGAUUGGCUCGAGUUAUUUCUUGCUUCUAAAGCUACGGCAGCUCGCCAUUCUUUAAAGAGAAUGCCAAUAUUGUACUUAUCCCAGCUUGUGUUUGCAAAAUACCAAGACAGAUCUAAGCCUUGAAAGCCAUAGAGCCUUGCUAUUUUUAUUGAGGAGUCAAUAAAGGAUUUCCUGGAAGAAGGAUUGCCCGCCAUGGAAGAAUAAGUUGAAUAGUUUGGAUAAUUUCCUGCUCCGAUGGAAAGAAGUGUAGUGAUUGAUGGGUUCUUUAUUUUGACUGUGUCUGUGAAGUUGGAGAAUUGUUUUUCAUCCGAAGGUAAUAAAGAAAGCUCAUAGGAAGUUGAGUUGACACCAGCAAAACCACACAUCAGGUGAGUGAAGAGAGCAGAAUUUACAUCUGAAACUGGGAACCCAUCGCGUGAAUCCCAGUAACCAGCUCUGAUUAAAGUUUGUGCUCUUGCAGGAAGCGAUUCUGAAAAUAUAAAAAUGUGGAGGACAAGAAUGAUAAUUUUGGAUGCCAUUGUGGGAACCUGGCUGCUUGAGGCAUACCUAGUAUGUGAUUAUAUAUUUGUACACACACACACAAAAUGUAAUGGAGAAAUUAUCCUAUACCGAUUGAGAUUAGUUAUUGCACUAAUAAUGCAAACUUGAGUCAACUUUCAACUUAUGAGCUUAGUCCAUAAGUUUUUAUACGAUAUCAAAUUCAAGUUAUGAAUGAGGGACCCUAUAAUACCUUCCAACCUAACUUAAUAAUUAAUCUUAGCCAAUGUGACAUACUUGUUCUAUCACUUUAUCACGUCCAAGUCGAUCUUUUAGCUUUGUCUCUUUUUCAUGAUAAUAAGUGAUAAGAUUGAAGUUCUUAAAUUAAGCUAUGACUUUUUACCUCCGCUUAGCUUGACUUCUGAAGUUGGAGACUCGUUCUUUUGUAUUGUCUUUGUUGGUAUUUAAAUGAACUCGGAGUCCUCGACGAGUUUCUGAAGCGAAGUCAUUAUUCCUCUAUGACUCCAUCCAUGCAAUUGGAAGGCAAAAUCUUGUGAAAAUAUUUUCUAAGUUGAUUCAGUCCAUGAUCAACGUGCACAAAACGCAAAAUCUUGCGAAAAUCAAACCCGUCCUCACUCAUGACCUCACUUUAUUAAAUUACAGCUUGUCAUUGAAUUGAGUGUUGCCUUAAUUAAGCCAUCAAAUUAAUAAAGUGAUGGUCAUUAAGAAAUACACUUAGUUACUUCCUGAUGGUAAGAUUCAAUAAUAUUCUAAUUUAAAAAAAAAAAAAAAGAUCCAUAUACCUUUUUCUUGUGUAAUUUAAUUUUCAGUCCAGUCCACCCUCCCAUUUUAUCAUAAAAGUGUAUACAAACAUACGUUUUACUCAAUGUUUACUUAGAAACAAAUGGCGCGCGUACGAUUGCCGAUCUAGUACCACUCUCGUAUGCUUGGUGGGAUUCGGCUUCACCAAAUUUGUAGCAUAUAUUUUACUUUAAUGAGAAAAUCAAAUAAUUAUUGAACAAAUAAUUUUUUUUUCAAUAUACUUUCUUAAAAUGUAUGGAGUUGGUAAAGUGCAAAUUCAUUUUUUAGCCCUUUGACUCCUCCAAAAUCAAAACUAAAAUUAAUGGUCAGUUAAAUAAUGUUACUUGAAAAUCAUUUCCUAGCUAGAAUUUGUUUAAUUCUAUUAAUUUACAAUCGUUUUUCAUUUUACUUAAUUAAUUAAAGUGAAUUUAUUAUGUAUACAUUCUACAUACAUAAAGUUUUAAUAUUCAGUGUUGAAUUGAAUUGUACUAAAUUUUUUAUAAUUUUUUGUCAGACCUGCGUUUUUAACAGUUUAAUAGUAAUAUUGAUAGCACAUAAUAUACAGGAUUAAGAGAGAUCGAUUUCGACUGCUACAAGAUUUUUAGGAUUGCAUGCACAAGGGUUUAAAAACAAAGUGUACACUUAAUUACACCAAACGAGGGUGCAUUUUUAUGAUGAAAUAAAAACUACGUGCAGGGUUGUAAAAGUGGCUCCAUAAUUAGCGUACAUUAACAUUCAUCUAGCUACCACUUCCGAAAAUGAUACAUCAUAAGCCGAACAUUUUUCCAAUUUUGUUGUAGAUAAUAGUUCAAUCCCAAUUUCAUCAACUUGUUUUGAGAAAGCAGGCUUCUUGGGAGUAUUUGUAUUUGUGGUUUCAUUCUUGAGCAUUGAGGAAACUUCCAGCAUUGAAGGUCUAUCGUUUGGAUUCUCCUGGACACACAACAAAGCUAUUUCCACACAUCUCAUUAAUUUACAAGGGGAAUUUCUAUCAUCUAGGAAUGAAUCCACAAACUCCACGCCUUUGCCAACUUUCCACAACUCAUAUGCCUGAAAUUAUCAAGUACCAUCUUGUUACAUAAUUUAUACUUCUUAAUUAAGUGCGCAUAUGUGUACUCAGGGUUACUAUAGCCGAAGAAACUUACGUGCUCUAGAAUGCUUAAAUUUUCAUUGAUGCCACAUAACACUGAAAGCCUCUUUCCACUUAUGAUUUGUAGAAGUAAAACUCCGAAACUAAAAACGUCUGAUUUGGUAGAGUAUACACCUUGUCUGGCGUACUCAGGAGGAAUACAGCCUCUGCGUUCAAAAUAACCAAGUAUAUAUGAGUAAGGGAUUUUGCAAUUUAAUAAAUUUGUAAAACCCAUUUUAAAUUGUGGUAAAAGUCCAUUCUGCAUUUUAUUAAAGUGCUGAAUUCCUUAUUCGAAACCCAAUAUAUGUAUAACAAACAGAAGCUUGAGUAAAGGAUAUCAUUUAGAUGUAAUAUACUUACAUUGUUCCCACAACUUGUUCUGUAUUCGCUUCGAGACUCUCUUUUGCAAAAAUCCUAGCCAAACCAAAAUCUGAAAUUUUAGGUUUCAUACCUUCACCUAACAAAAUAUUACUGGCUUUCAAGUCUCGAUGAAUAAUAGUCAGUCUUGAAUAUUCCUGGAGGUAUAAAAGCCCUUGAGUUAUCCCUUCAAUGAUAUGAACACGUUUUUUCCAAUCCAAAAUAAGUCUUCUGAUGGGAUCUACAACAAAUAUAUAGUUUUGGACAAUAAGUGAUAUGCAAAUGAAUUUUAUACACAAUUAAUAUUAACUUGAUUUCAGAACAAACCAAAAAGGUAGCAAUCCAAGCUUUUGUAUGGCAUGUAUUCGUAGACCAGCAUCUGUUCCUCACUGUCAAUGCAAAAACCUAAAACUCUAAUAAGAUUUACAUGUUGGAGUUUUGCAGUAAGCAUAACCUCAUUCUUAAACUCCUCAAAUCCCUGUGCGGAUGAUUUCGAAAGUUUCUUCACUGCUAUCACCCCUCCACAGGGUAAUACACCCUGCAACCCAAAAAAAAAAACCACGUUCAUAUAAAGCUUUCACUAAUUAGAGAAGCUGAGAAAUGUUAGCCAAACAAUAUGCUACCCCCCAAAGUUGAGGGCACCAUUUUAAGUCCUUUAAGUCCCCAUGGACGCAAAAUGUAAAUCUCCUCUCACAGAAUAUGGAUAUGGGUAGAGGUAUCUUCCUAAAAUAUUAGUCGAAGUAGUUAUAUCCCUCUAGUGUGAGGUUAGAGGUCUCAUCUCUAAUAGGCAUAGAUUUUUAAAUUAUAUGUUUUGGGCCUCUGAAUUCUAUGACGAGUGUACAAAUUCAAACUUCCGAUAGGAUCCAAAUUGCAACAUUGUGGAUUGUAACAAAUUAAAAUAUAGGUAUACACACACACACACACAUAUGUUACCUUGUAAACAGGACCAUAUCCACCCUCCCCAAGCUUAUUUCUAAUUGAAAAUCCCUCGGUGGCCGCCUCAAUAUCAGCCAAACUAUAUACUCUGAGAUUAGGAACAUUUAUGUUAAAGUCUCCAGCUUCUGUUUCAUUAUUUGCUCUCGUGUUUGAUGCUUUAGCAGAAUCCUCUGUUCCUAACAUCAACCAAGAGUAAAUAUUAGAUAAUUAAUUGUAUGUCAGCCUCAGUGAUAUAUAUGUGUGUGUGUGUGUGUGUGUGUGUGUGUGUGUGUGUGUGUUUGUGUUUGUGUGUGUGAAUGAAAUGCAUGCUUAAUGAUAAUUGAUAGCUGAAGCUUGUUACCUUCUAUUAACUUGAGCCUUUUCCUCUGGUUGUAUUUAUAUGCACAACAGCCUAGAAGGAGAGUCAAAGCUGCCGCUGCAGUGGAAAUGAGUGCAAUGGACAGACACCGGUUGUUACUAUGUUCAUCUUUUUCAGCUGAAGCAGAAGUAAUCCUGUCUUUUUGUGCUGGAAAUAUGUAUAGUUCACCAAUUAAUAAUAACAAGCUUGAGAUACCAUAACAAUCAUUAUUAAUCAGAGAGAACAAUUAUUGCAUAUAUAAAUACCUGCAGCUUGAGAAAGCACCCAAUUAUGAUCAUCAAAAGGAACUCGCCACACAUAGUAACCAAGCAAUCUCUUCUCUUUGGCAUAGGCGAUCUUAGCUCUAACAGCCUCCACAUCAUCAAAACCAAACCAAACCGUCCCAGUGGAGAAGUAAUUCACCACAUAAGUUGAAUUGUACAUAACUUGAACAUUAGGAGCAUAGUUCUUGAUGUGAUUCUUGAUAGUCCUAUAGGUCACAAGGCCAUCAUUAGUCAAAGCUGGUCCUGCUGCUGCUGCUCCAAUACCAUUGUCUUCAGGUUUCACAAGCCUCCAUGCAUAGCCAUAGAAAGGCAAAGACAUAGCCAACUUAUCAGCCGAUAGCCCUCUCUCAAUCCAUGCCUUUAAAACCUGAUCGGUACUUUUAGCAAAGCCGCCGCUACUUGAGCCAUGGAGAGCCGCAGGUGGCGCAGUGAAGUUUGUUGACAAAGGCUUGUAGUAGUUAGCAGUAACUGCAUGAACCCAAUUCAAGUUUCGUUGCAUCGAAUUCAAAAGAUAUGAAUUCGCUGGUGGUGAAUAACGAAAUCUUGCGGUCAAAAUCAGCGGGGAUUGCUGGCGACUAGAGUUUAUUGCCUCUAAUUUUGUAGCAGCAAUUCGCCACUCGUCAAAAAGUAAACCAAUAUUGAACAUAUCGGUGCUUGUGUUGGGAGCUGUCCAAGCAAAAUCUAGGCCCUGAAAGCCAUAAAGCCUAGCUAUUCUUAUUGAAGAGUCGAUGAAAGAUUUUCUGUGAGAAGAAUUUCUCACCAUUGAAGAAUAUAUAGAAUAGUUUGUAUGUCUUCCUUCUCCAAUGGAGAGAAGCAUAGUGAUUGAUAGGUUCUGUUUCUUCACAGUGUCUGCGAAUUUGGCGAUUUGAUUUUCAUCGGAUGGUAAUGAUAAAGAUAGCUGGUAAGUGGUAGAAUUGAUAUCAGCAGAAGAGCAAAUAAGGUGAGUGAAGAGAUCAUAAUUUAUGCCCGAAAUGGUGGACACUUCGCUUAGAUUCAAGUAACCGACCCUAAUCCACGGUUUUGCUUUCGCUGGAUGAAGUUCUGAAUAGAGCAACGUGUGCAAGAUGAUGCUGAUAAUUAUGGAUGCCAUUUAAGACUUUGUUAGGAAUGGAAAUGAAUGCACACUAAGAGAAAUUAAAUAAACACUAGUUUCACAGUUCAUUUAGGUUCUUAUUAAACUAUUAACGCAUAGGUUCAUUUCGUUCCAAAAAAAAUCUUAUGUGCUCCUGAUAGGGACACAUACAUUGCAUGUUAAGAUGAUGAUAGGCGAUGCGACCAUUUCCUAAGAACUAAGAUUUUCUUCUAUCGCGUGGCUGACUUUUCAUGAAGAAAAAUGAUGCUUUGGUUGUCAUUUGGUUAAACUGAUGACAAAUUUCGGGUUACAAAUAUCAGUAUUGUUUUAUUAAACAAUAAAAGACAAAAAAUCAAUAUUUAUUAGAGAGAACAAUUAUUGCAUAUAUAAACACCUGCAGCUUGAGAAAGCAUCCAAUAUUGAUCAUAGGAAACUAGCCACACAUGGUAACCACGUAGCUUCUUCUCCUUGGCAUAUGCAACCUUCACUCUAAUGGCCUCCACAUCAUCAAAACCAAACCAAAUCUUCCCAAUCGAGCAGUAAUUCACCACAUAAGUUGAAUUGUAAAUAACUUGGACAUUAGGACCAUAGCUCUUGAUGUGAUUCUUGAUUUCCCUAUAACUCACAAGACCAUUUUCACUCAAAGCUGGUCCCGUUGCUGCUGCACCAAUACCAUUGUCCUCAGGUUUCACAAGCGUCCAUGCAUAGCCAUAGAAAGGCAAACAUAAAACCAAUUUAUCAGCCGAUAACCCUUCCUCAAUCCAUUUCGUGAUUCCGUAUUCAGUAUUAGAGACACUAUUUGGAUCAUACAGAGCCGCAUGAGCACCAGUAAAAUUUGUCCACGUAGGGACUGAGUAAUCAGUAGUGAAAACAUGGACCCAAUUCAAGUACUGUCUUAUCGAGUCGACUGGAUAAGCUGCUGCUGUUGAGAAUGGUGAAUAUGCAACCGUUGCCGUCAAAAUCAACUGUGAUUGGCUCGAGUUAUUUCUUGCUUCUAAAGCUACGGCAGCUCGUCAUUCUUUAAAGAGAAUGCCAAUAUUGUACUUAUCCCAGCUUGUGUUUGCAAAAUACCAAGACAGAUCUAAGCCUUGAAAGCCAUAGAGCCUUGCUAUUUUUAUUGAGGAGUCAAUAAAGGAUUUCCUGGAAGAAGGAUUGCCCGCCAUGGAAGAAUAAGUUGAAUAGUUUGGAUAAUUUCCUGCUCCGAUGGAAAGAAGUGUAGUGAUUGAUGGGUUCUUUAUUUUGACUGUGUCUGUGAAGUUGGAGAAUUGUUUUUCAUCCGAAGGUAAUAAAGAAAGCUCAUAGGAAGUUGAGUUGACACCAGCAAAACCACACAUAAGGUGAGUGAAGAGAGCAGAAUUUACAUCUGAAACAGGGAACCCAUCGCCUGAAUCCCAAUAACCAGCUCUGAUUAAAGUUUGUGCUCUUGCAGGAAGCGAUUCUGAAAAUAUAAAAAUGUGGAGGACAAGAAUGAUAAUUUUGGAUGCCAUUGU
Molecule: long non-coding RNA, 125782 nt
Filed under: Citrus maxima (pomelo)
Lineage: Eukaryota; Viridiplantae; Streptophyta; Magnoliopsida; Sapindales; Rutaceae
Description: long non-coding RNA (CMAX_LNC003492)
Source: RNAcentral